UUUUAAAUGGGUGGAGAUAAAACUAAUUUUUUUUAAAAAAAAUUAAAGUUAUUUUUCCUAUAUUUUAUCAAAUUAAGGAAUUAAAACCCACUUUUCCUAGUAAAUAUUAGGAUAAAGAAAUAUUUAUAGACAUCAAUUUCAUUCAUUGUUUUGAAUGAAAUUGGAUAUGGGAAAUUCGAUAACAGGCUAAAAUGAAAAUUUUAUUAAACCAGGAUUUCCAUCAGUUGUAUACAUGGAUUUCUGUGUCAAUUUAUAGUUUCGAAACAGAAUCAUUUGAUGAGAAGCGGUCAGCAGAGAGGACUUCCAGCCAAAAAAAGUUGAAACAUAAUCAAAUGACAUGAGCUUCAUUCUUAAGCUGGUCGAUCAGCUCAUCCACGGAAGAAACAAUAACUCCUGCUUUUCUCUUGGGAGGCUCAGUGACCUGAACAACCUCCAAAUCGGAUUUGAUAUCUACAUUCAAUUCCUGUGGAGUGAACUUCUUUAUUACCUUCGAUUUUGCUUUCAUAAUGUUGGGGAGUGUUGCAUACCGAGGCUGGUUCAGUCUCAAAUCAGUGCUGCAUGAGGUACAAAAUAUCAGGUCAAGUAAUGAGAUGAAACACAGAGCCAAGUUGCAUUUAUGCUAGCCUAUGGCAAAUAAUUGCAGUCAGCUUUCUGAUAAUAGCUUUGUUCAUCUGAGAAACACUUCCUAUUCAUGUGUUAUCAGCAUUUCCACAUGUUGCCUACUGCCAUUGGGCAAAAGCUUGGAUGAAAAAGAAGCAUGUUUUUGUCUUAAUUCUCUUAAGCAGAAUCAAGGAAUAGGGUUUUUGAGCAGAACUUCAUGUUACGAGUAGAUCCUUCCAUCAUUUGAGCACUAGCUAGCUAGGAAUUCUUACAAGUACAGAAUAUAAAGCUUGUAAUGACCAUGAAUGGGCUGCAAAGAACACAUGAAUAACUUCAAGAGUUCAAAACAGACAACAAAUUUUGCCCAUAGCAUAUAUUUUUAUACAGAAAAAUCAGUUGCAUACUCUUAAAUGGUCAAUUAAAGCUCAUCAACCAAAUCUGAAGCGUCACAAUUUAACAUUUGCUUAAGCCCACAUGACUUGCAUCAGGUACUCAGUCAAUAACCACAAUAAUCCCACUAGGACCUCCUCCUCUGUUCAUCAUUGAAGACCUUGGAAUUAGGGGACAUCAUUUACAUGGAAUUAGGGGAAUUAGAAGACCUUGGAAUUAGGCAAUAAGCUCAUAUGCUCUCACACUUCCCAAAGACAGUCCUCAUAGAUGGGCAAUCCUCAUCUUAAAAGCACAUCAAUCCCUAUUACAUUUGGUUUCUAACUUUAUCAUAUGCAAACAAUAUGAGACCUUUGACGCUACUGAAAUAUUAAUCUAGACAGACAUUCAUUAACUACAUUUUUCCCUGUUAUACAGAGUAGUGAAAGGUUCUAGAAAGUUUUUAAGCCAAUACACCACUGCAUACACAUCGGAAUAAAAGUUCUGCUUACAGAAACAACGCUACAAUACAUCCUAUUAAGUCCCAUACGAUAUGAAUAUUAUUAACUAUUUUCUGAUAACCCAAGAAAGAAAAGACUAGAAUAGAAUAAAUAUAUUUUAAAGCAUAUUUUCAAACUGGAAGUUAAUUAUAAUCAGUAACACAAUUAAAUAAUGAAUUUAGAGUCACAUGUUUCUAAACCAAAAAAGACAAGUUGUUUAAUUAAUAUGAAUAUAAAUUUAAAAAUAAAACUUUAAAAAUAUGAUCUAUCUAUGUUUCAAAGGUUUGUUAUAGAGAUUUCAGAGAUUUCACGCUUUCUUUUAUAAGCACAGCCAACCAAAAUACAUUAACAAACAGUUUUUCCAAGAGAGAAGACGAAUAAAAACUUCAAGAAGAAAAUUUGUUUAAGUUCAGCAUAAGAAAAUAAUUUGAGUUUAAAUCCCCAAAUCUACAUCAUUCUGUACAUCACCUAGAAUUUUUUUGAUAGGUAACCCAUUUUCCUUUUAUUUAUUUUAUUUUAUUUUAUUUCAUUGUUAAAACUUGAACUUGGAACCUCCCACAUCCAAGCUACAACCCUUUCUCACUUGAGACAAGCAUGAAGGAGUAUAUUUCACCUAUAAUCCUUAGUUAUGUUUGGUUCCUAGAAAGUACCAAGGAAAGAAAAAAAAGGGAAAAUGGUUUCUUAUGUUUGGAUGCUACAGAAAAAGAUAAGGGAAAAAAUAUUGAGGGAAAAUGCUAUAGAAAAAAGAUUUUCCUCCUGAUUUUCCUUAAAAAAUGAUGAGGAAAGUUGGCACAAUGUGCAUUCCUCACAAUUUUACUUCCCUCAAUUUUUCAAUGCACAACCAAAUAAGAGAAUUUUUUUAAAAUUUCCUCAUAUUUUUCUUUCCUUCUAAUUUCUUUCCCACAAACUUUCCAAAACCAAGCAUAGCCUUGAUUUUUUGGUCGAUGGAUCCUAAUAUUUUUUUCCAUGCAAGAAGAACCGAUGGAUUAGUCUUCUCCAUUUAUGGUUCCAAAGGUUUAGAAUUUCUUUAGCAUUUUAUUUUGCUUAAUUGAAAAGACAGAGAACAAUAAAAGUAUUUCAAGAGCUUCAUCAAAAUUUUAAACCACAAAGCUCAAUGUAAGACAUGAUGGCAUGUAAGACAGAAAACAAAAACAAAGACAGAAAAACAGUAAAUAGCAUAAGAAGAACAAAUAGAAAACAGAGUGAGACAAUUACGUGAUUACUGCUGGUAAGUCCAAACAUAAAGUUUCAAGACCACCAUCCACCUCUCUCUCCACUGUUGCCACCUCUUUCUCCUUGUCCAGCACAACCUACUAGAAAGCAGCAGCCAGGUUGAACAAUUAUUAAAGGCAAAGAAGAAUAACUUUUAAAGAGAUCAUCUAAAUGUUCUAUCAACACCAAUUGCCAAUACAUCUCAAAUUCUCUAGGGAAAGUGGGGAGAGAUACAAAAACAUAAGCUAUGUUUGGUUCCUAGAAAAUUUGAAGGAAAAUGUAAGGGAAAUAAGAUAGAAAGGAAAAGUAGAAGGAAAGACAAAGCAAAGAAAAUGCAUAGGUUUCUAACUAAUUUUAAUUAUAUUUGAUUUUAUUUCUUAUUUUUUUAUAGUAAAACAAAACAUAAGAAAAUAAUUUUCCUUAACAUUUUUUUUCCUUAAUACUUUCCAAGAGCCAAAGGUAUCAAUGGUUUUAUUGAUGCACACAACAUAAUUCUUUCAGGUAUGCCCCUUGCAGCUGGAGAACAAAAAGAAUAUAGGUACAAAAUGAUUUAAGAAAACAAAGAUUACCACCAUAGAAAAGCUAAAGUUAAGUUGAAUUCUAUUGCAUACAGAAAUCCAUGAAUCAUGACAGAAAUCCUAAUAAUAUUUUCCAUGAGGAAAAACAUCCACAUUUAUAAUACUACUGAAGAACCACAGUAACAGCAAUUUUAGGGAAAAAAGGACCACUGGCAUAUGAUGGUACCAUAAGAACAAUCUCAGCCCAAAAAACCCUUCAUAGGGGGGGCAAAUUGCUCUAACUCUUGAAAUCUACCCAAAGAAGGGAAACUACCUCUUUAAUCCAUCUUGGUUAGGUACCAGUUCCACAAGGGGCCAUGGUCCCCAGAUCCUUAUUUUUCCUUGUCCACAGUGCUUUUUACAUUCGGAGUAAUUACAAUAUCAGAAACAAGAAGAACAUAACAUCGAUUGAUGUAUUUGGAAGCAAAAAAAAAAGGUUAAAAAAGCUGUCUUAAACCUUUUGGGGUAUCUGUUAUUUUGCUUUCAUCAACUCAAUUGAUGCUUUUUUCAGCCUUUCCCUCCUUUCAUGGCCUUUGAUAUACUCUAUGCAUGCCUUGCUGAUGCUCUUACCAUUCAGCCUAAGGCCACACAACUAGCCUUUCGCAAAGACAUGACUCCAGUUUUCAGCUUUCUCAUCUUUUCAUGGCACACUCGCUAACACUGUCUUCACCCUAAGUGAUAUGAUGUGUCUCACUCAUGCAACCAGUAUUCACCCAAAGAGAUAGAUCAGAGAAAAUUUCUCUGUGUUAAGUUUCUUUAAAAGCAAACAGAGUCUUUGAGAGUUUCUUGUUAUUCCAUCUAUGACCAAAAGGGUUGAGAUUCAUGGCCCCUUGCAAUGAAUUUUCCAUUAUCAUCUUCAAAUCUGACAUUUAAAUCUUGUUUUCUUGUUUUCCUGUUUUUACUCUCAAAAUAAUCCAAAAACAGUAUUUUGGAAACCCUCAAUUACUUCAAACGAUCAAUGAGAGGCAAAUUGGAAACCAUAAUUCACAAGCGCUGGCAAAUGGAAAUGGACUCUAAAAAGAUGUUAGCUGUAAACUAAUUGCUUGUUGGCUCUGGUGGCAUCCAUCAUCAAAGAAAAAAGAUAAAUAAACUGAGACAUGGAAUUUCACUAUCCUUUUUUUCUUAUAGGUAAGCGAAGCUUGUAUGAAAGGAAUAAAGAAAAUAUAUACAACAUAUACAAAGCAACCAAAAUGGAAUUUCACCAUCCUAGCUGAAAAGUGGCGCACUGUUACCCUACUUGAUGUUGUAAUAAGCUUUUUCAUCCUAAACUAGGGGAAAAUGCCACUAGCAUGCACCUUACAAGUCUUUCUAAACAUUUCUGCAUCUCAUCAUGAGAGUUUUAUGGCAGUGAAACCCCAUCCCAUGCCUCCGUCAGUGAGGAUUCUAUAACAACAGAUUCAUAUAUAUCAUUCUCUAAUCCUUUUCUCUUGUAUGUGAAUAGAACAUAGCUCUGUUUGGAUCCAAGAAAGAAUGACAGAGGAGACCAAAACACUCAAAACACUGAACAUAACUUUAGAAAGUUCAAAGUUAUUUUCAGGAUUUGCCUUUUAUUUCUCCCAUUCUCUCUGAUAUAAAGACAAAACCUAAUACUUGUAGAAAGACACAUGGUUAAAUUUUUGUUGUCAACGCCAACAAAUCCAUGUAAGGUGAUGCUUUUCACUAAGAAGAGACUCUAAGAUUAGAUUCCCAAUGUAUAGAGUGUUUGCGCAGUAAACAAAUCAAUCACUUAUCAUUUAUAUAACAGUAGAAGUGUAUGGAGAGUGGGACUAACCUUGGAAGCAAAGGUCCCCUGAGGCCAGUUGAGCAACCCGGCAACCAUUUGCCCUGUUUGAUUGCAAUCGUCAUCAAUGGCCUAGAAAACCCAUGCCCACAUCAGAAAACAACAAUCCACCAUAAAAAGAGUCUAGGAUUUUCACGGAAUCCGCAAAUUUAUUUUUAAAUCGUUACCAAAAACCCUAAUCUCUGGGCACGAAUUCACAGACCUGUUUGCCCAGAAUAAGGAGGCCAGGCUUCUCCACAUCGACGAGAGCUUUGAGAAGCUUAGCAACUGAAAGUGGGUACAGAGUGGCGGAAGCUUCGACGUGGAUGGCCCUAUCGGCGCCCAUGGCGAGACCCGUUCUGAGCGUGUCGACGCACUGGCUGGGACCCACACUGACAGCGAUAACCUCCGACGCCAGACCCGAUUCCUUGAUCCUCAGAGCCUCUUCCAAACCUAUCUCACAAAAGGGGUUCAUCGACAUCUUGACGUUGCUGGUCUCCACGCCGCUCUGAUCGUGGGUUGGCGAUUGUUAUUGGAUGAUGAUGAAAUUACAGAUACUGAAUAACUUGAGAGUUUGGAUUUGGGUUACCUUGUCGGAUUUGACUCUGAUCUUGACAGCGUAGUCCACAACACGCUUUAUCGCCACCAUUAUCUUCAUCUCGUAUAUGGGUGGUUAUCUUCUCCGGCACAAGGGUAUUGGCAAAUGACUGAUGAUGAAGGACGAGGAUAUUCGCCCGAGCCCUACUGCACGACACCACAUCCGCUUAUAAAAUCUUUUGAUACGGAUAAGUACAAGGGAAGUGGAAAAAAAGGAUUAUUAAGAAAAAUAAAUAUAUUACCAAAAAAAUUAUUUAAAAUUUUGUUCAUGUAGAAAGAACCCGUGAAUCAGAUCGAAAAAAUUAUAUUAAAACUGCUGUAUAGCCGAAAAUUGUGUACAGAAUUUAUUUUAACAUUGUAUUAUUGAAUUUUUUAUUCAAAAAUUGCUUAACGUGAGAUAGAAAUUAAAAAAUCAUUAGUAAUUUUGUCCGAAAGUUGUUAUAUUUCAUGUGUUUUAAAAAUAGAUGUAAUUUAUUCCUAUUUGCAUUUUUAACGUACAUUUAAUUAAAUAACCCAAAAAGUUAUUGAGUUCACAUCAUCUAUGGAGUCUACCUCUCUUUGCUUUUGUUGCUUCCAAAAAUACCAUACUCCCAUAUUUUUUUGGUUCUACUCAUUUUACUUUAUUUUUUUCAUUCCAUUCAUUCCACGUGAAGUCUUCAAUCCUAAUAACAUUUACUAUAUUACAAUUAAGUUUAAUUUUUAAAAAACUUAAUUAGGGUUAAAUUUCCUUUGAGAGAACUUCAUUACAAUUAUUUGAGUUGUACGUUAAGUUUCAUUUAAAAAUAACUUAUUUAAAAAGAUGUUAAGCUUCCCCUAUUUUAUUUAUAAAGUUUAAUAUCUAUUUGAUUUUAUAUUUGAAAUCCAACUAAAACCUAAUAACGAAUUGUUGUAAAAAAACUCCAAUCAAAAUACUAACAAAAAUUAAAACAUAAAACUCUGAUAAAAAAUUGUUAAAAAAUCCAACAAAAAAACAAUCAUAAAAAACCCUAAUCAAAAACAUCAUGGAAGUUUAAAUGAAAUUGCCAAAAAAUAAAAAGUAUAGAAAACCCUAACAAAAAAACAACACCAAAACACCUGACAAAAAACAAUUACAAAUUCUAGCACAAAAACCCCCAAUUAAAAAUAUCUAUAAAGAAAAACCUAAAAAAAACCAAUUAUAAAACCUCCAACAAAAAAUAAAGAGAAAGAUGAAGAAUAUGAAAAAUUUUGAAGAAGAAAGAAACAUGAGAGAACUAUCAUUGAUCUUUAUUUGUUAAUCUUUGUUAUAUGUUUGAACUUCACUAGAAAAUGAGAGAGAGAGCAUAAACCUAAAGAGAGAAAGAGCUGAAAAUGAGAGGAGAAAUGAAUCACAAUGAGGGGAAUGACAAUUUGAGGAAAUAUAGAAGGGUUAAAUCAUUUGAACUAGGUUAACGUUUUUAUUAAAAAAAAAGAGUAAUGAAGGUCCUUGUUCUAAUUUCAAGAGUAUGUCUGUUAAUUACCAAAUGUGGCAACUCUAAAUAAAAUCCUUUGUUAUCAACUAAAACUAAAAGUCCCAUUACAUCAUAUCCAACUUUCAUUUGUUAUCAACAAAGUAAAACUAUAUACAACUAUUAUCACCAUCUCUCCUAUUUUGAUGUUAUUUUCUUAGAUGAAUUUGUAAAUCAAAAUUUACACCACCCAUAAAUUUUUUGAGCUUCCUAUUUAACACAACUUCAAUUUGUUAUACUUUGAACAUCACAAAGAUAAAGUAAUCAACAUUUUGCUUGGACAAGUUUUUCUUCUCUAAAGUUUAGAGUCCUAUUUCACUUCCCGUUUAUGGGUUGUUAGUUCAUCUAAUAUCUCACCAUCAUCCAUUCCAUGUACUGUGUUUCCGAAAUGAGUUGAUUCCACAUCCUAAAUGUCUGUGCAAAUUAAUAAGGAAUGUCGAGUUACCAAUUUUCUUAAAAGCUUAAUCUUGCAAGAUUUGGAUUCAAAAUGCAUAUCAUGCUCUCUUUAACACCCCUCCCCCCUCUCACAUGUAGCCCUAUACCCACACGUAGAGAAAUAGACUUAUAGGAAAAUUGGUAGUUUAAUAUAGUAUCAGCACUUGGUUUGGUGGGAGGUCUCCUGUUUGAGUCACCUCUCCACAAUUUACAUUUCUCCUAUUUGUUUAAUUUACAGUUCUUCCCUUAAUCUGUAAUUCUUUGGAUAUAAAUUUUCCCCCUAAUUUGUAGUUUUGUGGAUAUGAAUCUCUCUUCCAUGUUCAGGUAUGGGGCCACACAUAAGAGAGGGUGUUAAAGAGCAUGAUAUGCAUAUUAAACCCAAAUCCUAUAAGUUAAAACUUUUAGGAAAAUUGGUAGUUUAACGCUUUUAGGAAAAUUGGUAGUUCAACAUGUGUACACCCCAUUUUGGGGACUGCUAUUGCUCCCACUUCUUUUUGUCAAAUGGUGGAGCUUUUUAGGAGCACAUGUUGUAUUUGGAAAGGCUAUUAGAAAAUGGCAACAUGACUGUUAAUGGAAGUAAUGAUUUUCUAAAAAGGCAACCAUGGGAAGACACAUAACAAAGAUGUUUGGGGAGGAGGGAGAGUGUGCAUCAAGACUACUCAUGAGGGGUAAGAAACAAAAAAAAAAAAGUGUCGAAGAUAACUAAAAAAUUGGAGAAACAUAAAGGAAUAAGGAUUUUAGGGCUAUGGAUGGUGAACAAGAGUGAAUUAUGGGUGUCUAGGACAGCUAGGAAUGGUGAGAGGAGUAGGGAGCUGUAGAAGGUGAUGAGCUAGGUAAGAUGUAUUUUCGAGAAAGAAAAGAACCAAAGAAAGAAGGUGGUGAAUUAAGUGAGACACGUCUCAGAGAAGCAGAGAAAGUUGGCUUGAAGCCAAGCAAACUUUUGCUUGAGAUGAGCAUUGCCUAGUAAGAUUGUUUCGAUUCAUCGAUUAUUACUGAUCAUCAUACUUCUCUUGUCUUAUAUUCAUGUGAUUAUUUUACAUUGAUUGUGGGGUUGCUUUGGUUUGGUUAUUAUGGCUUCAUCCUCUAUUUCUUUAGUUUUAUUCAAGGAUAAAUCUAAUUGUGCUUUGAUUAGUUAUUCCAUAUUUGAAAAUCUUUGUGUAUUUUGGGUUUUUUCUCUUUAGAUAUUUUCUAGAUUAAUCCACUGACCUUUAAACCCACAAAUAAAGAAAAAUGAAAUGAGUUUUUUCAUAUUUGUUGGGUGUUUGGCCCUUGUUUAUCUUUUUUUAAAGCUUUAUUCCUUUAUAUUCUCUAUUUCUCCCCAUUUUGUACAUGGGUGUUUCAAUCAGAGUCUCUAUUUUGGCUUCCACAUUUGAGAUUUCUUUUAUGAGCGAAGACCCAAAAAUGGAGACUGGCUUCUUGUAAUUGAUAAAAUAGUUAGUCACCCAUUAGCUUAGAUGAAGCAUAGAUGUUAACCGGAUUGUGAACAUGGAUACUCUAUUUUGGGCCUAUUAGGCCUUCCAAUCCUCUCUUAGUUUCAUUAUUCUUGAGGAUAGUGUUUGGUUGUGUCUGCUACUUAUUCUGUGGCUUCGGUGGUCUGUUUGUUUAUUCUUGGCUAUUAUCAAUGCUAACAAUGGGAAAGAGACUGGUUUUGGUUAUGCUCUUACGGAUUUGAAGGUGAUCAAAGGGUCCAGUGAAGAGAAGAUUAGUAGGUCAUAUUAGGUUAAUUAAUUAAUUAGGACAUGUUUUGAGUUAUAUUAAGUAAUACAAGCUCUUAGUGGGCUUAAGUAACUUAAGCCUAGUGGGGAAUGCCAUAAAUACCCCUUAGGGGUUAGCAUUUCCAUAGGUUUUUCUAGAGAGUCAUCUUUCACCUCCAAAGAAGGAGAGUCAUAGCCUUUACCAUUUUUUCCAUCAUUAUCGAAGUGUGUCAAGAUUAAGGUUUAAGUCAUUGAGCGGAAGACUCCAGGUUUAUGAGACUUCAUACAACUUCGUUUUUCAUUUUCAUCAAAUGGAAUUAAUUUGAAAACAUUUGAAUCUGAAGUAUGGUUUUUGUUAGCAUAUUUCGAAUCCCUUUAAAGUUUAAAAAUGCAAAUUUUCCACUAUGUAUAGGAUUUAAAAUCGCUUAAGAUAGUUAAACAUGUUCCCCACUUGAUCUGAAUUGGGAAACGGAGAAAUCUGAUAUUUUCCCAUCACAAGGUAGGAUAAGAACUUGUGAUUGAUCUUUAUGGAUUGGACUAAUUAAUUAAUUGGAACCUAAUUAGGCUAAUUAAUUAAUUAAGACCUAAGCAAACUAGUUUAAGUUACACAAGCCUAGGAUGGACUUAAGUGACUUAAGCCCAUGGGAAGCUUAUAUAAACUCCUUUAGGGGUUAGGGUUUCAAACUUUUAUCAUCUAGUCUUCAAUUCCUUAAAGAGAAUAGAACUCGAGCCAACAACUCUCCUAAAGGAUUCUAUUGCUCCGUGUCAAGAUUCGAAAAAAAACUAUUUGAUGGAAGGUUGUUAUGUUUAUGAGAUUCGUUAUGUUUUUUUACACCUUUUCACUAAAUGGAAUUGAUAUAGGAAUGUUCAUAUCUCAAGUGCAACACACUUAUUCUCUUUAGAUUUAUAUUGCUUAUGGUUUUUUUUUUUUUUGUCAUGGUUUUCCGUUAAGAUUAGAUUAAGAGAGCCCUAUGUCAUAGAAUGCUUCAAAUGAGCCUCCCCGGGGGUUUGUAUAGAGCCCAUGAAGCUUCUAGAGACUCCUAUACUUAGCCAUUGGUGGGAAGAGUGUGAAAGGUUCUACAGAUGUCUAGAGAUAUUUACACAUCUCUACACUAUGGUGGAAGGCAUGAGAGGAGUCUAAGGCAUUCUAAAGAAUUAUAAAGAUCUCUUAUAUAUUCUUGUACAUAGGCUUGUACAUAGAAUUGUGUAGGAAGUUAUAGAUUAUUCUUGAGCUGUAAGGAACCCUCCAAGGUUCCAGAGAGUUCCAUUGGUGCCUAUAAAUAGGUGAAUGCCUCAUUUGGCCAAGACACUAAGCAAGUGAAUUCCAAAACACUUGUAAAGCUUCCUUUGAAUAAUAAAAGUUUCAAUUCUUCAAGAGUUGCCUAUUAUGCCUUCUAAAACUUCUAAGUCAUGAGCAUCUUAACCUAACAAGUUAAGCAUUGGGAGUAAUGCUAACUUAGCAAGAUCAAGGAUCUUGACUUGUCUAAGUGUUGCACGAUCUUAGGAAAAGAUUAAGUUUGUGACAGUUGGUUUCAAAGUGUGACUACGAAGUGAGCAUAGUAAAGGAAACAUGUCGAGCUUCAACAUGGAGGAAACUAGUGAGCAAACCCGUGGGAAAGAAACCGAGCCUACUGCAUAGGACAGGGACAUGAAGGAUAAAUCUCGUAAUGCCAUAGCCAACGUGGAGGCAAGGCUAGCCAAGGUGGAGCUAGCCAUGGCAGACACCCGGGAAGGGGUGGACUUAAUCGAGCAAGGCAUGGAAAAUGGCUUAGAGGAUCUAAAUGAGCAUAUCCAAGACCUUCAUGAGAGAGUGCUAGGCUUACAAGUUCGGCCGAUGUCAUAUGAGGAGUUCAUGUCCUUCCAAAACGAGGUCAUGAGCAUGUUUGCUAGCAUGGAGUCGAAGGUGGAGGCCUUGGCUGCACGCAUAGAGGCCCAAGACCAAGAGGUUCAACAAGAGCUAGCUAUCUACAAGACUGUCUUAUCAGCACGAGUCAUGGCCACUCAUGAGGCACUAAGGGUGGAAGUGCCCAAACCACACACGUUCAAUGGCAAGAGGGAUGCCAAGGAGUUGGACAAUUUCUUGUGGCACAUGGAGCUCUACUUUGAGGUUAUAACACUAAUAGAUGAAGCCACUAAGGUAUGUACCACAACCCUCUACCUCACCAAUAAAGCUACUCUAUGGUGGCGUCAGAGGUUUGCCAAUAUAGAAAAAGAAAUGUGCACCAUAGACACAUGGGAUGCCUUUAAGCAAAAGAUCAAAAAACAAUUAUACCUUAAUGAUGUGGCUUACCUAGCAAGGAAAAACACAAAAUGUCUUAAGCACACAGACUCGAUCCGUGAGUAUGUCAAAGAAUUCUCUACACUUAUGCUUGAGAUACCCAACAUGUCUGAGGAAAAGCUACUAUUCAACUUCAUGGACAACUUGCAAAGCUGGGCCGAGCAAGAGUUAAGGAGAAGUGGUGUCCAAGACCUAGCCACGGCCAUGGCGGUAGCGAAGUCCUUGGUGGAAUACAAAAAGGGAGACUCUUUUAAGCCCAAGCCACAGUCUAAGGGUAAUCAUGCUAAAGGUGGGGAAACAAGGGAUCAAGGAGGUACACUCCUAAGGAAUGAUCAAGCAAGACCUCUGGUGGCAAGGAUGGUAAGGGUAAGGAUAAACGGAAAUAGUUCACGCCUAAGAUCAAUUGCUUCCUAUGUGAUGGUCCACAUUGGGCGCGAGACUACCUCAAAAGAAAAGCCCUAAAUGCCAUGAUCGAGGAAAAGUAGAAGGAAGACAAUGCUCAUGUGGGAUCAUUACAACUCUUAAAUGAUAUCAAGGCUAAGUCAGUGCUUAAGACACCUCAAAGUAAAAGUCUAAUGUACAUAGAAGCCCUUGUAAAUAGGAAGGCUACCAAGGCUUUGGUGGACACUAGUGUCACUCAUAACUUUGUCUCGAAGGAUAAGACAAAGAACUUAGAGCUCCAAGCAUCUAAGGAAGGAGGUUGGCUCAAGGCAAUUAAUUAAGUUUCCAAGCCAUCACACGAAGUAGCACGCAGGGUGGCAAUGCACAUUGGCUCAUGGGAAGGAAUGGUCGACUUCACAGUGGCACCCAUGGACUACUUCAAGAUGGUACUGGGAAUGAACUUCCUAUAGAAAGACAAGGUCAUGCCACUACACUUCCUACAUUUAAUGGUUAUCCUAGAGGAUGAAAAGUCAUGCAUAGUCCUUACGGUCACCGAAGGUUCACCCAAGACCCCUAUGAUAUCGGUUAUGCAAGUAAAGAAGGGAUCAAAGAGGAAAGAGGUGACCUACCUCACCACUCUUAAGGAGGAAAAUGAUGAUGAGUUGGGGGAGCCCAUGCCUAAGGAAAUCAAGAGAGUCUUUGAUGAGUUCAAGGACGUGAUGUUGCCUAAGUUGCCUAAAAGACUCCUUCCUAGAAGAGAGAAAGAUCAUAAGAUCGAGUUAGAUGCAGGAACUAAGCCCCUUGCUAUGGGGCCAUAUAGGAUGGCACAACCCAAGCUGAAAGAGCUAAGGAAACAACUUAAGGAGUUGUUGGAUGCAGGGUUUAUCCAACCAUCCAAGACUCCCUAUGGCGCACCGAUUUUAUUUCAAAAGAACCAUGAUGGGUCCCUACAGAUGUGCAUCGAUUACCAAGCACUCAAUAAGGUAACAAUAUAGAAUAAGUACCCCAUUCCACUCAUUGUUGAUCUAUUUGAUCAACUUGGUAAAGCAAGGUAUUUCACUAAGUUGGACUUGAGAUCAGGCUACUACCAAGUGAGGAUUGUGGAAGGAGACAAACUGAAGACUACAUGUGUGACCCGAUAUGGCUCAUAUGAGUUCUUAGUGAUGCUCUUCGAUCUCACCAAUGUACCAACAAUGUUUUGGACACUCAUGAAUAAGAUCUUCCAUCCCUAUUUAGACUAGUUUGUGGUGGUAUACUAAGAUGACAUAGUCAUCUACAAUAGCAUCUUAGAGGAGCACGUGGAGCAUUUAAGGAAGGUCUUCAAGAUCUUAAGGUAAAACGAGUUAUAUGUAAAGAAGAAGAAAUGCUCAUUUGUUAAAGAGGAUGUGAGCUUCCUAGGGCAUCGCAUCAAAGAUGGCAAGCUGAUGAUGGAUGACAACAAGAUGAAGGUCAUCUAGGAAUGGGAUCCACCUACUAAGGUACCUCAACUAAAGUCUUUCCUUGGCUUGGCUAACUAUUACCAGUGGUUCAUCAAGGGUUACUCUACAAAGACAGCUUCACUCACUAAUCUUCUUAAGAAGAACAAGGCAUGGGUGUGAGACAAAAGGUGGCAACAAGCCUUUGAAGAUCUAAAAAGUGUUGUGAUUGAGGAGCCAAUGUUGGCAUUACCCAACCACAUGAAGGUUUUUAAGAUACACACAGAUGCCUCAAACUUUGCUAUUAGGGAAGUUCUGAUAAGAUAGACAUCUAAUCGCCUUCAAGAGUUGCAAGCUAAAUGACAUAGAGAGACGCUACAUGGUACAAGAAAAUGAUAUGACUGUCAUUGUCUAUUACUUGCACACCUGAAGACACUAUCUUCUAGGGUCUCACUUCAUAGUGAAAACCGACAAUGUUGUCAUUAGUUACUUCUAAACACAGAAAAGUCCUAAGUAAGCUAGGUGGCAAGACUUUCUGGUUGAGUUUGACGAUGCGCUGGAGUAUAAGACAAAAAGUACUAAUCAUGUGAAUGACGCCCUAAGCCGUAAUGUAGAGCUAGCAUUCAUGACGAGCCAGCCCCAAUGAGACAUAAUAGAUCUUCUAAGAGAGGGGUUGCAACAUGAUCUAGUGGCUAAGAGCCUUAUUACCUUGGCCCAUGAGGGAAAAACUAAGUGUUUUUAGGUAGAGGACGACCUACUCUACACUAAGGGGAGACUACUCUACGUGCUUAAGUGGGGGAACAUAAGGUAGAACUUGAUUAAGGAGUGCCAUGACACCAAGUGGGUUGGGCACCUUGGGCAACGACGCAUAAAGAGCACUACUCGAGUCAGCUUACUACUGAUCUUAGAUACAAGAUGAAGUUGAGGCAUAUGUGAGGACUUGUCUUGUGUGCUAACAAGACAAGGUAAAACAACAACAACCUAGAGGCUUGUUGGAGCCACUACCUAUAGCAGAGCGUCCAUGGGAGAGCAUCACCAUGGACUUCAUCAUCGGGCUACCUAAGUUGGAGGGCUAUGGCUCGAUCAUAGUGGUAGUGGAUAUGUUCUCUAAGUAUGUGACCUUCAUAGUAGCCUCUACUGACUGUACUGCAAAGGAGACAGCAAGGCUAUUCUUGAAACACAUGGUCAAAUACUGGGGGUCGCCUAAUUACAUCAUCAGUGAUCGCGAUUUGCAUUUCACUAGGAAGUUUUGGACAAAGCUCUUUAAGCUUAUGGGUUUGAAGCUUCACUUCUUCACAAGCUUUUCACCCGUAAACAGAUAGGCAGAUUGAGAGGGUGAACGCCUUAUUAGAGUUAUACUUAUCCUUCAUGAGUGUCAACCAAAAGGAAUGGACUAAGUUGCUAGAUGUAAUCCAAUUUUCAUACAACUUGCAAAGAAGUGAGACAACCAACAAGAGCCCGUUCAAGCUAGCCAUAGGGCAGCAACCAUUGACUCCUCACACACUACCAAUAGGCUAUACGAAGAGAAGUUCAGCGGCUUUGAAGUUCACUAAGGGGUGACACGAGCCAACUGACAUAAUAGCUCAUACUUGGAUAGGGCCGCUAGAAAGAUGAAGAAGUGGGCUGACAAAAAGCGACAUCACACUGAGUACAAGGUCGGAGACAUGGUCUUUGUCAAGCUCCUUCCUAAAAAAUUCAAGUCACUAAGGCCGGUACAUAAAGGCCUUAUGAUGAGGUAUAAAGGACAUUUCCCCAUACUUGGAAAGGUCGGCAAGGUGUCCUAUAGAGUUGAGUUACCACCGAGGUUGAAGAUUCAUAUCGUCUUCCACGUAAGUUACAUAAAAUCAUAUCACGAAGACAAGAAUUAUCCAAGCCAAGGGAUGUCCUAGAUGACACCUACAUCGAUUAUGACCUUCUAUGACAAGGAAGUAGAACACAUCAUUGCAGGCUGAGUCAUCAAGAGAUGAGGCGUGCCUCCUGCUACGGAGUACUUGGUGAAAUGGAAGGGACUACCAGAGAACGAGACUAGCUGGGAGCCAAUAGAUGCACUAUGGCAAUUUCAGGAGCACAUUAAGUGGUUCUAGGUGGAAGGUGCGACAAGGACGUUUACGGUUUAGGUAGGGGAGAGUGUCAUAGAAUGCUUCAAAUGAGCCUCCCCAGGGGUUUAUAUAGAGCCUAAGAAGCUUUUGGAGACUCCUACACUUAGUCAUUGGUGGGAAAAUGGUGGAAGGUUCUAAAGAUGUCUAAAGAUAUCCACACAUCUCUACACUAUGGUGGAAGGUAUGAGAGAAGUCCAAGGCUUUCUAGAAAAUUCUAGAGAUCUCUUGUAUAUUCUUGUACAUAGGCUUGUACAUAGAAUUGUGUAGGAAGUUUUAGAUUAUUCUUGAGUUGUAAGGAACCCUCCAAGAUUCCAAAGAGUUUCAUUGGUGCCUAUAAAUAGGUGAAGGCCUCAUUUGGCCAAGGCACCAAGCAAGUGAGUUCCAAAGCACUUGUAAAGCUUCUUUUAAGUAAUAAAAGCUUCCAUCCUUCAAGAUUUAUCUACUACGCCUUAUAAAGCUUUCAAGUUGUGAGCAUCUUAACCUAGCAAGCUGAGCAUUGGGAGCAAAACUGACUUAGCAAGAUCAAGGGUCUUGACUUGUCUAAGUGUCGCACGAGCUUAGGAAAAGACUAAGUUCAUGACACCUAGGACUAGUAGCAUGCACCCUAAGUAAUCCAAGGCUAGAAAUGAAAUGAUACAAGGAUUCCCAACACUUGACUUAAUUCCUUAGAAAUUGAAACUCAAUAAAAAACAUUAGUGUCAUUAACCUCAUUUUUUUUAUUACCAAUACUUAAUUAGGGGAAACCUUGAGCUAACAACCUCCUCAUUUUUUAUGAUGAUAAAACUGUACCAUCUAAAGAAAGCUUUCCUUAAUGUAUGCAUAUUAUAAGCAAUUUAAACAUUCAUCAUAAAAGAUGGAAAACAUAAACUCAAAUGGAGACAUGGAUAUAUAGAUAUAAGAGACAUCAUAAAGGUUGCAACAUGAUCGUAUAUCCGAAAUAGCAUCCAAAAGCAUGUCAUCCAAAAAAAAAUCAACCAUAAUAACCAUGUUCAAAUUGUCCCAAAAAGGAAAAAAAUAUAUAUAUGAAACAAAAAGUAUUAAAUAGUUUACUAAAUGUUAUGCCCUAGAUACCUAAAGAUAUCUCCCCCUUAGGCAACAUCGAAACAAUGAGGGAACUAUAUGGCUCAAGGUUGAGGUGGUGGAAACAAGGAACAUAGGACAGCUAUUGAAGAAGCUAAAAUUCUUCAUAAAUGAUUGAAUUUUAUUUCACCAUGAGAAACAAUACAAAGAGGGAUUUUUUUUUUUUUUUUUUUUUUUUUAUCAAGGGGAAGACCCCUUUCUCUUUACUACUUAUCCCUUUUAAUAAAAAUUCUUCCACAUUUUUCCACUUUAUUUUGCCAACAUUCUUUCAACCCCUUUUGCACAAAAAUGCCAAAGAUAGUAUUAGGAUAACCUUUUACAACCAUUGCUAACUUUUGACACAAGUUGCUAAAAAUUGUUGAAGAUUUGCUUUUAAUGUCAGGUAGGAUAGCAGAUUGGUUCUAAUUGAAGGUCAUUUCUUGUGGAGGACCUUACUUAUAAGUGAGAUGAUUGUUCCUAUCUUCAUGGUUUUAUGUUGUAUAGUUAUAGAGACUUUUUAGAGGCUAUCAGCUUUAGAGCAAAUUUAUGUUGUUUGUUAGGGAUUAAGUAUUUUAUUCAAAUUGGGUGAAUGGUACUACCUCUUUACUUGAGAUGGCUUUGAGAUUGGGUGGUUGAAUAGUAGUACUUUGGAAUGGUCUAGUUUUUGUUCGCUUUAGCUAUCAUUUUCUUAUGCUGUGUCUAUAGACGAGUGGAGACGUCAUUUGGAAAUUGGUCAAAUUGCCCGUGAAAUUGAUCAAAUUGUCAAGUUGUCAUCCUAAAAUUGACUAAACCUAGUUUGUAAAAAUGAGAAACGACCGUCACUAGCGACUAACAUCUUCUCAAGCUAAGUAUUAAUAGAUCCAAUCUGAGCAUAAAGGGCAUCUUAAUGUUGCAGGUUCAAUGCUCAUGAAGCAUAAUAUUUUGGAUACUUGGUGUGAGACACCUCAGCAUAAGUCUAAUCCAUAAGGAUAGUCUCCUCAGGAGGUUGAGAUGUGGGCAAUUGAAUGGUGGCAUCCAUGCCCUUGGUUUGCAUCUCCUGUUGAACAUCCUCACCCCCUAAUCCUUUAUGGUCACCCUCAGUCUCUAUCUAUAGAAUCUCUGCCUCUUACUCAACCCGGUCUUCAUUCAUAGCAGGACCCUUUCUUUUUCUUUCCAAUGAUCCAUUAGGCAAUUUCUCAAACAGCAUUCGGUCUGGAUUUUACGUUAUAGGUAUCAUAGGAUGAGGCCUGAAUGUUUUUUUCUCUUCUUAUGUCCACAUUGAAUGCUUUCAGGAUUUUUGUGAUCAGUCUUCUUCCGUUGGCCACUACUUUAGAAUUGCUUUUACAACAGUUUUUCAUGUGUUGAAAGAUGAUAAGGAAACCUUAGAAUGGAUCGGAGUCAAUAGAAAAUGCUACAUAAUAGGACACCUUGUCUCUAUGUCCACCCUUAGGUAGAAAAAUAUGUUUGAUCAUGUGGUGGUGCACCCUAGAGAUAAUGCUCAAGGCAUGGGCAUGGAGCUUUGAAGUCACUGUGUCGAUGGGUAAGUUACAUAUCCUCUAGAAAGCCCUACCUAGGUUAAAACUAGACACUAUAGGCCAUCCCUUCGUCUCAAAUAAACAAAGUCCCCCACAAAGGAUCUCCAAAAUAUCACAAAGCAUAUCAAUAUUUAGUUUAAUUCAACUCCUCUAACAAAUGUGCUAAUUGGCCUUCAUAUAUUUUAGGUUCAAGUAAAAUACCUGAACAAGGUUGGGGUAUGUAGGCUCUCUUGAUGAGAUGGUAUUGGUGAGUAUUUUUUUUUCUUCAAUACAAAACUAUUACAACACUUGGUUUUUUUUUUUUCUAAAAAAAAAAGAAAAAUAAAAAUAGUUUUAUAUUAUACUUAGUUUCAAGAAAAAUAAUAAUCAAAGCAAAAUGAAAAAAAAAUUCUCAUAUUGGUUUCUCGUGAAAAAUAUAAAAGCAAAUAAAAUACAAUUAAAAUUAAUUAAAAUCUUAUGUAUUUUUAAAUUAUUAAUUUUUAUAUAAAAAAUGAAAAAUAGUAUAAUGAAUUUAGAAGAAUAUAUAAAAAUAAUGUAUUAACUUUAAAUCUUUUUUUCUUUAUAUAUAUAUUUUCCCUUCAAUUUUCUAAUACCAACACAUAAUAAGGUUAAUGUCUUCUAGCCAACCAAUUGUAAGUCAAUUUUCAUAGAGCUUUUUUUUUUUUUUUUUUUUACAUGCCACCAAGUAGUUAUAUAAGCAUUUUUGCAUGUUAUUGUUAUCCAACAUACAAUAACUAUAACAUCCAAUUAUUAUGAACAUGAACAAUAAAAUUAGAUGCAACUAACUAUUUAGUGUAUAACAAGAAGUUGGUGAAGUAAUUCAUCCUAACAUGAUUCAACAAUUUUUGUUUAUUUUUCAAGAUUAAUUAUAACAUACCCAUUCUAUUAAAGUUGUUGAGAUAUUUGAGCAAAACUAAAAAUCAACAUUAAUUCAUUUUAUACCCACAAGAGAAAUAAGAUUUGUUUUUUUGUUUGAUAAUAAAGUAGUUGUAGUUAUUAAUGAUAAUUUUGAUCCUAAUUUAAUAGGUAUCCAAAAAAAAAGGAAAAAUGCAAGUAAACCAAUUCUUAUCUAACACAAUUAUUACCACCUUAAAAUCCUGAGGGGUAGCUCAGUUGAUCAGUUCGAGUCCCUUUAGGACCAUGAAAAGCUUACCCGAUGGUUCACCUUAAGAAAAGCAAAGCAUUUAUAUAAUUCAACUGGUAGUUGAUAAGUCUUAGAAAGGGUUUUGCCAUCAUUGGCUUCUCAGUAAAGGGCAAAUUUGGGUUGUGGCUGACAAUUAUUGAAUUUGUGAAGAAAUAUGUGAAGAAAGGAAACAAAAAGAGUUGAGGACAGAAUUCUUCAAUUAAAAAAUGGUUAGCCCAUGAACCCAUUCUUCAAACAGUAAGCCAAUGAGCCAAUGAGCCAAAAAGAAAGAAGAACAGCUGGUUUCAUCUUUUUAUCUUAAUGACUUUGACAACCCAUCUUUCUUUUAAAUACUUGUGACUUUGGAAUAUAAUUAAAAUGAAACUUUGGAAUGCCCACAUCUGAUUCACGGCCUUUUUACCUGUUUUCUUGUUUAACAUUUUUUUAAAUAUUAUAACAGAUGGAAAAACAUGAUUCUAACAGGCUGGAAAAUAGUGGAAGUUGGAACACCAACCAUAACCAAACUAUACCUUCCAUCUUUCUCCAACACUCGGAAUUAUUGAUACAAGUUGGUGGUUUUAUGAUUGUUUCUAUUGAGGGGACCCCUCUCCAUUUCCAAUUUCAAUGGAAAGGUUCUUCUUUCCCUACUUUUUUUUUUUGUUUUUCAAAUUCUUGUAGUUUUGUCUGUCUCUCUCAACAAAGCAAACUGCAAUCACUAAUUCAAAGAAAAGGAAUCCUAAAUGAAAAGAAAAGAAAGGAAAGGAAUGGUAAUUUAGGCUAUGAUGAUGCUCCUAUAUAAUGGCUGUAAGUCAAUAACAACACACUGGACCCGCCUCCUAUCUCAAAAGAUCACAAACCCAAAUAUCAUAUACUUCCAAAUUUCAAUUUGGUUCCCUGUUUAUAUCACAAUCUGUCCUAUAUCCUCUUAAUACAUCUAAAAUCUCUCUAUAUCAUAAAAAUAAUGAUGGAAAAAAAAAUUAAAAAGAAAGAAGGAAAAAAUGACAAAAAAAAAAAAACCUUGGUGCUGCUAUGGGUCCAUAGGAAUUGGCAGGACUGCACUUCUGGAUCCCCUUCCAUGGCCAAAAGAAAAGAAUGAUCUUCGGAAUCUGCUGCUGCAACCUUCACUAGGGCUGAAGUCACUGACAGGCCUGUUCUGUUGCAAAAUCUCUUGAAUUGCUAAAUACAGCUGCCUGUCGUUGGAUGAGUCCAUUGAAAAAGACCUCCUGAUGGGUUGGAUUGAGAACUGAUCAUCUUUGCCUCUAGUGUCAAUGCACUCAUCACCCAUGCUUGCAACAUGAUGAAACUUCCUUGCCUUUUUAGGCACAAUUCUCUGCUCUAGCUUCCUAGGUGAUGGACUAAUUGAUGGCGCAGAUAACUCUCUGGAAUUCAGUCUUUCUGGUGGCCUAAGCAGUGAUGAAUCAGCAGAACUAUCAUUUCCCAAUUCAAUUACUACAAAAUCUUCAUCCCCUCCUAUGUAAUUAUUGGCGUAGGGGCUUGGAUCUUGGGGGGAAGAGCUAGGAGCAAUGAUUUGGUGAACAGGAAACCGGGGUGUGGUUGAAAUGCUUGUUCUGCAAAGUGGGCAAUUAGCAUUGCUUUGAAGCCACACGUCUAUGCAAUCUAUAUGAAAUAUGUGACUGCAGUUUGGUAUGAUUCUUAGCUUCUCUUCUUCUUGAAACUCAUUCAAGCAAACCGCACACUCGCAAUGGCUUCUUUCUCCAAACUCUCUGCCACCUCCUUUCCUGAACUGGAAUAUUGGGAUUGAUCUGAUGACUGACUCGUCCAGGCCUCGACUCUCGAUUGCUGGGGAGUACACCAUUAAAGGGUCUUCCGGGUGCCGACUCCUUGAGAAAGAAAAUCGUCUCAGCAGAUCAAUCCGGUGCCAAUUGAGGCAGCAUUUGAUUACAAAGAUGUAGUAGCUCACCAGCAAGAAAGCAGUGGCCAGGAUUCCUAUUACGGCAAUGGCUAUAAUGGGGAAACUGGUGUCCGAGGAAUGAGAGGGAGAAGGAAGCACUGAGCUCGCCUGGCUUUUGAUGGGAGAAAAGGCUUGUGAUCCAUGGAUGGAGGAGUCUGUGCUCACAAGAUCCAUGAGAGAGGCUAUGAAAAACAUUUAGAAAUGAGUCUAUUCGGAUCUUCAAUUCACAGAAACAUGCAAAUGCUAGAAUAAAAUCGACAGACACUCAGAUAUAGACCCUACAGUUGUAAUGCAGCAUACCAUAAAUGUGAUUGAGUGAGUGAGGCUGAAACAGCAAAUGGGUCACUUCAAGAUCUCAACAAGACAGAAAACCCAUGUUGAAUUCACCAGGAGAGUAUUGAAAAGGGAAAAAUUAAGGACAUAUAGCUGUAUUGAAAGUUGAAACAAAUGCAGAAACAUAGAGAAGAGAGAGAGAGGGAGAAAACCCAGGAGGGUUGAAUGAGAGCGCUGCUGGGGAAGACAUCAAAACGCUUCAAAUUCAAUGAGAAUCUGUUGGGGACCUCUUUAAGAGGACUGCACAAAGCCUGAGCGUAGGGUACGUGGUUGGUUGGUGAAUUUCUCGGCUUCCAAAAGAGAAAUUUGGUGAGAAAAUUUUCAAGUCUCUUGAUUAUAGUAACGUAGCGUUUAUUUUAAUUUUAUGUAACCGAAACUAAUGGGCUGGUUCAAAAAAAUAAAAAAUAAAAAAAGGAACUUUCUAGGAUAGGCCAGCAGUCCACCGUUGGUCAUGUGGUUUCUUUUGCAUGUCCACAUCUUCCAACUAGUGGAGGUCCCUGUCACAACAGUAAGAAAACACCCAAUUGAAUAAAAGUAUGAACUUUUGGCUCCCAAUAUUACUUAUGCCCUCAUUCAAUACCUCAAAUAAAGCAGAGAUUUUGUGUCCCAACUUUUAUGAUUUCAUUUCAUCUUACUUCAAAUGCUAAUGACAAAAGUCCAAGUAUAUUCUGUAAUCACCCACACCCCAAUAGUUUUGAAUCACACUUGAAAUAGUUCCCAUGCUUUCUUAAUAAUUUAGAUAAUUAUUUACAGAAAAAAAAAUUCAGAACAGGAUGAUAAUCAUUUUGUGAUAGCAUGGAAGAAACUUUACUAGCCACUUUGGCCCCAUGAAGUUGAGUACUUGAUGCCAAUUAAUGGCAGGGUGGAAAAUAGAGAAAAGGGAUCAUAGUCAAAUCUAGAGUACAAGGCAUUGAAUCUUUGUUAAUAAUUAACAAAUGGGUAAAGCAUGGGUCACAGGGUCUACAGUUUGGAUUGCAAAAACCUCAGGCUUCUAUAAAAAGCUCAUCCAUUAUCAAUCAUCAAUCUGAAAGCCAGAAAGUCCAAGGCACAUGCAACCCACGACAGGGGUAAGAUUUCUGCAUCAUGUCCCUGAGUUGCAUUCACAUCAUAUGUUUCCCUCCGGGCCGUUCCAAUUUGAAAUCUCAUGGAAAUCUUCAAGAGCAAGGCUACAGAGUUUAAGAUAAUACUAGGGGUGGGUCCUGAUGGGAAAAGAGGUAGUGUAGGAUAGUCAAUAAAGGGCAUGUGUCUCUGGUGUGAAGUCAAAUCCAGUGUACCAUCCUCAAUGGAAAAUUUAGAAAUAGAACCGACACUCUACAGACUGCCGUGUUGACAGAUUAGAGAAAGACAAACCCACUUACACUUGCCUCAAAACCCAGUCCUGCCAUUUCAAAGGCAAAAAAAAAGGGUUUCUUUUUAUAGUCAAAGGUUGAGGCCUGGCCUGGCCUAGCAAAGAAACUUCACCUACUCUUUUCUUAUUUUUCAAAUUAAGGCCAUUCAACUUUUCCUGUUUGCAGGCUUGCUGCCAUAUCUUACUCCAAAAAAGGUGAAAACCCAAAAGAAAAAGAGUGUUUGCUUCAAUGGAAAACUCAUGUUUAAUAAAUUCACCGCACGAGUUUUGUUCCAGCUUUUCCUAUGAAAGCUGUGAUGCGUUUGGUAUGAAGUUGAUUUUGUUCCUAAAAAUUUUGAUCUUGGCGUGGAAGGCAACUUUUUCCUUUUCCCCCUUUUUCUUUUUGAAAAGUUCGGCAUUAGUUACCAAAUGUCCUUUUACUUGCAUGUAGGACAGCGGAAGCAUUACACAUCGCAGCAAAAUCCCAUUUACCCGAAUUUUCCACUAACUCUUUUUAUUUUUUACCAUCAUUUUUUAAUAGAAGUGAUGCACUCUUCAAAUUACAUGAAGCUUUUAAGAAGGUAAUAACCCGUUUCAAAGCGAACUUAACCUACAGAGUAUGUUUUAAAAAUAUUUAGGUAUUUGAUAAAAUUUAAAAAAUAUUUUUUAAAAUCUUUAAAAUGAUUUGUAAUAUUGAAAAUUUAUUUAUACUUUUUUUAAUAAAAAAACAUUUUAUAGGUAAUUUUUCUAAAAUACUUUUAGAGAAAAUGUCUUCCCUUCACUAUAAAUAUUAUAUACUAUCAAAUACACUUUAAAAAUCUGUUUAACAAUAAUUUUAUAAAGUGUUUUUAAUUUUAAAAAUAUUUUUAAAAACAAAUUAAAUUUUUGAUAAAAUUUAAAAAAUCUUUUUAAAAAUUUUGAAAAAUAUCUCGUAAUAUUAAAAAAUAUAUAUAUUUAUAAUGUUUUUUAUAUAAAUACUCAAAAUUCAUUUAAUAGUGAUUUUAGGAAAUGUUUUUAAUAUUUCUAAUACUUGAAAAUUUUUUAUCAUUUAAGUAUUAAAAAUAUUAAAAACACUUUAUAAAAUCACUUUCAAAUGGACUCUUAAUGAUUUUACUAAAAACACUUUUCAUAGAAAACAUUUAUAAAAAAUAAUUAUGAAAUACACUCUAAAUUAAGUAAAAGUUGUUUUUAACAUUACCACUAUUUAUUAAUAGUGCAUUUGUUUAAAAUAUUUAUAUGAAAAAUUCAUUAGGGUGGGAUAUAAAUAUAGAAGUGUUUUUCUUUAUAUAUUUUUUAUAAUAAAAAAUGAUUUUUGAAAUUAUAAAAUUUGAAUUUAAGAAUCAUUUGAUAAUAAUUUUUGUUAAAGCACCUUUAAUACGUGGUGCUUCUAUUGAUAGCGCUUUCAUUUCUAUGAAUGGCUAUAAAUUAUAUUUGAAUAAAUUUUUUAUAAUGUAUUAUAUAAUAAAAAAAAAGUCAUUUUUAAAAAAAUUAUACAUUAAAUGAUUAUUCAAAUAGUAUUUCCUAAAUUUUAUUAAACAUUUUUUUCAAAAAAAAAAAAAAAGUUUUCAAAUACUAGAAAACGUUUUUAAUCUCUCACACGAUCACAUCCAAACAAGUCCUAAUGCUACUCCUAGAAACACUCCAAAACAAAAGUCUUCCUCUAUUAAUGUUCAUAAAAUCCACAUAUAUUCUUCCAUCGUUUUUUCAAAAUUCAAAAUCAUUUCUAAAACAUCAAAUCAUGUUCUUUGGAUUGGCUGACUUGUUUUUUGAAAAUAGAAGGCUCAUUAUUGACGUCCGUUGACUUCAUAACCCAGUCUUGAUCUCUUGAUGGAGGGCAUAAAUGUAAAUUGGACGAAACCCUAGGGUGCGCUAGAGUGUAGAGGAUGAAAGGUUGGAAAAAGGAUGAGGUGGGGGUGUAAUAAAGAGGAGGGUUGGGAGAAUGGGACAUGUGUAGGUGAAGCAUUAAAUUCAAGACUAUGCUUACCAACAACAUAUAAAUAAAUAAAUAAAUAAAUAUAGGAACAGCACAUGGGGUGAGUAGGAGACAUCAGAAGAUGUGAACAACCCCUUGUCAGUCCAAUUUGCGUCUUUUAUCUACUCUAUUAUCUAUAUCGAUUUUCGUAUUUAUUUAUUUAUUUAUUUAUUUUUACCAUUUGAUUUUGCAUGGAUGUCGAAGGGUUUAUUGGCUGCCACGUGUAGGGUUAUGGUCAAGAUCACGUGGGGUGCCUACAUGGGAGUCACGUGAGUGCAUGAGGCAGGCUUGAAUUGCAGGAGGAGCAGGAGCAGAGCAGUGGCUGUUGUCUUAAGACUUUGCUCUCUUGGUGGAACUGCAGCUUAAGCAGCAUCCACGUGUUGUCACGUGCAAUGCGAGCCAUCCACACCACCAGUUUCUUUUUAGUGAUUUUCUAAAGUCAGUUAAGGUUGCAGUCAAUACCUUCAAAUGUUGACAGAGUUAGGGAUCUUUGUUAAAUGGAUUUUAUUAAGAUAUUAGUAAGUUAAUUAAUUGAGGGUCAACAUAACAGAUGGGUCGGGUUGGGUUGAAUCUGAAUUUAAAACGAUUUAAUUUAUGUUUAAUCAAAUUUAACAUUUAACUCGAAGCACUCAACUUAAGUUUAAUUGAAUCUUAGUUUUCAAAACAUUAUUUAAAUUUGGGUCAUUUGGAUUAAAGUCAAAUGGGUUAGAUUAAUCGGGUUAUAUGGUUCAAAAUCCACUUACCUUAUUUUUUAUACAUUAAUAUUAAAAUUUAAAUAAAAAAUAUUAGAAGAAAUUUCAAACUUGGGAUUAGUUGAUUGUAGCCAUGCAUUUGGAUGUUGGUAUUCUUGUUUCUUGUCUUGUUUCCAAAUACCCUUUCAAAUCGCUUUGUUAUUCAAUAGCAUCCUCCCGAUCAUUUAAAAAUUUAAAGAGCAUUGGUAUGAUGGAGGAAUUCAGAAAUUUUAGUUGAAUAAGUAAAAUUUUUCUCUCAUAAAACCAAAUAGCCUCUAUAGCUCAGUGGUAGAGCGUCAGUCUUGUAAACUGAAGGUCUGUAGUUCGAUCCUGCAUGGAGGCAACUUUUUAUAUUUCAUGAUCCAUUAUGCUCUAGUGAUUUAGUUUUCAUUAUAAUUUUAGAUUAAAAAAUUACAUCAACAUUUGAUAAGUUGGUUAUGACUUUGAUAUAAGGAUGAAACUAUCAAUAAUAUAUAUAAAUAUUUUGACACAAAAUAUCUAAUAUAUUAAAAAAUUAAAAAAAAACUCUAAAAAACAUUAUAAAAUUAUAUAUAUAAUUUAUCAUAUUUAAUAAUAAUAUCUUCUACCCUAAUAAAAAAUAUAAAUUUUAUAAGCAUACAUUUAUUAUUACAUUGUAUUAUAUAUUAUUUUACAAGAAUAUUAUGAUAACAUGUCUAAUUUUAAAAUAUAUUUAAUAUUAAAAUUAUCAUCAAUUUUAAUUUAAAUGUAUUUAAUGAUAUCAAAUAAUAUAUAUAUAUAUAAUUUUUUAAUAUUUAUAUAUUUUUAUAUUUAAUAAAUAUAUAAAUUAUGUAAAAAAAAAAGACCUAUUAAGAAGAUUAUGUUUUUAUAUUUGGAUCAAAAUUAAGUUUUUCCGAUAAAAUAUAUGAAACUAUUGAUAAAUUAUUGAUUGAAACGUGAAAAAAAAAAUUCAAAAAAUAGAUGAGAUAUUAGUAAAAUAUCCGAAAAUAUUGAUUGAUGAAUAUAUCAUUUCAAAUUUUGCAUCAACAUCCACAUAUGUUGGAUAUAUUGGCCAAAUAUAUUUAAACCUUGUUUCCAUGAGAAGUCUUUCCUUCAACAAUUUCAAAAGGUUAAUGAGGUGGUUUCCAAGAGAUGUGUGUAGGGGUCUCCAACGGGCGGGCCGGGCCAGCGGGCUUUUUGAAAUAAGCCAAAAUGGCUUUCAAAAAAGGGAAGGGAGAGGAUUUAAACCCCUUCCUUCAUGCUUAAAUUUCAAGGUUCUAACCAAUUGAACUACAUUCCUUUAAUGUUUAUUAAUUGAGUUAGUUAUAUAUAUAUAUAAAAAUAAAGUAUAUUAUUUUUUAAAGGGGCGGGCCUACGGGCUGGGCCGGGCCGAAAGCGGGCCACGGGCCACGGGCUUUUUGGAGACCCUUGGAUGUGUGCAAUCACAUUUGGUAUUAUAGGUGACAAAGUUUGAUAAAUGAGUAAUUAUUAGGUUAACUUAUAAAAUCCGAAUUUGAUUUAAAUUGAUUCAUUUAAUAAUCCCAUUUAUUUACCCAAUUAAAACUUUAAAUUAUUUAACUUAUAUUUAAUUUAAUUAAAAUUUGUUUUUAAAUAAAUAGAUCAAUUAAAACAUAAACAUAUUUGAUUGAAACAUUAAUAAUAUAGAUUUAAAUAAGACCUAAUUCAACCUAACGAUCAAAUAGAAAUAUCUAAUUAUUAAAUAAAUUAAACAUGUUACUUGCUUAAUAAUUAUGUGACAUUUGAAUUUAUGCUUUUGAUAUAAUUAUUAUUUAUAUCAGGUUUAUAUAAUGAAAUAUCUAGACUUUGACACCAGUCAACAUUGUCCACCAAUACAGAUUGCAACUCUUAUAUGCUACAUCACAUCAUGUUGAAGGAAGAGGAUGACGUUCAUUGGCAGCAGAGCCUCCAAUCAUAAGGAGCUUGAGCAAAUUCAAUCUCAACACUGAAAUUCACUAGAAAAAAAGUUUAUUAUUGAUACUUCAUUUGUGUAAAAGCAUUAUAUUUCUUGCAUCAAUCGUAAAGCAUGACAUUCCAGUAGGUACGGAAGAGAAAAUUUGUUAUGAAUUGAAAAAUCUGUCAAGCUUAAUUUGGAGGGCCCAAAAUUGACACGUUUAAGAGCUCUAUCAUUAGCCCAAUGAUAAGAGUCCAUUUCUUGAGUUUCAAGGAAGGCCCAAGUUUAACUUAGAGGGCCCAAUCUUGGUACCUUCUAAAAGGUGCAAACUUUGGCCCAAUUAUAAAAGCUUAUCCUUGCUUCCUAAGCAUCAAUGAUAUAUUUGAUCGAAGUAUUCACAUAACUAUCACGAAAUGAAAUGAAAUGAAAAUGUAUAAGUAAAUGAUGAUUUUGAGUUAUUUACUGACAAUAAAGAAUUAGGUGGUGUUUGUUUUUUUUUUUUUGGCUUUUUACUAAAAGCAAUUUGUUUUCAGAAUUUAGGUUAUUUAUUUUUCUAUUUUUUCAUGACUUAUUAUAAACUUUUUACUAAAUAAGAAAAUCCAAAAUAUAUAGUUUUUUCUAAAUAGAAAAAAUAACAUAUUGGUUUUCUUUUUUUUUUACUUUUUAAUAUUUAAUAGAAAUAAAAUAUUAUAAAAACAAACAACCUAAUAUUUAACACUAUUAAGUAUUAAGGUUUUAUUUAGAAUUAAGUAAAAAAACAAACACUACCUUAAAAUGAAAAGUAUGUAUAAUGACCUUAUACAAAAAAAGUCUCAUUAUUUUCUUCCAAAGAACUCAUACUUUUGUUUUUCAACUAUUACUUUGUUUUUAUUUUUUAAAUAAUAUUUCAAGUUUUUUUUAAUAAUACCUUUCUCUUUAUUAGAUAAUUUUAAUGACUUUAAAAGUAUUUUAAUAUAUUAAUUUAUUAUAUAAUUUUAAUGAUUUAAAAAUAUUUAAAUGUUGAAAUAUUUAUUUUCAAGUCUAAUUUUAAUUAUUUAUUUUUUGAAGUAUUUAAAUAUAUAAUAAAUGUGGGAUUAUGUAAAUCUAGUUGUAAUUAUUUAUUUCAUUCUAUUCAUGUUUUUAGUUGAAUUUGCUCAAAAUUUACACCUCUUUAUUUAAAGAUCAUGGAUUAGUUAGGUGUCUUGAGAUUUUUUUUCUCUCAAGACACUACUUGUUACACUAGAAAAUAAUUUGUGGCUAUAUUUUUUAGGCAAAAAGAAUUAUAUGUUAAAACUUCCUUUAUUGACUAGUUUAUCAUAGGGUGUAGAGGAAAGUUUGUGAUGUCUUUUUAUGUCAACUUUGGGAGAAAAAUAUCACUUUAGCAUUUUCCUUAGAAAAUUUUCAUACAUAAUUGAUUUUGGAACUAUGGAGGAGCAUAAGUAGGGAUAGAUAAUUCGAUUUUGGAAAAAUUAUAAUAGCUUUUCAACUUGGUGUUAAUGAUAUAUUGUUUAUUUCUUAUUUUUUUUCCAUUUUAAUAUAUAAUUGGGGAUUUUAAACUUGUAGAACAAGGCUUUUUCAAUUGAAUUGACACGUACAUAUGAAAGUUCUCUUUGGUUGCUAAUCACAUUUUUUUUUCUUUUGCUUUUUGUUUUUAUCAUAAUGAAUAUUGAACUCGAAAUUCAGUUUUUAAAAUCUUAUGAUGUUUUAAAGUUUAUAAAUAUUAUUGAUUUUUAUAAAUGAUGUUAUUCAUAUCUUGGUAAAGACAAUAUUUUCAUAUCGGUCAAGAUGAUUAAUAACAUAUAAGUUCAUAAAGAAAAACCUAUUGAUUAAUGGAUAUUUAAUGAUUUUUAUUAGGAAUGUUUUUUAAUUAGUUUCAAUACUCAUCUUUUAGAGCAUACAUAUAGGGUUUUAGAUGCUACAUUGGUUUUCAGCUUGUGAUUUAAAUUAUUGAAGCAAAAAAUGAGGGUUUUGCUUUAUGGAACUAUCUAAAGGGAGGUGAAUUAGGCGGUCUUCCUUUUUAAAAUCCAAAAAUUAGAUUUUUAAUACUUAUAUUAGUUAUACAUGUGUUCAAUAAUUAAAACAAAGAACAAGUCCAUAAUUUACAUGUGAUGUGCAUGGAAAAACACCUACAAAUUCUCUCAAAUACUUUACAAAUGAAAAAAAAAUCAAGGAUCGAUCAAUCACAGAGCAACUUCACUAAAUAUGAAAACAUGACUAUACAAUUUUACUUGGAUGAGGUGCUACCUUCUCUUAAGGGUUUUUACACUAGCCAACAAUUACACUCACCUUCACUCUCACCAUGCACCUCUAUUGUGCUCCAUAGUAAACACUUUAAUGACUGUAGCAAGAUUGCGAUAAAUUACUGCGAUUAAUUUGAGAGUGUUGAUAAUGAACAAAAAAUAAUGAUAAUUAACUAGAGAGCAUAUGAUUUUGUAAAAACACCAAAAAGAGGCAUAGUUAUAAGUGAAAACUUUAAUGGAUUGGAUUGAAUAUAUAAUUGAAGUAUGAAUGAAAAAUUACCAAAACAAUGUUCAAAACCGUGCUAAUCAAAGCACAAUCACUUGAGUACUCUCAUGGGGCACUUGAAUGCUCCUUUUAAUCACCGUAAUGCUGAAAUUAAUAAUUUGUCUCAAAUUGUUUUUCCAAAACAUAAAGCAAAAUAUUAUAAAUUUAUAUAAUCAAACCCAAUUUCAUCUUAAAGCUAGCCUACUUAGUCUUAAUUCAUGUCCAAAAAUACUCAUACUUGUCAAAGAAUGAAUAUGGUAUAAACAAAUUCUUUAUUUUCAAUUAUAUUCAAUUAUUGAAAGAAUAAAUCGGUUUACAUACAUUUUGAACAAAGGUAUAUACACAUAGACUAAAUCAAGGAAAUGAGGAAAUCAAUCACAAUCAAAUCAAAAUCAAAUGAUAGGUUGAUAUCUAGGAGAAGGUUAAGUUAGAACCAACUCAUGUAUUCAAUAUUCCCCCUUAAGAUGGCAUAUGGAGAUCAUGAAUAUCAAACCUAGAAAGUAAGGGAUAUGAAAUAUCUAUACCAAGGGAUUUUAUGAAAUAUCAACCAAUUGUUGUUGUGAUUAAACAAAUUGAAUAAGAAUAAUUUCAUUUCGAAUCUUUUCAUAGAUCAAGUGACAAUCAAUUUCAACGUGUUUAUUCUGUUCAUGGAAAAUUAGAUUAAUAGCAAUGUAUAGAGUUGUAUUAUUGUCACAAUAUAGAUGCAUUGACCAAGGAUGAUGAACUCCAAAAUCUAUAAGUAAAUAUUGCAACCAAUGCAAGUAGUAAUCAUUAAAUAAUAUUUCACUUUUCUUCAUGAGUGUUAUAUCAUUGAUUGCUUUUUAGAUCUUCAAGAGAUUGAUAGGCCACCAAGUAAAAUACAAUACCCUAUAAUUGAACAUCAAGAUUAUGCACAAUAGGCAUGGAGGAAGGCAAAAGAAUUCCUUGACCUAGACGAUUUUUUAAAUAGUAUAACACUCAUGUACUUGUGAGAUAAUUGAGACUACAUUGGCUUGUCAAGAAUUUGAACAUAAUUAGCAAUAUUAAGCCCUAUCAUUAUGAGUCAAAGUAACUUCCCAAUCAAAUGCCUAUAAUAAGAAGCAUCCAACAAAGGUUCUCUAUCUAAUUUACUCAAUUCCAAAUUUUGUUUCCUAGGAGUUUUUAAAGUUACAUGUUCCAAGAAAACCAAAAUCUUUUAGUACUUCUAGAGCAUGUUUUCAAUAACUUAAAUAAAUCUCAUUCUUAAAAUAUGUCAUUUCAAUGAUGAUGAAGUACUUUAAUUUUCCAAUCUCUUAGUUAGUUUGAAAAUGCUAUAUAGGUUUUCCUUGACCACCUUAAUUCCUUUAAGAUCAUUCAUUGUAAUAAUUAUAUCAUAAAUGUAAACAAGAAUGAUUGUGAAAUAGUUAUUUGAGGCUUGAGCAAAUAAGAAGUAAUAUGUACGUCUUGGCUUGCUUGUAAACCAUAAACAUCAAUGUGAUAGAUAAUUUGGCAAACCAUCAACGUGAAGCUUGCUCAAGGCCAUAAAGGGAUUUUUUAACUUUGCAAAUCAUAUUUUUGGUUCUAGAUUUCCUACAAACUUGGUGGAAGCUGCAUGUAUACCUCUUUAUCUAAGUCUUCAUAAAGAAAAACAUCGUUGAUGUCAAGUUGGUGAAGAUGUCAAAUUCUAAUUAUACAAUAAUUAGGGGUGACAAUGUGUCUUAUCGUGUUGAGGUGAGAAAUAGUGAAAAUUUACUUAAUCCGACUAUGACCCGUUUGAUAAUCGUGUCAAAAUAACCUAACAUGAAUACAAUUAGUUUAUUUCAUGUAACAUGACCCUUUUAACAUGUUUAAUAAAUAUAUUAACUUGGAUUAUGUAUUAAUUGACAUGAAUAACUCAUUAACUUGAUUUCAACCCCUUAAACUCAUUAACACAAUUCCAACCCAAUAAACUCGUUAAUAUGAUUUAACUCAUUAAACUUGUUAAUAGGAUUAUAACCUCUUUAACCUAUUUAAAAUUUUAAAUUUAUAAAUAAUAAAAUACUUCUAGAAAGUUUAAUUUUUAAAAUUUGAACUAUAAUACAUGUAUGCACCAAUUUCAUGAAGUCCUGAAAAAUUAGCAAAAUUAUAGAAAAAUAAUAUAAACAAAAAUUUGUAUUAAAAUUAAUAAGUAUGGGCUACAAUAUUAGUCAUAGUACUGCUUAUUUCUGAAUGACUUUAUUAAAAAGCGAAGAAUACAUGUGUAGUUCUUAUGUGAUUUCUUAAACUUGUAAGGCGAUUUUAUAAAGUUUUUUUUUUCUUUGUGAAACCUCUUUUUCUAUGUGAAAUUGUUUUGCCGAUUUGAAAUCUUCAUUAAAGGAAGUUACUAUUAUUUAUAAUUGAAAUUAGAGAAUGAAAUGUGGAAUCCCCAUGAUUUAGUUGCUUAAUUCAAGGAAUUUGAUUAAUUGAUUUUGGUAACUUGUCUCAUAAAAUUUUCUAACAAGAAUAUUUAUUUUUAAUCUCUUUUAUUUCAAUUGGAAUAUUUGUUUCCUUUGUAAAUUUGUCAAUAGAAUAUUUAUUUAUUUAUUUAAUUCUCUUUUGACUACAAUGAGAAGAUUUGAUUUUGUUUGUAAGACUAAAUUUUAUAACCUUUCAAAUUUGGCCAAGUGACACCUUUUGAAUAUAUGUCACAUGUCAAAUGUGUGUGACUCAUUAGUUGUUGAACCUAAAUUUUCUUGAAUUAGAAAGCUAUACUUUUGAAGACUAAUUUAGUGAUAAUUUAAUUCAUUAAAUUUUUUUGGUGUCUACAGUAUAUUUAUAAUAUGAAAAGUAAAUUAAAAUUUUAAUUUUUUUACUUGUUUAUUAUUUUAUUUAUUAUUUAAUGAUAAAUAUUUUUAUUCUUUAUUGAAAUAUAUAAAAUUUUAAUUAAUAUUUUAAUUUUUUUAAUUUCUAUAUAUAAAAUAUAUAGAUUUAUAUGGUCUAAUUGAGUCAUUAAAAUAAAUAGGGUAAAUAACUCACACAUAAGUGAUGGAUCAUUCUAACAUGAUUAAAUUAACAAGUUAGAUGAAUUGAGUAGUCAAAUACAAACAUGAUUUGUUUAUUAAAUAAGUUAUAUGAAUUGAUACGAUUAUGACAUCAACUCAAUUAAACUUAACUCAAAUAAGCUUUGUCUUUUAUUUUAAGUUGUCUAGUUGUUCACACAAAUUUUCUCAAAAUAAAGAAAUUAUAUAUAAAAUUGUAAAUUUGAUUAUUUGAGGGGACCAUUUUCAAUACUCUUUUUUAAGUAAUCUGGUGUUUAAUUUUGAAUCAAAGGGGCUUUCAUUAACAAAUAAUAGACUGUAGUUUUCAUAUAAGAAGAAAUCUCAAGCCUUUUUUUCUUGAAGGAAUCUUUAAAUUUUCUUUGAUACUUUAAAAAAUCAAUCUUCUUUGAUUUUUUAAGAAAUCUUUGAAUUUUCUUAAAGUCUUCAAAAAAAAAAAAAAAAAAAAAACUGAGUUUAAGGAAUUUUUUUAAUAACUCUCCAAAUUUCUUUGAUAUUCCAAAGUGUCCUUUAGAAGGGGACAAAUCCUCUAUUUACAGGAUUGAGAGUUUUAUUUUAAUAUUAUCUCUUAAUUUUUAAGAAAUAACUCUCUUAUUUAUGAUAAUUACUAUUUAUUUUAUUUAUCAUAAUUAGUUGCCUAUGAUAAUUAUCAUAAUUAAUUUUUCUAGAGAUAAAUAAUUAUAUAUAUUUAAUUAAUCAUGAUAACUAUAAUAUUUAUUUAAUUUUUUAUUAAAUUAUUUUACAUAACAUAUCAAUAUAUAUUAUUAGUCAAUUAUUAACACCGAAAAUUAAUGAGUUGGCAUAAAAUUUAUCUCUCUAUAAUAGUAUCAAAGCGAGCCUUAAUAAUAACAUUGCUUAUAGUCAAUUUCACAUGCCAACUUUUUACUGGGCAUUGGCGAUUUCAAUUUUGAUAGUCCGGUUAGAAAAAGUAGGUAAAGAUUAUUUGAUGUGGUAGGUCAUUUCUUUCAUAAAGACGAUGGCGGUGAAUUCAUGAGACAGGUGAUAAAGGAGAGAUUCUUUCUUUUGGCUUUGGAAUUUUAAUGAGGUCCUCGAUCCUCAUCCAAAAUACACCUCUCCAAUUAUAAAAAUCUUAUUAAAAAAAAAAAGAUUUGACAUGUGCCUUUCGAACUGCUGGUUUUCUGUUCCAAAAAUGAGAAUGGUUUCAAGUGGAUGAAGGAAGGUGAAGAACCCUUGGUUUUGUUAAGCGAAAAGCCACAUGAUUAAAUAAACAUAAGGCGGCAAAGGCUGAAAAUUUAAAAUUAUACUAAGGAACCCACCCCACAGGGCGACUACACUUUUGGUGAAGCCACGAGAAUGAAAGAUAUCGAAGGUGACACCAAGACAUUAAGCAGCACCAAGGUUUCGAUAUAUUAUAAGAUGGGAUCUUAUGAAAGACGAUCUCUAAUCUCUCUCCAAUCUCUUCUUUAACCUUUUCUUACUUAAAUCCAUUUCCAUGGUAGGGCACAUGUCCAGCUGACCCUACCCCCUCACCUACCUAUACUGCUAUACCCUUUUGUAUAAUUUGAUAUGGAUUGGAAGCCACCCCAACAUCUUUCUAAUUGCUCGUAAAUGUUGAGGUGCCUUUCCAUUUUGAGGCUGCCCUAAUGUGUGGCUGAAGUACGUAGGAAAAAAAAAUUGUGAUACAUGCACUGACGAAUCAAAUCCCAAUGUCAAAUUAUUAGACUCACCUGGUUCUUAAAUUAUUGUGAAUGCCGCUGGCCAUGGAUAAAUGGAAUUAGUGCGUGGCUUAAUGAAAAUUUAUUUUGAAAGGGAUAUUAAUUUGAGAGAAUUUUGGCUGAUACUUGGAGUUGAACGUAAGCAUAUAUGACCUCAUUUCGGGUGUGAUAUUGUGCUUAUAACGAACCUUUCGUUCUUUCCAAUUCCAGUGGGUAUUAAAUAAUUAAAGAAUUCAUGGUUCGAAGGCGAAAGGUAGAAGACCAAAAAGGGAUUACAAAGCCAUCGGCUUGACCAUCCAGAUGCAAUGGAUACAAACUUUGGACUCUAUCGAAAGUUCUUUGGGCACGUGCCCAAGUGUCCUACCCAUAUGAUAAGUUACACGUGGCUAAUUGCGGACCGGUUGCUCGUGCUAAACAGGGUACUUUUUCUACGCAUAUAAGAUGUUUCACUAGUGGGGCUUCACCAUGCAAACUCAUGGAUGAAGACCCUGAGGCCAAGAUGAAGGAACAGAAAGAAGGCGGAGGAGAGGUUCGGUAUCGAGGCGUUCGGAGGCGGCCAUGGGGGAAGUUUGCUGCGGAGAUACGUGACUCGACUAGGCAUGGAGCGCGCGUCUGGCUCGGGACUUUCAAUUCUGCGGAGGAGGCUGCAAGAGCAUAUGACCGAGCUGCUUAUGCCAUGAGGGGUUCCUUGGCGAUUCUCAACUUCCCUAAUGAGUAUCAUACACCCGGCACGGCUAGCUCUUCAGCUUCAUCCUCAAUGCCCGAAGGUGAUCAGCAGGGAAAACAAGUCAUUGAAUUGGAGUACUUGGAUGAUAAGCUGCUAGAGGAUCUUCUCGACUCUGAAGACAAAAAGAACAAGAAAACCUGAAGUUUCUGCUGCCUCGAAUCCCCUGAAAUCUAGUGCUUCAUCGAAAAAAAAUCCCCUCGCUCCUGAUUAACAACAUUUUUAUUUUAGUCAAUGAAUGUGUUCUCGGAUCAUUAUAAGUAUUUCUGCCGAAGUCCAUUGAUUUUUGGAGACUGAAAAAUGUCAGAAAAAUUGGUGCGAACAGGUUUACUCCUUUCUAAAUUAUGCAAUUGAAGUAUUUGGAUUAGUGCGCAGUGUAAACAUCAAGGAAAGCAUGAUCCACUAUUUUAAGGAGCCUAAGUGCUUUCCCCUUUACUCUUUUAGGAUGUCUUUUCAGUGAAGAAAGUUGGGAGACCACCACUUACCCUUUUGAUUGGUAUAUAACUGCCAACUAAUAACUGGACUAACAUUUGGCCCGUCUGGCCCUACUUCUUUGACUUUGUUGUUAAUUUAUAACUUUAUGUGAAGUGGGGGCUGUUUGGGAAUGUGUGAAGCAAGGAUUUGAGCCGACUUCGCCUAAUCUGAUUCUCCAUAAGUGACUUCAUUUUAUCAUAUUGGUGUUUUUUUUCUUCUUCUUUUUAAAUGGCUGGGGAGGAGGGGAUUUGGGAGGGAUGCAAUGCCAUGGUUGCAUGCUGGAUUAUCCUUCCAAAUGAAACAUCCAUUUGGUUUCUAGUAACUAAUUGCAAACAAUUAAAGAGAAUAAAAUUUUAAGAUGAUUAAACAAUAAGUACCUAUGUCCAUGAAAAGGAGAGAAGUUCACUCAUGGGUGUUCAUGAAAGACAUCACAAAGAACCAUCAAUAUGAGAAGAAUCCUGAUACAAUUAACUUUCAUGCAUAAGAAAAGACGCUCAAAAAAGAAUAAUGCUUACAAGGAAAGAAUCUCACUACGAUCAACUGAAAAAAUAUUCCAAUUUAAUUGGAAAUCCUUACAUGGGAAGAAUAUCAAUAAAAUCAACUAAAAAAAUAUUUUAAUUUUAUAUCAAAAUAUUUGUGAUUUAACCCGUAUCAUUUCAUCAUGACUUCUUAUAAAUUUUGUUCCUUUUUAUCAACACCACCCCUUGAGUUGGAGCAUAAAUAUUUAUUAAGCUAACUUGAACAAGAUCUUGAGAAAUUUUGUCGCAGGAUUUGUUUGCACUUUUUUUUUUCAAAUAAAGUCAUAAUUAACUUUAAUAUGUUUAAUCAUUUCAUGAAAUACUAGAUUUUAAGCAAUGUUGAUAGCAUACUUAUGCCUGAAAGCUUUAUCCCAAAUCACAUGAGUACAUGAAGUGAUUGCAUCAUUAAUGGUAGUAUUAUUACUUUAUAUUCAACUUCUCCACUUGAUAGGAUGCAUGAAAGCAUUGUGCUUUCUUCUGUUUCAAGUAAUAAAGAUUAUCACCAAGAAAGGUGCAAUUAAUACCUAGUAACAGAGUACCUAGUGGUAGCAUGCACCUAUCCACUGAACUUGUACUCGACUCUAUGAGUGUACGUUACAUAGUCCUUUUUUCGAAGUCUAAAUGUCCCUUGAUAAAACCUUCUAAUAUUUGAGGUUUUGGUAACAUUCAUGUAUCAAUGAACAAAUUAAUUUACUAGCUAAACUUUAAAAUUAGGCAAUGUUUUUCAAUGGGUGAUCAAGAUCUUGGAAUUUUCAAUGUUGUUUGAAUAGCUUCCACACACAAGCAUAUUUUCUCCUAUUUAGGAAUAAUCCCUUUUUUGAAGGUGUGAUCUUUAUGCUCAAAAAAUAAAGAUACUCAAAAAUUUAAUAUUGACCUUCUCGUGAAGGAAAAGCUUUAUAACUAAUUUUUUUUGUGCAUUAUAUAUAUCCUCAAUAUAGACUUUAAAAAAAAAAGAAGUAACUCCCUCUACAAAGAGUGAAGAGUCAAUUAAACUUUUUUUUUUUUAAAAAAAAGGAACCAAUUACUCGUAAAAGUAAUGAUUAUUUUUACAUACCAAACUUGAGGAGAUUACUUAAGAUCACAAAAGUUUUUAUUAAAUUGCAAGCUAGAUGCAUUUGAAACGAUCGUUGAUGUCUUAGCAACACCUUAUGUAACUCAUCAAUCUUUAUGUAAAAAUGCAUUUUUAACACCCAUAUAAAAUAAUGAUCAAUCCUAAUUUAAUAGAAACAAAUGGUAAUACAUGAAUAUCAUUCAUAUUAAUGAGAAAAGUAAAUAUUGAUUUAUAAUCAACUUCUUAAGUUUGUGUCAAUGCCUUAAUCAUUAGUUUAACUUUGUCAUUCAAUGAUACCAUCAUUACGACAUUUAAUUAACUUAGAUUUGCGUAAAUCCCUUAAUCACUAGUCUAGCUUUAUGUCAUUCAAUGGUACCAUCAUUAUGGUAUUUAAUUGAUCUUAUACCCCCAAUUUGUAUACCCCAUGUUUUUCUUAAUUUACCAUACAUCACUUAACAAUGUUCCAUGCAUGGAUUUUGUUAAGUGCCUUAAGUUCCUUUUGCAUAGCCUUUCUCCAAAUUGGAUGAGGAUUGGCUUCAUUAAUGUCAUUAGACUCAUGAUAUAUGGAACUCAAACAAUUGUUAAGUGAUUUUGUAUAUAUAUAAAAAAAAAAUUGUAAUUAAUGUGGUAGGCAUAAAAAUCUCACAAAUGAGGAUUGAUUAAUUGUUAUAAUUGAGCAACAUGCUUGAGGCUUAGUCACAAUACUAGAACUUGAAGUCAGACAUUCUCUUCAAAUAAGGACGUAUAUACAUUAUAUUGGAUCUCCAUUAAACAAGUAAAGAACUAUUUAGUAGACAAUGAAACCUCAUUGAUCAAUGGUGGUAGAGAGACACAUGAUGACCAGACUAUUCCCCUGGAAAUGAGAAUAAAAAAUAUCAUUAGCCGCAAAAAUCUCAAAAAAAUUUAGAUAAUGGGAUAUAAAGAGUUUAUGAAUUUUACAAUCAUAACUCUUAUACUGGUUUAAGUGGUAGAGUAAUCAAGAACACAAAACGAGUUUGAUGAGUGGUUGAGAUAUGAACAAAGCAAAGAUUUCCAAAGACACCAAAAUCAGAAAUCUCAAUUUUUGGGCUAAGGAUUUCAAGAAGAAAUUUAAAAUUAACUACAUGACUAGAAAAUUUGUUCAUCAAGGAAAUAGAAGUAACGAUAUCAUAACAUCAUAAUUAAUCAAUAUUUUUAAUAACAUGCAUUUGGAACAUGAUAUACCGGCUUUCUAAUAAUCAAUGAUUUUUGGUUCAACCACACCAUUUUGUUUUGGGAUGCCAAUACAACAAGUUUAACGAANNNNNNNNNNNNNNNNNNNNNNNNNNNNNNNNNNNNNNNNNNNNNNNNNNNNNNNNNNNNNNNNNNNNNNNNNNNNNNNNNNNNNNNNNNNNNNNNNNNNAUGUAAGUGCCAAAUUAGGUAGUGUCGACAAUGAAAUGGAAAUUUUGGAAUAUAGAAACAACCUCAUUUUUAUGUUCUAAUAAGUAAACCUAUGUAGCAUAAGAAUAGUCAUUAAAAAAAAAGGUAACAAAAUGUUGAUUUCCAUCCUAUGGAUCAAUUAGGACACAACCCCAAGGUAAACUAAUUUGAAAGUUGCAACAAAAAUGGAAAGAGAUGAAAAAAUAAUAGAGGAAUUUAAGGUUGUUUCAAAAUUUCAAGACAUGCUAAGAAACACAUGAGAUUAUAGAUGAUUAGGUAACAACCUUGGUUAAGUAUAUUCAACAUAUAUAUCCCACGAGGAUAAAUAUCUUCACUAAACUUUUCCUAUUAUUCAAUCCCCUAAUACCAUACAAGUGAAAAAUUAAUGUCACGGUCAAAAAUUUUAAUAAGCUUCCAAAGAGAUAAUAAUUUUGGGGAAAAAAACAACCUAAGAAACCUAUGAAUUGAGAUAAUUUAGGAAAAAACUAAAUGUUCGUUAGCUCUAGAAGGGAAUUGAAGCUCAUCAUCAAUAAAGAUUGUUGCUAUCUCGAAUAAUAUCAAGUAAACCAUUAAGAUCGCUAUUAAUGGUAUGAUUAGCAGCACCAAUUAUCGACAAAAAAAUUAUUAAAAAUAUAAGAAAUGAGAGCUUUAAGAUUAUCUAAUUGAUUUGUAAACCUAGGUAAGUGAAUCAGUAUUACGUUUUGUUAAGGAAGCUUAGAUCCAAUUGGUAUCAUUCACCAAGUUAUUGGAUUAAAUUACACUAUCAAACUUUGGCUUUAAAUGAGAAUGAAGAAUCUAACCACAAUCCUUAUUGGGAUUAGAUAUGUUAUUGCAAUAAUGUUUACAAUCGGAUGAGUGCUAAUUUCUAUUGAAAUCAUGAAGCAAUCUCUGAUCAUUGGUCUUCUUUGUAGAAACAUGAGCAUUGAAUUUAAAAUUAAUAAUUGUUACUUGGGAUUCAACCUUCAUAAUCAUUGCCUGGGUUUCCUAAUCACUUUCAAGAAUUACUUAUAUAGUGAAGGCACUCGAAACUAAUCAAAUUUGUCCUCUUAUAAAGUUGUCAUAUUCAAGCUUCAGAAUAGCCAAUAAUUGAAAAACUUAUCAUACUCCGCAAUUUGUUGAAGAAUAUUUGGGUCUAUUGAAGGGGACAAUAUAGGGAAUAUUUGUCCCAUAUGCUCAAAAUGUUCAAUUAACAAAGUGUUCUGUAUGUUUAGGGAUUUGUUAGCUUUAAUUACACAAAACAUUAGCAGUUUUAGAGAAAAUUAAUUUUUUUUUGCAAUCUUAGGUUCCAUGAAAUUAAAAAGCCAAUAACAAGUCAAUAUGGCUUGAGACCCAGUCAUCAUAUUCAAAGUCAUCCAACUUAGAAGCAUUCAUUUUGCCACUAACAUGUGCUAAUUUCCAUUUUCUAUCUUUCAAGAGAAAAAGACUGCUCUUAACCAUGGCAAAUAAUUGAACCCAUUAAGAAGAUUGAGGAAAGUAUCAUAUGAGGGUUGUCAUUUUCCUCCAUGACAAAGAAAAAGCAACAGAGAAAAACUCAUAAUAUUAGAAAGAGAAUGAAAGAAAUUGAGUCAUAGAUACACACAGAAGAAUCCAAAAAUAAAGCAAUAAUACAACCACAAAUAUGAGAAGAAGCUCAAUUACAAAGAAAGGAACUCAAUACAAUCAACUAAAAAGCGUUCCGAAGUUCAUACGAAAAUAUUCAUAAUGUGAAGAUCAUUUCAUGAUUCCUACAAUUUCUUCCUUCUACCAGUCCACUCCAUACAAGGUUUGAUCAACAACUUCUUCAUUGAUUUUCUGGUCUCUCUCCGGUGUAUCAUAGAGCAUUUUUGACAUGUUUCUGCAAGAUACACUUGUUAACUUUAAGCGACAUAAGUGCAAAAAAAUAAGAUCAUGUUGUAUUGCCUGUGCUUCCACUCUGCCUUGUUUAGUACUAUUAUGGAGCAGUACUUCCAUAUAGAACCAGUGAUCUCCAGUUCAUUAUGUUGCCUUCUUUAAACUAACUUUAAUUAUCUAUACAUAUAAAACAAAGUGGUCCCAUCAAGGGGCUAAAUCAAGAAUCAAGUGGGGCGAACAGGAAACAGUGGCAUCAAUUUUUAAGUCCAUAAGCUUUAAUAAAAGGAAUAAAACCAAGGAUAUGAAUAUGUUAUUUUUUCAUUUGUUCAUGCACUGGAAGAUCUUUCCUCUUCAAGCAUUGAACCAGCAUCCUUCUGUGCAAGUUGCUGUCGGAACCUUCUAUAAUUGUCAGAAGUCUGUUUCUGAAAUAUACAGAUAAAACUUUUAGCAAGUCUUGACAUUGCUCAUCACUAGGACAUUGUACUAGGAUACCAAUUCAUCUAAUUAGGGUUAAGUUGGCAUCUCGUACACUAUUUUUUAUUUUUCCUUCAUCUUUUGUUCCCAUUUGCAGUGGAAGUGGCACUUAGAAUAUCUGAUCAUGAAGAAUUAGCUUUCGGUGAGAUGAUACUAGGUCAAUUGCCAUUAUCUUUUUGAGUUACUGUGCGAGCAAUCUUGAAAAUAUUUUGGGAUAAAUAGAAUUUGUGCUUAUCAUAAACAUGCUAAACAUCCAAAUCAAGUGCUUUUACUAUUGAUAUCAAAUCAGUAAUUGAUUUUAACCUUUAUGCUUAUCUUUCAGAUUCUCAAUUAUGUAUCUUGAAUAAUGAUAUUAAGCAGAAAUCAUGAAUUGAAUUGCUUUAAUUAACUGUGCCUUAUCAAGCUUGUCAGCAGUGCUAUUGCUACCGCGAAUCAAAUUCGCUGUGCUUCCCGCCUUCUCCAAAUAAGCCACAAGCCCAAUUAUAUCCGCCCUCCUCCCAUCUCCAAGGGAUCAAAAAAUAAAAUGACUUCAAUCAAUUUUCAAGUUUUCCAUCUUGAUCAGUAGACCACCCGGCAUGAAUGUUACCCUCAGUUUAGGAAUAGGAAUUCCUUUUACUAAUCAUUUGGCACUAAAAACUAUGACCCCUAGCAAUUCAUUCCCUCCAUUAGAUAUCUGGGGGCAUCUUGGCUCAGCCAAAAAUGAUAAGUCAUUGCAUUUCACAUUGCAUUCAUUUGUAUUAAUGAGCUAAUUUUUUUUCACAGAAUGUGAUGUGAAUCGAAUUACUUCCAACCAUGUGUCUCUAUAAGGGUUUAACAAAUGUAAUUUGCAUUGUCUGUACACUUUUUUUUCGGUUUCUUUUCUUUUUUAUGCAUGAUUCAUUAGUCCACGGAUCUUCUAUGCAAAGUGUGCAGGCCAAACACCUCCUUCAAUGCAUUAUUCUAGAAGUUAAGACUCAGUUUACUCCUUAAUUGAUCUGUUCCAUUUACUUCAAAUCAUUUGAUUACAUUAAAUGAAUCUUGAAAUUCAAAAAUGCAUCAAAGUUAAAAGACCUUCCAAUGCAUUAAGAAAUCAUCUGAUACAAAUAUAUGUGAACCUGCAACAACAAUAAUGUCAAAAUGGAAAACUUAGGUAGAAAAUAUUAGAACGGAAACUUACGACGAACUCAAUUUUUGGCGCCUUUCUUCUUCUCAUCUUCUGAUCCAAGAAGCUCUUCCAACACCGUGUCAUCCAAACACUCGAACUCAAUGACUUGCUUUUCUUGCCCAGAAGAGGAACCUCCCAUCUCUAAACUCCUACAAGGCCCAGAAGAUGACGAGGAAGACGAUGAGGAUGGUGAUGGUGGGGGGCGAUGGGAGCCCAUGAUUUCAGAAUAGUACUCAUUAGGAAAGUUAAGAAUGGCAAGAUGACCCCUUAAGUUAAAGGCCGCUCGAUCAUAGGCGCGAGCUGCAUCCUCCGCCCUGUCAAAUGUGCCUAGCCAUAGACGAGCACCUUGCCUAGACGGAUCCCUAAUCUCGGCUGCAAACUUCCCCCAUGGCCUCCUCCUCACCCCUCGGUAUCGAACUUCUUCCUUUUCCUUCCCUUCCUGCUCCUGCUUCUCAUUCCCUUUCGAAUGAUCUUCCAUGCUAAACGUGUCGAUUUGCUAGGCGCAAUUUUUUUGGUUUCAAAUGUGCUGGUUUACGAGAGGCAUGGAUGCUUAUGUAUAUAUAUGGUUGCCACAGUCAGGUCUGACGUCACCGCUCAAUGUAUGUUCCACAGCGUGGGUUGACGAGCUUUCUGAGGGGGUUUCCUCGAAUUCAAAGCAAGUAUAAAAAUUCGAUUCUCCGACCUUUCCAAUGAGGAUCGAACAGGCCUUUUAUUAGAACCGUAUGAUAACUCCACACUGUUUUCAAAUAGUCAAUGUGAUCUAGAUUCUUCGUUAAUUUUUUCCACCUGACUGAUUGUUUACAAUUUUAUUUUUCACCGUCCCAAAUUUAAACCAUUUACGCGAUUCCCUGGAUUGCAUUUUUCUUUAAUGUUGACUUUACGAGGCAAUAGGACCCCCCAGCAACCCCACUAGGGCGACUUCAUGGGAACCAGAUUACUUUUGGAUCCAGAUAUGGUCCAGAAGAAAUAAGACAAAUCAAUUAAUGUCCACUAAAGUUUUGAUGGAACCCUUAGUCCGUGUUUCCUGUGGAUGUAUGUAUUGUAUGCACCUCAAUUUUCACCAAUCCCUGCUACGAGUCCCUUUAAUUUUGACGUUAUAAAUGUUUUUCCUGACAUUAGCAGAGUGUUUUUCUGCCGUCUUUGAGGACCUUCCACGGCCCAUAAACUAAUAAGGAUCGUCCAGUGAAUUUAGUCUUCCCCAGUUAAUUAUCCUGCGAGGGAAACUUGGGCAGUAAGUUGCCUACAUGAGUGGCUCCCGCCUACAUGAGUCAAGGGACCAUACGUCAGGACGACAACCAGUGUGGUCACACCAAAGUGGGUUGCCUGGACUCCAGGGUGGUCGCUUCAAAGUUGUCAAAUGAAGGCUAGCUUGGCAAGUUUUGGAAAACAAUUAUUGAAAAACAUUUUUCAUGAAUAACAGUUUCUAUGAACAGAUUUUAAGAAAGUUUAUUUUGUGAUUUUUAGGAAUAUUUUUAAUUUAAAUUUUUAUAUUUUUAAUUUUUUAUUAAUUUAUUGAUUAUUUAAUAUUAGCUUAAUUAAUGGAUUUUUCUUGGUCCCAAAUUAUUAAUUUAUCAAGAUUUAAUCGCAUCCAUAAUUAGUCUAAUUUCUUUUGGAGUGAGUGUGACAAAGUGCAAAUUUCUAGAGUUUUAUUAAUGUUAUUCAAUGUCAUAAUUUAACUAAUUAUAUUAAUUAUUUAUUAAUCAAAAUAAAUCAUUCACUUGAAAUAUGAUAAUUUAAAUUAAAAGUUUCAAUUAUUUAUUAAUUAGCAAAGUAUGAACUUUUCUUCUUGUUUUAUUAUUGUUAUUCCAUGUAUAUAAUUUAAUUAACUGUUUCCAAUAUUAAUCAAUAAAAAUAGAAUAUAAGCAUGAGAAGAAUUAGUAAAAUUCAUUGAUUUGGAAUUAGAUAGCUAGAGGAAGAACUUCAUCAUCUUCCCAUUACUUAAAUUUGUAUAAAUUCUAAAUAUUUAAACCCCCCCCCCCCCCCCCCCCCCCAAAAAAAAAAAAAAUGGUAAAGAAAGACUCCCCAAGCUUUCUUGGUUGGUGUUACCCUAAAAUUUGUACAAUAAGAUGAACCAUUUGGCUUAAAGCUUGGUGCGAAACCCCUUAUCAAUUGAAAAUAUCAAUGAAGUUGUUGAAUGGUUUUAGAGGACUAUUCUUAUGCAGAGUGGCAUAAGAAGCGAGGAGAUGAAGAGCGGAGAGACGUUAACAUCGGAUGCUGCUACGAAGGUGGGAAUACGGUUAAUUAAUUAGAUUUUGUGAUGGCUUUGAGUUUGAAGGAGUUAGUUUAAUGGGUAUUAUUAGUGAACUGAUAAUUGGAUUUGAUGUAAAGAAGGUUGGUCCAUUGGAUUAGCAAUUGGUUUGGCCUUUUGGGGGCCCCAUUUCCAAAUGCAUUGCCUUUUACAAGCAUUCAACAUCGCUGGACGUAACCAGGCUUGGUUCACCUAAAAGUAUCGCAUGGAUUGAAUUGACUAAGUUUUCAUUGUAGACUAGCCUUGAUUUUCCCUUGACCUGCCCACCAAAUCCUGAUGCCCACGCGAGGGAAUACCUCAAUUUUCUAAUAAUUUAUGCAGUUUCUCUUCAAAGCUCGUGUGAUCACUUGGGUCGGUAAAAUAAUGCAUUCCUCUACUUUUUCUCCCUUCCUAGAUGCAUGUUAUACCAUUAAUUCAAAUGUGAACAUGGGCUUGGCUUUGAAACUUGGUUCAAGGCCCAACAUGUUGACCCACAAUUGAGGUGUAAUUGAAUUUGUACACUUUUCGACUUUGAUACCAUUUGUCAUUACCAUUGACAUUGGGUCAUUGUUGAUUUUGAGUCCACAACUUUUAAGGUUGUUAUUACAAUUUUAAAUUGCGCCCACCCAAUUUAUAUGCAUUAUCCCUUAUAAAUACCGAUAACCUCUCUUUCUUCGAUAAUAUAAAAUGUCACAUAUAUUAUAUAUCUCAAUGUUUUCUUUUACUUUUUUUUUUUUUAUCGAUCGACAUUCUCUCUCAGAUGAUAUGAGAUGUCACAUAUAUUAUAUGUUUCAAUGUUUCUUUUACUUUUUCUCUUUUUCCUCAUGAUUGACAUUGUCUUUCUCAAAUGAUAUGAGUUGUCACAUAUAUUUUAUGUCUCAAUGUUUUCUUUAACUUUUUUUCUCUCUUCUUUAAUGAUCGACGUUCCUUUUCUCAGAUGAUAUGAAAUGUCAUAUAUAUUAUAUGGCUUAAUGUUUUCUUUUACUUAUUCUUUCUUUAUUAAUAAUCGACAUUUUAAGCAAUAUGUGAAUAUAAAGCAUUAAAAUUAUCUCCAUCGUUUUUGGAUGUGGUAUAAAUACACAAUUCUUAUUUUUGUUUUAAAUAUUUCUAUUGCUAUCUAUUGAAAUUUUAUGCAUGAAGCUACCAAGUUAAUUAUACAUAUAUCUUAAGAUUUUUUUUUUUUUUUUUUAUAGGAUAUAUUGUCCAUGAAUAUUUUCUGCAAUGGUAUCUUGUUUGAUUACUAUAAGAAAUAAUAUAUAUAUAUAUAUAUAUAUAUAUAUAUAUAUAUAUAUAUAUAUAUAUAUAUAUUAUAUUUCAAUGUUUCAUAUUUGCUUAAAAUAAAAAUUAUAUUUUAUCACAAUAUUUGGUAUUAAAAAAAAUGAAAUCUCUCUCAUUUAUUAUUACAAAAAAAUUAUAAUUUAUAAUUUUCUAAAUAAGUUUUAUUUAUUUGCUAACUAUAUUCAUGAUUAAAAGAUUUAAAAUUUAUAAAUAAAAAAUAUUAUGUCAUGUCAUUAAAUAAAUAAAAAUAUAUGUAUAUAUUAAAAUUAUGUUUUAUUGUAGCUUUUAAUAUUUUUUUUUUUAUUCUUUUCUUUUUUGAACUACAAUUUUAAUUUUUUUUAAUCAAAAUUUUUUAAUUUACAAAACGAGUAACAUAAAACUUGCCUUUGAACUUUAUUGGAAUGUUAUAUACUACCAUUUGGCUUUCAAGACAUUAGAAAAGGCAUAAGUGUCCCUUUUAUUUUUCCGAAAGGCAUAUUAGACUAUAGUAGGAAGUGUUGUAUAGAGGCAACUAAAAGUUGCCUUUAACUUUAUGAAGUCAUAUACUCCUCUUUGGCUUUGAUGACAUCAACUAGCAAAUUGGAUUUUGUUUCCUUUGCAACAUUUUUCCAUCCAUUAGCCAGUUUUUUUAUACUGUUUGGUGCUUGCCAACAUGGCACACACUAUGGUUCUUAAAAAGUAUUUUUUUUUUUAAGAUACUACGAAAUAAAAUACACGAUUGAAAGAUGAGUCACAAUAAUUUUCAAAACUAAAUUUUUUAAUAUUGUUAAGAAAAUUUGACCACCAAAUGAUUGAUUUUAAAUUACAAAUACUUUUGUUAGCUAAGAAAUUUGUUGUUCUAUUUGUUUCCCUAUAAAUAUGACAACAAUCAUAAAUAUUUUCAUUUUAAGAUAAUUUUCAAAUAUCUUCCAUUAAUAAUAUAAUAGAAUUAGGAAUUUUUUUUUUAGUUAUAACAAUCUAUAAUUAUUUAAGAGUCUUCCUCAAUCUCUAGGUUUAAGAACUUAUUGUUCUUAACAACUAACAUGUCAUCUCUUAAAAUAAUACAUUCUGCAAUAAUUAUUGAAAUAUGAUAUAAUAUAUAUAUCUACUUACAACCAUUUUUGUAGUACCAUUAGAAUUUUUAAUUACCCAUUCUAAAGUAUUUUUAUUCUCUAUUCUUAAACCAUCAAAAUUUAAUUUAAAUCUUUCAUUAAUUGGAUAAAUCCAAUGAAUCUAACAAGUUAAAGGAUUAUGAAUCCGACAAAACAGUUGAUAAUAAAUUAAUAAUGCCAUUAAUAUGAUUUUAAUGUGAAACACAAUUAUCACAUUUAAUACAGUUAGUCCUUGUAUGAUUAAUGUUUUGGAAGCUAAAAUCAAUCUUUUGACUAUAAUAAGAGUUUCUACUAUUUCUAUUUUUGGAUGAUUUUAUAUUUUUCUUAUUGUUUUAGUUUAAUACAAAAAAUAAAAAUAAAAUUACAUUAGUAGAAUUUUUUUAACUUACUCAAAAACCUAUUUUAGUUGAAUGAUUUUUUUAAAAAAAAUAUAAAUAUUUUGUUAAAAGGGAUAAAAUAACCUUACCUUGUGAAAAAGACCUCUUCACCCAAGAUUACUUGUUCAUAAUCCUUUUAAGACGAAAAUGCCCCCUUCCUAAAAAAUAUUUCAUCUUAAACUUAUUUUUCUUUUUAUUGCCCUUUGUUCCAUCCUUCCGGCUUGGGAGAGAAAUUCAUUCUUCUUUUGCGAAGAAAAAUUCCUAUUGCGAUUUUUCAUUUCAAGUGGAAAAAAAAAUUCUUAUUUCAUUUUAAAGAAAUUGUACAUUUUCAAUCUUUCUCUUUGUUCCUAGUUGAGGGUUUUUUUUGUAAUUUUAUCUUAACACUACAAAUUUAAAGGUGAGAUUAAAUCUUAAUGGUUAUUAGUUAAAUCACAUAUCUAACUUUGUUUUUGUCAGGACCUAUAAUAUGAUUGGAACCACCAUCCAAACUUCAUUAGGUGGGAUACUCCCCACCCUCCCCCUCCCCCCGCGAAAUCCUUGGAUUUUAGUUUUGACUUGGAUUUCAAUUGCCCGUAUCAAUUUUUCUUUAUUUAUUAAUUUAUUAAUUUUCAACUUUAACAAAAGCCUUGAAUCAUAUUUAAAUUCAAAUAACUUAAUCCUAAUUAAGUUCUUUUUAAAUAAAAAUUAAUCAUUGAAAAGUUCAUGUGACUAUUAUAAUUGAGAAUUUAUCCCAAGUUGGGUUUUUUGCAAAUAAAAUUUUAUUAUAGGACAUCAUGAUGCAACAUAACAUAAGGUUGUUACUUAAGUUUGUUUUGACCUUGUAAUAUGUUAAAAUGAAAAUGAAGCCAUUGUAACAGGAGAGAAUGAUGAAGCUGUGGAGAGAGCUUAACAAAGCUUGGGUUGGAGAGACUUCACAGGAAGAGAGAGAGAGAAAUAAAGGGUAAAAUUAUCAAAAGAGAAAAGAAAAAAAAAAAAAAAAAAGAAGGUUAUGUCUUCAAAUAAUCAAUAAGAGAUGUCAUUUUUCUAAUUUUCAAAGUUCUUUUGGUCCUUCUCUACAAAUAUCCCUAUAAAAAUAUUAUAAUAUCAAGUUAAUUUGUCAAUACCAAAAUUUAUAUUUUAUAUUAGGGCGACUAAAUAACAUAUAGAAAGAAUUUUAAAUGAGUAAAUCAAAUCAAUUUUGAAACCAAAACUUAAUAAUUACCAAACUUGUAAUCUUAGUCAUUAAAAGUGUACGAUGAAAUCUAAAUUAUUAAGCAAUGAAACAAAAAAUUAAGAUUAAAAUACAAAACGUUAAAAUCAAGAUACAAACUAUUAAAAUGUAAGUGGGAUAUGAGAUGAUAUUAUAAAAAAUAGUGUGAUCCAACAAAAAGUCUAGUACAUCAUUAUCUUCACUUCCAACCAUGUUUAAAAGGUCACAAGUUCUAGCGGUUUCCAAGGACAAUGUUAAAAAUAAUAAAAAUAAAUCCAAUUAAAUAUUAAUUAAUUUAUUUGAAUUUGAGUCCGACAAAAUAGUUGGUAAUAAGUUAAUAAUGCCAUUAAUAUGAUUUUAAUGUGAAACACAAUUAUCACAUUUAAUACCCGUUAGUCCUUGUAUGAUUAACUUUUUAGAAAUUAAUAUCAAUCUUUUGAUUAUAAUAAGAGUUUCUACUAUUUAUAUUUUUGGAUGAUUUUAUAUUUUUCUUAUUGUUUUAGUUUAAUACAAAAAAAUAAAAAUAAAAUUACAUUAGUAGAAUUUUUUUUAACUUAUUCAAAAAACCUAUUGUAAGGUGAAUGGUUUUUUUAUUUUUUUUUUAAAUAUAAAUAUUUUCUUAAAAGGGAUAAAAUAACCUUACCUUGUGAAAAAAGGCCUCUUCACCCAAAUUUACUUGUGCAUAAUCCUUUUCAGACGAAAAUGCCCCCUUCCUAAAAAAUAUUUCAUCUUAAACUUAUUUUUCAUUUUUAUAACCCUUUGUUCCAUCCUUAUGAUUUGGGAGAGGAAGUCAUUCUUCUCUUGUGAAGAAAAAAUUCCUACUGCCAUUUUUCAUUUCAAGUGAAGAAAAAUAUUUAUAUUUCAUUUUAAACAAAUUGUACAUUUUCAAUCUCUCUUUGUUCCUAGUUGAGGUUUUUUUUUUUUUUUUUUUUUUUUGUAAUUUUAUCUUAAUUGUACAAAUUCGAAGAUGAGAUUAAAUCUAUAAUGGUUAUUGGUUAAAUCACUUAUCUAACUUUGUUCUUGACAGAUCGUAUAAUAUGAUUGGAACCACCAUCCUAACUUUAUUAGGUGGGAUCCCUUUUUUUUUUUCCCCAAACCCUUGGAUUUUAGUUUUGACUUAUAUUUCAAUUGUCUGUAUCACUUUUUCUUUAUUUAUUAAUUUUCAACAAGUUCUUUAACAAAAGCCUUGAAUCAUAUUUAAAUUCAAAUAACUUAAUCCCCAUUAAGUUCUUUUUAAAUGAAACUUAAUCAUGUGAAAGUUCAUGUGACUAUUAUAAUUGAGAAUUUAUUCUUAGUUGGGUUUUUUGUAAAUAAAAUUUAGUUAUAGGACUGUGAUGAUCCGUUCUCAACCGUAUAAAUAUUGUUCGUUUUGAAUUCAAAAUAACUUUUACGGCUUUAAAACAUGUUUACAAGAUUAAGAGGAGUCCAUAUUUAUAUAGCUUCACGAACUUUCCCCCCUAUUCGAUGUGGGAUGUCACAAGGACAUCAUGAUGCAACGUAUAACAUAAGAUUGUUUCUUAAGUUUGUCUAACCUUGUAAUGUGUUAAAAUGAAGAUGAAGCCAUUAUAACAGAAGAGAAUGAUGAAGUUGUAGAGAGAGCUUAACAAAGCUUGGGUUGGAGAGACUUCAUAGGAAGAGAGAGAGAGAGAGAGAGAGAAAUAAAGGGUAAAAUUAUCAAAAAAGAAAAAAGAAAAAAAAGAGGGUGAUGUCUCCAAAUAAUCAAUAAGAGAUGUCAUUUUUCUAAUUUCAAAGUUCUUCUGGCCCUUCUCUACAAAUAUCCCUAUAAAAACAUUAUAAUAUCAAGUUAAUUUGUUGAUACCAAAAUUUAUAUAUUAUAUUAGGAUGACUAAAUAACAUAUAGAAAGAAUUUUAAAUGAGUAAAUCAAAUCAAUUUUGAAAUCAAAACUUAAUACCUACCAAACUUGUAAUCUUAGUCAUUUAAAGUGUUCCAUGAAAUCUAAAUUAUUAAGCAGUGAAACAAAAAAUAUAAGAUUAAAAUACAAAACGUUGAAAUCAAGAUUCAAACUAUUAAAACGUAAGUGGAGACGUAAGAUGAUGUCAUAAAAAAUAGUGGGAUCCAACAAAAAGUCUAUUAAUCAUUAUCUUCACUUCCAAUCAUGUUUAAAAGGUCACAAGUUCUAGCGGCUUUCAAGGACGAUGUUAAAAAUAAUAAAAAUAAAUCCAAUUAAAUAUUAAUUAAUUUAUUUGAACAAUAGAUAGGACCAAAAUAAUAUUCUAAAAGGAAUCAUAGGGAAGUCCUUGGACAACCUACGACAUUGAACAAAGGUACAGUGAGACAAUGCACUUAGCCCUUCCUUGUCAUUGCGAUGAAUAUAAAAAGACACCCUGAUUGAGGGUGCCCCACUAAGCCAAGAGUGAUUCUUUUGUAUUGUAUAACGUGAAUAUUUUUGAACUUUGAAUGACCCUUCCUAUAGUCAUCAUUGUCAAAACUAGAAAAUCAGAAAGAUGCGAUGUACGAAGGCACCAUUGAAUAAGAGGCUUAAUUCUCUUUGGCAAUUAGGAUAAAGUUUCAAAAUAGAAAAAUUAAACAAAUGUACAGUGUACGGACACUUGGGCAUUGCCUAUUUGUUUUGUUCUUCUAGAGUUGUAUAUGGUAAAGGUCAUAUUGGGUUGGUUCUAUUUGGUUAUUGAAGUCGGCUAGAAUAUUAGAUUUGGUUUCAAUCUAAUCCCAUAUGAUAUUAGAAUACCAGCCCAUACAGAAUUUUUGACCAAAUAUAAUAUUUCUUUUAAAUAUAAAUAUAGUAAUUAAUUUUAGUCUAAGAUUAAUUAUGUAGUUUCCUAAAGAGACCACUUCCUAAACGGUAGCUAUGUGGAAGUUGGGCCAGGUCCUGCCGAGAAGGUUUCCACGAGCUGAGCCCAAAACUGAGUAGCUGUGAUGGGAUCAUUCUAGCAUUCAGCCUGAAACUUGUAACAUAACGGAUCGAGAGGCCUGAACUCCAAGACCAUGGUUCGUCAGCCCAUUAACUUCAACAGCACGCAUUUUAGAGGACUGGGCUUGCAAGGGGUGAGGUUUCCGGGCCGCGACCCCAAAUAUGAACAGCCUCAGAAGUGAUAUUGCUUACUGGCACGUGAAGAGCGCAAGCGUAACUAGAAGAUUUGUAAUGCCGCUUUAAUUGUUUGAUUAUAGAAUCCCACGCAUUACGCAUGGAAAGUGUAAAAGAUAAAAGAUGUAGAAUUUUUUCUUAGAGAAAAGUUCGUUUGGAUAUAGUUAUUGUUUUUUUUUUAAAUAAUAAUUGUUUUUUUUAUAAAUUAUAGAUAAUCUUAGAAAUUUAUCUUUAAAAAAAUAGUUUUUAAAAAUAUUUAAGGAGAAUAAAAGUGAUAAAAAAAAACUUUACAAUUUCAAAUUUUUAAAAAAUGAAAAUUAUUUUUAAGAAUAUAAGUUAAUCUCCUGCAUUUAAAUCUUAGGUGGUUUUUGUUUUUUUUACUUUUCGCUGAAAACAAUUUGUUUUCAAAAUUUAGGUCAUUUGUUUUUUCUAUUUUUUCAUGAUUUAUUAUAAAUUUUUUACUAAAUAAAAAAAAUCAAAAUAUGUAACUUUUUCUAAAUAAAAAAAAUAACGUAUUGAUUUUUCUUUACUUUUUAAUACUUAAUAGAUAUAAAAUACUACAAAAACAAAAAAUCUAAUAUUUAACACUAUUAAGCAUUAAAGUUCUAUUUAGAAUUAAGUAAAAAAACAAACACCACCUUAUAUUUUAUAUAAAAGUUACUUAUAUUUUGGUUUUUGGAAAUAAAAAAUAUAAAGCAUAUCCAAACAUGAGCUUAGCUAUUUUAAAUCAUAUCAAAAUAAUAAUCCCAAUAAGGUAAAUGGACUUUUAUACGGAGAAUAAUCUUUAAGGUUUUCAUUUUUAUUGGAUUUUUUUUUUGUGGUGUUUUUUCAAUCCAUCUUCUCAAUUAAUUCCUUAAAAUUAUUUUACUGUUUUUUUUUUUUUCAGUUUCUAAAUAUUUGAUUUUUCCAAAAUGCUUAAAUGGAAGACACUAAUUUUUCAAGAUAUUUGGUAUUACAAUUUUCCCUGUUCUCCCUAUUAUCUAUCAGAUUCAUGGCCCUUUUGUUUUUUCAUUGGUUUUCAAUUUAAUUUUCCAAAUAUUACAUUGUUGUGUUUUGAAUUUGUGAAACCAAUUUUAUAUAUAUAUAUAGUAUGUAAGUCUACUUUGGGUAACAUGUACAGAGAGGUUUUCAUGUGUUUGAAACCUUUUACCUCAAAAAUUAAUUAUUUUUAAUUUUAUAAUAAAUCUUUUUUUAUUUUUUAUUUUAUUUAGGAAAGCCUAUAUUUAAACUACAUGUUUGCAACGCAACACCAUACAUACUCCUAGUGGAACUUACCUUAGUGCUUGAGGGGGAUGCAGAUCUUCUUCUAAACCUAACUAAUAAGCAUAAAAUUGUUCACUAAUUAGCAUAUCUAGUAAAUCAUACAAAUUGGCAAUAUUUCAUGUUUUUCAUGUUUUGUCAAUAAAAGGCGUCUUGACCAUUUUGUGAGUUUUGUAAUAAAUAAAAAAAAAAAAAAAAAAAGGGCAAAAGGUGACUAAAAUGAGGCACUUUGGAAAGGUUAAUAACCUAAAAGGAAGAUGAAUUAAUACCCCCUUAUUCCUCUUCAAAAACCAUUGAGAAAAUGCAAGAAAUGCUCUUAGUUGUAUGCUAGGCUAACAGCCUAGCAACCAUAAUACCCUUCUUUGCAAUUGUAAGCAUUUUUUUUUUUUUUUUGAAGGCCAAACAACGUUGCAAACUUCCCAAAUCCCUUCUUUAUUUUUUAUUUUUUUAUUUUUGUUUUUAGAAGGAGAAUGAAUUUGAUGACAAACUCCUUGUCAAUCUUAUCCAAACCACGAUCGAACAGAACUCCUUGUCAAUCUUAUCCAAACCGUGUUCCACCUCAAAAACAUGUGUAGGACUUAAGGCAGCAACUGGCAAGCAUGACUGAUAGGGCCAAGUGCCCUUGUCUCUACAAUCCAUUAAGUUAACCAAGGGCAGUGAACCAUCAUUCUUUUCAAAAGCUUCAUUCCGUGUUGAAAAUGUGAGACUGAAGCAUGGUGCCCCCAAAAAUAACGAUCUAUUUACUAGCAGCAUGCCUGGACCCAUUAAAAAUACUCUACUUUAGGAAUAGAAAAAAUUACAUCUUUAUCCAAUAAUUUUAUAACAAUUCAGACGUUUCAGUCUAUAAAUAAUUGUACAUAGUUGCCAACGUUUAGCUAGUUUCAAAUGAAUAGCCUAGGUUCAUGCACCAGUUUGGCUGGUGGAGGAAAGGGAUUCGAGACAUUGAACCCUCUUUUUAGUGUGCCAAAUAUUCCACAAAAAUCACUACCUUCUCUUUGUGUUUGUUCACUUUUAGUUUAUAUUUAAUAAAUCUAUGUUUUCGAGUAGAGGUUGGGUUCAGGUGCGACCCACGUCACCUCUCGGACGGUCUUGAAAAAGGAGACCGGACCACGUAAUUUCAAAUGUAGUGACCAUCUCACUUUUACCUCCAUCCUUGAAGAUGGUUUCCCAAAUCAAUAUUAAUCUUUUGUUUACGACAAUAUCGAUCACUUUAUGUCUAUAUCGUUGUUAAUUUACCUUUUUUUUUUAGCCACAUUAUUUGAAAAUUGAUGCAAACUUUACCAACAUCUUGGUACCAUUUUAAAAUAUUAGAGUUAUUUGAUUAAAAAAAUAAAAUAAUCUCGAUAACUUGUUUAUAAAAUAAAUAUCUUUUAACAUUUAGACUAUUCUCACGCAUGCUUUAAAAUUGUAAAGAUAUUCAUAAAGUGGAACUUUAGACUUAAUCAAUAUCGAUCACUUUAUGUCUCUAUUGUUGUUAUAUUUUUUUUUUACAACAUUAUUUGAAAAUUGAUGCAAACUUUACCAACAUCCUAAUACCAUUUUAAAAUAUUAGAGUUAUUUGAUUAAAAAAAUAAAAUAAUCCCGACAACUUGUUUAUAAAAUAAAUAUCUUUUAAUAUUUAGACUAUUUUCACCAUGCUUUAAAAUCAUAAAGAUAUUUAUAUUCAUAAAGUGGAACUUUAGACUUAAACAUGAUAAUAGUUUUUUUACAAUAUUAUAAUUAUUUUAUCGUUUUAAUUAAGCCCUUUAUCAUACAUAUAAAUGUAAAUUAAUGCUAAAUUUUUAAAGCAACGUAUAACCUUUUACAUCUUUUUUUAAGAUGGUGCGAAAAUCCUAUGAAAAAUAAUAAAAGUCGAUGCAUAAGAAGAUUGUUUUGAUAAUUCAAUAGAAAAAUUCUUUUAAAAUGAUAUUAAAAAAUACCCAUAGAGCCUUUAUUAAAAAAAUCAAUUAUUUUCAUAAUAAAAAUUAUAAUUUUUUAUUAUGUAUUAUUAUUUUUAAGUAUCUUUAUUACAAAUACUUUUUUUGAGUUUAUGAGAGGAAUCAACAGGUUGGUACAAGCUUAGGCGUCCUCGUACAUGUUCCCGCUGUGCAAGGUUUUUGUCUUGUUUCGAGCUAGUCGGAAUUUACGUGUUUGAUAACGUUUUGUCCUAUUUUUGUAACGCUUUAAAGGGCGGCCCACCGUUGGAACAGUUCAAGCCAUCCAAAUCAGCCCGGAGGGUUAUGGCGACGUGGCAUGACGCCUACCACCUUAGUUCACAUGAACCCUAUGAUCGUACUACCCUCACAUGACAUCUGUGAUUCUUCACCUCCAAACCCUCUUUAACUUGGUAAUGUAUUCAAAGCUUCAUCAAAUCAUAGCGAUUAGCGACCCUCUUCCACCCUAAUUUUAUAAUAAAAAAUAAAUCUUAGUGGACAUUAAAGUAGUAUUUUGUGGGGGGAAAGAAAAACUCUAUGGGCGUAUCCACUAAAUACGAGCCAAGUAUAAGAGUUAUCACCAUGGAAUCAAAUUAUGAAGCAUUGACAUUUUAAUUGUAUUCAGAUUUGAGGAGGGCACCGCGGCACCAGCUGGCCCAGUGUAGUCUGCUAGCCUACCCGCCAUAAUGACCAAAUUAAUAAAGUAAAAAGGAUUACAGGGAUAUUCCCAACUUUAUUCUGGGUCUGAGCUGGAACUUGGGAGUUAUCACGAUCAACGGGAAAGAUGGUGGGUAGGGGACGAGGAUUGAGGGCUCCAUAUUCACAUCAGUGAAAAACGAAAUGUAUUGAGACAAGUCUUCUAAGGAUUUUCUAGCGUAUUAUAUGGUUUAAAUGAUUAUAAAUCUGUAGUUACUGGUAAAGAGUAGAGAGUGAAGACGAAAGACGUUGAGUGAAAAGGAAGGAGGAGAGGGGAUGGGGCCAUCUUACCGUGUCGGGGAGGAUCCAUAAAAGGACUACGUUCCCUGAAUCUGUAGGCAUCAUGCCUCGCCUAACGGGUUAGUCAAAAUACAGUGAUGUGUGUGAGUUGGGGGCCUCACUCCUCAUUUCUUUCCUUCUUUUCACCCCCACCCCCACUUUUUUUUUUUUUUUUUCGAAUUUUUCUUUGUCCUUUUCUCUCACUUGCGCACGCGGGAGAAGGACCACAAACUAGACAAUUCCUCUGCUCACGUGACCCCGAGUUUUUAAAUAUUUGCCUAUUUGGAAAAUAGUCAUGAAUCAUGAUCGUUAACAAACAAUCUUCACUUUAUUUAUUUAAGAUCUAUUUUUUGGAGCUCUAGUUUAGUUUAUUAUUAUUAUUAUUAUUAUUAUUAUUAUUAUUAUUAUUAUUUAGUAACUCCUCUUAUAUUAAUGAAAAAGAGAGGAGGAAUCCAAACUUGUUUAUUCUUCCUCUUUUAAGGUGUUUGUUUUUUUUAUUUUAUUUUUAUGCUUCAUAUGUCUUCAAUUUCUUAGCAUUUGUCUUAUAUUUCUUCUUAUCCGAUUCAUUAUUGCAUCCUUGGUCAAUCUUUCACGAGGAGUGCCUACUUUUUUCCUUUUUAUUAUUUAAUUCACUUUAUCUUUAUAUUUUCCUUUUACACUUUAUUUCCAAUUCAAAACGUGUCAAAAAAAAAAAUUGGUAACAAAAAAAAAAAAAAAAAUCAAUUGUAAUGAUUCUUAUAUAAUUUUAUUUAAUUUUUAUUAAACAAUAAAGAAAUUAAAAAUAUAUAAAUUUUUAAAUAAUUAUUAUAGUCUUUCAUUUUUGUGUAUAAUUUCUUUUGCAAGAAAUAGUGUAGGCUUUCCACGGUCUAAAGGAAAUGGAAUAUCAAAUGAGAAGGUAAUAAUAAUAAAGUGAGUUAUAGAUACUAAUCAAACUAAUCCACUAAUGAAUUAUUUAUUUUUAUUUCACAUGGACAAAUCCUAAAAGUUGGAGUUCUAAUUUACUUUUAUGUUAAGCUUUUUUAAGUAAAAAUCUUUUAUUAUUAUAAUUUAUAGACAAAAAGAAACCCAUUAAUGUGAUGGAUAAAAAAUUUCAAUUUAAAAAAAAAAAAAUUAAAGUUGCUAAAUUUUUGUAUUUAUUAUUUCAAACUCAUUUAAAUAAUUUAAAAAUAUGUCUUCAAUUAAUUUUAAUGAAACAAAGCAUGAUUUUUUUUUAAUUUUUUUUUCUUUACCAAAUAAAGCAUUAUUAUAAUACGUUGAUUAAAUUUUCAUCAUGUCUCUCAAGAUUUGGAUUAAAUAUACUUAGUUGUCAUAAAUUUGAAAUUUUAUUUAAUGUAUUUUUUAUUUUAAAUUAAAAAGAUGAAUGCAAAUAAAAAAAAUAUGUAUAUUUUAUAAAAUUUUAAAUUAAACGAAGGAUACGUGUAUUUAACCAAGGUGAAUGAAAUUAAUCCAAAUACUUUUUGGUAACUUGCAAAAUAUCUUGACGAAAUCAUUAUGGCAGGCAUCGUACAAGCUCAACCCUUGUCGCCUUGCUAGAAAUAGAGAAACAAAAAGACCCCCAAAUUGGGUUGCAUCCUAAAUAUGAAGAAGUGGUAACAAAGGAAGAAAAAAUGCUGUGUUAUUGAAUAGUUAAUACAUUGAACAUGAUAUGUUACAUAGAGAGCCAGAUUAAUCCUAGUGGAAUUCCACUGUCACGAUGGUAACCUAGGGUUAUGUUUGGUUAUUGAAAAUACCAAGAAAAGAAAAAAAAAUAUAAAGGAAAAUAAUUUUUUCAUUUUUGAUUGUCUUAUAAAAGAUAUAAAAAAAAAACAAAUAUAAUUAAAACUAAUUAAAAAUUUAGGUAUUUUUAAAUUAUUUAAUUUUUAUAUUAAUGAGCGAAAAUAAAUAAAAUAAGUUUAAAAUAACAAAAAAAAUAAUUUACCGAUUUUUAAUCUAUAUUUUAUUUUACUUUUUCUUUGUAUUUUUUUUUUCUUAUAUUUUCCCUCAAAUUUUCUGAAUCAAACAUAGCAAAAAAGGAGCUACCCCUUUCGAAAGAAACUCCCAAGAAUUUCAAAGAAACCUGCUGAGAUAAUGAAUGAGGGAUCACUGUCGGUAAACAGUAUCCAUUCUUUUGGGAGGACUUUCAAACUGAGAAGUUGUUUUCAUGACUUGGAAACAAAAUUUUGAGCUCUAAGGGGGUCUGUAUUUGGGCCCUAAAAUUCAAUCCAUCAAUCUGAAAAAUGCUUAGGAUAAUGAUUUGAUUUAGCCACAAUCACUAAACAAAUUCCAGAGGAAAAUUUCGCUACUCAUAGGUGGCUGAUUCUCAUAAAAAGACAUCGUGGUAGGGUGUCUCAAGUGCAGGCUCACCAUCAACUUGCUGCCCUUUUUAGAUUAUUGUAAAAUGAUUUCACAUGAAGCCCAAUGCAAAACUUUGAAAGAAAAGGUUGGUGGAGACGUGAAGAAUAUGUAACCCAUAGGCCAUAACUAGUACCGAAGAUUAUUGAACAAACAUUCAAGGUUUUUGUAUAGACGAAACUGAAAAGAAUGUGUACCAGACUCAGGCGUUCAGAUCAGAUGAUGCCGUAAUGUGGAUUGUGGAGGAGCAUUGUGCAGACAGAUAAUGAGAUUCUGAAAGCGAGGCCACUGAUGGGCCCUUGGAAGGGGGGCGUGCCUUCAAAAUUAUAUAUAUAUAUAUAUAUAUGUCAUUGAAAAUUGGAAGCAACUUUUCUUCUUAAGUUAUUUUAAUCGAAGAAGAAACAAAAAGUUAAAAACAUACAUUAUUCUUCCUUCUUACGAGGUUUCCGGGUCUAAAUUACUAUGGUCUCUGCAACUGGCGUCGUUUUCUCUCCCCUCUCUCUAUUUUCCCUUUAUUUUUUCACUUUUAGAAAGAAGCAUCCCAUCAAGAAUCUACUACAACCCUACGCUUCCAUUUUGAUUUAGAAAGUUAAAAAUAAGUUUAAGUUAAAAAAAAAUAUUUUCUUAUAUAAUUAUUUAAACUUAUUUCUUUUCCUUUUUAUAUAAAGAAACAAAUAUUUUGCAAAUAAAUAAAUUUCUAAUUAUUUUCAUUAACAUAAUAAUAAUAUUUUUCAUAUGACUUUAAUCACAAUUUUUUUUACCACUUGUCCAAGGCGGUGAGAGGUGAUAAAAUGUAUUAAAAAAACGAUUAAAUUGCAUUAGGUAUAGAAGUUUUGUGCUUCAAUUAUCACUUAUAAAAAUAAAAUAAAAAUAGUCAAAUUUGAGUGUGCAAGUUGGUAUUCGUAUGUAGAAGGAAUUGGGGGAUUUGGGGGUCCUAACAAAUUUGAUAUGAUUGAUGGAAGGAAAUGAUUAUUAUAGGAUAAAGUCCGAAUGAAACGCUGACGAGGGGGGAAAAACAACAGUGGCAAUGCACUAUCCACAGAUCCAUGAUUGAUUUAUGUUAGCAAUAAUGAAUUAUUUUGACUUUGAUAACCUUGGUUAAGAGAAUUUGGUCUUGUUAUUAUCAUUUUUUCAAAAAAAAAAAGUGUAGGUAACUAGGUAGUUGAUUUAUUAGAAUUUAGAAAUGAGGAUCCCCUCCUCCUGCAAGAGCCGUGACAGACAUGCCUGCUUUCUUGCCAGAUUAUACCAAUGUGCCCAAAUAAUCCCCCAUCUAUCAUCUCUGCACCCUGGAACACGUCACUCCCUCCUUUGAGCAAUAAAAUAUCUCUUUUAUUUUCUUUUGAACCACUCUUCUAUUUCUUUGUACCAGACUGGACCCAUUUAAAUUCUUCGCUACGCUGUUCCCAAGGACUACGAGAAUCAAAAUAGCAAAAUUCUUGAAUCAUUUUAAUGGGUUCAGAAACCACAUGUUUCUCUAGAUCAUAAGAGGAAAAUCUUUUUGGAUGGUGUUUGUGUUGUGUUGUGUUCAAUAUUAAAUACUCAAUUAAAUAAGCUAAAUCAAAUAUCACAUGAAAAAUAAUCAAAUUAAAAAUAGGGAGAAUUAUGUUUUGAGGGUAGAUGGACCCCAAAUUAACAAAAGGUUCAUGUAACUCUUCAAAUUGAGCCCAGACCCAAUGAAAAUAUGGAAAUUGAGUUGAAGUAUAUCAUCAUUCAGUAUUUCCAAAAAUGUCCUUUGUUGAUUUUGAGAAAAAAAUUAAUAUUUUUGAAAAAUAUUUUUAUGUAAUUUAAUAUUUUUUUAAAUACUUUUAUUUAAUUUAAUAUUUUUAAAAAAUAAAUUUAUUUAAUUUAAUAUUUUAAAAAAUAUUUAAUUUAAUAUAUUUUUUAAAUACUUUAAUUUAAUUUAAUAUUUUUGAAAAAAAUUUUAAUUUAAUAUUUUUGAAAAAAAAAUUAUUUAAUUUAAUAUUUUUUAAAACUAUUUUUAUUUAAUUUAGUAUUUUUGAAAAAAAAUUAUUUAACUUAAUUUUAUAAAAUAUUUUAUAUGUGUUCUUAAAGGGUAUAUUUGUCCGUUACUAUUUCAUAUCCUUCAACUCAAUUUAAAGAGUUAUAUGGACCUUUUGUUAAUUUGGGGACCCAUCUACCCUCAAAAGAUAAUUCUCCCUUAAAAAUAUAAAUUUAAAUAUGACAUAAUUAUUAAAUAUGUUAGAUCUUGUAUGAGUUUAUAAGAUUUAUGUUUCAAAAUAACAUGUUUAUAAUUCAUCUAUUGAUUUAUAAUCAAAUUUUAAAUAAAUUAAAGUUAUUCAAGUUAAUAAAUAUGAUUUAUGUUAUAAAGACUAACUAAAAAAUAAUUUAUUAAUUAAACGGAUCCUGGUCAAUAAAAAUUUGAUUUAAAUACGAUCAUACUUAAUCAAAACUUAGGUCAAAUUGUAUUGAUAAAUUACAUCAAAACCUUGUUGUGUUCAAUAUUUUAUAUUAAACUAUUUUUUAAUAAAAUUAUUUUUAUAAAUAUAAUAUUACAUCAUUUGGAGAAACAAAAUAGUAUUAUAUUGAUUUUACAUAUAAAGCAACCAGUUAACCCCUCAUUAUUUUGAUCCAUUUCACAUCCAUAUCAUUCUCAUAAUUUUUUUAUAAUAUAUUAACAUGAUGGACGGUAAUUGAGGGUAGAAAAAAAAGAUGAGAAGAAUAAAAUAAUGUGAAUCCUCUCUAAAUGUUACAUCUUCUGACAAAUGAAGUCUAUAGAAAUGUGUAAAAAAAAAAAAAACACUUAAUUGUGAGGUUCACUUGAUUUAGCAAAAAAUUAAUAUUUUAUUUGUUGUGUGAUUUAAAAAUAAUAUUUUAUUUUUAAAAAUAAAAAAUUAUUUUUAAAGUUUUUUAACACUAUUUUACUAUUGUUCUUUGAAAUAAUUUUUAAAAUUAAAAUGAAAUAACUAAUAAUUUUUAGAUAAUAAAUUAAAGUUGUUUUUAUUAGAUUUUAAAAAUAAAAGAAAAAUAUAAAACCAUUUGAUCAAAUUUUUUUAAACUUAUUUUUAAAAGGUUUUUUUUUUUUUUUUUUUUUUUCUAUCCUAAGUUAAAAGAUAAAAAAUAAUUUUUAAAGAUAGGUUACGAGCAAAUGCCACAAACUUUUUUCUUCUCUUUCCCUUGUUCGGAUAGAAGUGAAAAAUAUCCUCCCAUGGAUCGACAUUACGUGAGCCAUCACCAUUCCCCAACUGCAAUUCAACCGCCAAAGCUGAGGUGUCAUUAUUAGUUUGAACAAAAGUCAGCAUUGUCCACGUGGUGACAAGCGGAACUGACCCAACUUGCAAGGCAAAAAAAUAAAUAAAAUAAAAUGAAAAAAUCAGAUCACCAUUAUGACGUCAGUCCAAUUGCUGACCUGGCCGCCGUCCCCCAUUUGACCCACGUGUUCAUUUAACCCAUUCGCCGUAUGCCGUGGCUCCCCACCCAUAUGGCCAUAUCUGCCAUUUAUUUUAUCCGUUGCCUCCAUUCGGUUUUUGGAUUUUACCCAUUCGCCCUCGUCUAUUCCCAUUUCCGUAUUUGCCCACCAAGGAAAUUCAAUUCCCAUGCUUUUGUUUUACAUUCAAAUCCUCCCCCCUCUAUAUAAAGGAGGGAGUAGGGCUUGAAAGUUUCUCAAGCCAACAUGGACUGUUGAGAGUGAAAGACAGAGGAGCCACAAACAAAUAUCACUCACUCAAACCAAAGCCAAAACCAAUACCGAAUUCAAUUCAAAUGACUUCUUUCUCUCUCAUCAAUUCCCUGAAUUCCGAUUCCGAUUUCAAUUUGUUAUCGGAUUCUUUUUCCUGGGAAAACUCCCUACCUUUCAAUGAAAACGACUCCCAGGAGAUGCUCCUCCUGGGCAUGCUGGCCAGCUCCACUCAGGAAACCUCAGAAACAGUUUCUUUGAAUCGAGUGAAGGAGGAAGAAGUGACUUCCCAGGAAAAUCCCGAGAAGGAGAAGUCAUACAGAGGCGUUAGGAGGCGGCCAUGGGGGAAAUUCGCAGCAGAAAUAAGGGACUCGACCAGGCAUGGCAUAAGGGUGUGGCUGGGAACAUUUGACAGUGCAGAGGCAGCUGCUCUGGCCUAUGAUCAAGCUGCUUUUGCGAUGCGGGGCCCUGCGGCAGUCCUCAAUUUCCCGGUGGAAAGAGUGAAGGAAUCGAUGCAGGAGAUCAAGUGCAUCUUGGAGGAGGGGGGCUCACCAGUGGUGGCCCUCAAGAAGAGGCACUCUAUGCGGAGAAAAAGUCCUUGCAAGAAACAUAAAAGUGAAGAGGUGAGGUUAGAAAAUGUGGUAGUGCUGGAGGAUUUGGGUACUGAAUACUUGGAACAGCUCCUCACUUUCUCUGAGACCUCUAGUCCUUGAUCAUCAUCAUCCAUCACCUGGAUAGCUUCUUCUCUUUGCUCUGUUUCUUACUUUUCUCUCUCUCUCUCUCUCUCUCUCUCUUUUUUUUUUAUGUAAUUUUUCUUAAUGUAUUUUUGGAGAUGGCGGGGGUGUAGUGGUGGCAAUUAUCCAUCUAGAAUUUUUCAAAAGAUAUGUUCUUUUGUUUCUUUGUAUAAAGUUGAAAAGUGGGGAUCAAUUGUGAUGGUGCUCUAUGUUCAUCCACCCAAUUUAUAUAAUCAAGGUGAUUAAUGUUUUUUGAUAUCAACAAUUUGUGAAUGACAUAGAGAGAGAGAGAGAGAGAGACCUUAUUUUCUACACUCAUUACGGUGGUUUCCAUUUGGGGAAGGAAAAGGAAAUGGCUAAGAAUGUUACCAAAAGAAGUGGGGUGGCUUUCAUAUGCGUGGUGGCAUACUUGCAUACAAACUUUUCAAUUGUGUUCUGCAUGCCACUCGGGUCAAUUUCAUUUCUUUUACUCCUAGUAGCCUAAUUGGAUUUCCUUUUUCUCAUGAGACAUCAAAUAAAUUUCAUUUUUUUAUAUUUAAAUAGUUAGGUAAGUUUGAUAGUGAGUUAUAUUUUAUACAUUAAUUCAUCUUUUAGAAUGUUGUCUACAAUAUAAACAGUGUAAUUAAUUUCAUCAUUACAGAACAGUCAUCUUAUAAAAUAACAUAAAAAUUAUUGGAUCACUUGUAUGGCACCACUGAUUUGGACUUGGUAUGGCUCUGUUUGGCUUCAUAGAAAAAAUUUGGACCCAAUUUGAAUGUCUUGCAUAAAAAGAGAUACGUCCCACUUUGAAUGAUAUUGAAGAAAAAAAUUUCUGAUGAAGAAUAUAUUGUUGGCAGGGUCAUGCAGGCCAAUAGGGAAACGAUAAAUUCAGAAGAAUGAGUCCAAACCAGUGGGCUUGAAAAUUAAGAAGAGAAUUGCUGUAUAAAACAAUCAUUUCUUAAUCGAGUUCACUUUCUGAAUAAUCGUCACUUUGAGAAUGCAUACUUAGGAAGAUGAUGAUCCUUAAUGGGAAUAAUCAAAGGCAUCAAAAAAUUGUUCUGGAACAAUUCUUGAUUGUCUCCAGUAAAAUUCAAAGUCAAAAGUCAAAAGUCCAGUCGGUCAACACCAAACCAGGCCAGUCCAAAAGACAUUAAUUUGCAAUCUAGAAUCUAUGAUGAGGUGGCGAAAUCAAACCUUGGCUUUUCACCAGGGAAUGGUACUCUGAAUUUGGUCAGUUCACUGUUUCGAGUGAAUAGGGUGUAGUAAUUAGUAAAUCAUAUUUUAGAUUUGUGUCACAAGUUACAAGGGAUAUGGGCUGACGUUCAAUUUUGGCGACAAUUUGUGGGCCCGUAUAUUUGUUGAGAUGUGGAAAUUGGGUGUGUGCUUUUUUCUGCUACCACAUAAAUAUAUUUCUUUGAAUUGAAGAGUGUUUCAGACCAUUUUUUUUCAAGUCACAAAUGGACAACUGAUUGAGAUUGUAUUGGUGAGAGUAGGAGUUUAUUUUGGGCUGGUUGAGCGAAGUUGAAAGUCGAGUUGGACCUAACCCUUGAAUUCAGCAGACUACAGUCCGAUCCUGUAUUUUGGAUUUAGGGAACCUUCUUUCCCAGAAGCUUCGUCUGGGUUUUAAAGUCUAAAUGUGGCUACUCUUAAACAUUGGAGAAAGGAUGAGCGUUCACAAGCAAAUGGGUAAUUGUGGAUGGUUCAAGGACCUGGCCAGCUGGUCUUCAAGUUUGGAUGCCGGUUUGGGCCUGAGAGAGUCUUUGCAAAGUGACUUCACUUCAGCCUAUGAGAUCAAGAUAUCAUGGUGAUGUCCGAUCACUUAGGUUUCAUUUUCACCUCGGAUUACCGUUACCAUGUUCAUGAAUAAAAAUAAAUAAAUAAAUGAAGCCUUAUAGAGAAAUUAAUGAAGUGAGCUAUACAAGCAACUGGGCCAGGAGCCUACAAGGCAGAAAUUCCCUGCCCUAGACUAGGCCGAAUAAAUUAGAUGAAUGAAUUGGGGAAACCUGGGCCAGCCACACAUCCUCCUGAAGGCUGAUGUCGAACUCGCUUACGAGGAAUGGACAUGGGAGAUUGGGCUGGGACCAAAUAACCAAUUGACAGCCCUAUCCUUGUGGCAAGACGUCAGUAAAAUGGUUCAUUCUGAUUUUACGCUGCCAUUCAAUUUAAUUUUAAUUUUUGUUUAAAGCGAUGUACAAAUUGAAUGGUGUCUAGUCACUUAAAGAGUGGUUCAUAAUACACUUAAUUUAAACAAAAAAGAAAUUAUUAGAUAGGGGAUUCUCCAAUAAAAACCACCCCAUCUUGUCAGCAAGUCCGGAAACUUCCUUCACUUAGGGCGUAUUUGUUUUUUUAACUUUAAUAUUAAAGAAAGUUGGUUAAACCUUAUGACACUUUUAUAUUAUUUUAUGAAUUUUUUUUAAUUUUUAUUUUAAUGGAAUUUUAACUUUAAUACAAGUUGGAGUAAUUCUUAUCUUAAAAACAAAUCAAAAUUACUUUAAUUUUAUAUAGAAAUAAACUUACAGUAAAUUUACCAUGAAAAUUUCUAAGUCAAAUACACCAUAAGUGCUAGUAUUUUAUAAUAUUUAGAAACAUGUUAAAUUAUUAUUAUUAUUUUUUAAAAUUAUUAGUUUUCAUAUUAGUUUUAGGGAAACUUGUGCUUUAGGUCUUUUAUUUGCAAAUAAUAUGGUUUUCAAAUCCUAAGAAUAGAAAAUAUGAGAAUCAACUGUUAAUGUGGAAAAUAAUAUCAAUUUUGUGCAAUCUCUAUUGACUCAUUUUUUUGUGCCUAGAUUGCCUUCACCCACUUCCAUGUCAACAACCACAUUAAUAGAUUGUUUUUUUUUUAUAAAACAAAUAAUUAUUAUGUUUAAAAUUUUGGGGAAACUCUCUAUCUCUCUUACUUCUUCACUACAUCCGAGACCCAUCUUCCUUAAACGUUUGCCUCUCAUUUUGCCCUAACCCCAAAUCUCAUAAAUUUCUCAUUUUCUUGCCUCAUUUGAAAUAUGAAGAUGACCGAUUCUCAAACAUCUCUGUCUCUCUCUUCACGUUUUGACCAGUCUAAUUGGAAACCCAUUUUCCAAAAACCUUCUUUCUUUCAUUUUGCCCUAACCCCACUAUCUCCCUCUUCAAGACCUAAUCACCCAAACUCGAUAUCUAUCUUCCCAAAACCUUCAAGCAAACUGAACUAGACCCAUAUCUUCUUUUUUCAUCAUCAAAGGUGAAAUUUUUUUAAGGCUUUUGGAAACCGAAUUGGAGCUUUCCCUUCUUCUGGGAUUAAUCAUUCGCAAGUGAGUUUUCCAUUUAAGGCUUUGUUUGGCUGUUGAAAUCUUGGGAUCAAAGGUCUUUUAUUUUCAGGUUUCUUGUAUUUUGCUUUAUUUUCUUGUAUAUAACAAUAAUCAUUGUAACAUAUGCUAGUAGUUACCCUUGGUGCAACUUUACAUUUCCAAAUACCCUAAAGUCCAAAGCUUUUAAUUCCCUUUUCAAAGCUUUCAACUUUGAAAGCAGACUAAACCAUAAGAACUAUGAAACUUAUAUCUCUAUCACCACUAAUUAAGCAUGUCUAUGAAUCCUUCCACUUUAAGUCACUUAUUCUCAAACCAAGAAGGGCUCCUCUCAUUCUCACCCCACCUCAUCUAAAUGAGGGAAAUGAUCAAUUGCAGCCAUGCUUUGCACCAAAUUAGAGAAGUGAUCCUCCCAAUCAUCCAUUACCAAAAAUUGAUCAUGCUGAUGAGAUCAUAAGAGUCUAUUCGGAACUCCCAGUUUACUUGCCUCUUAUCUCAGGAUCCUCCAUUACCCCCUGUCUUUCCAACAUCAAAUCAACUUGCAAACAAUUCCUUUGUAGAUAAAAUGUUUUUAAUAUUGCAAAAGGGGACUUAUCAUAAUGGUUGAAUCGAUUUAUUUGAUAUAAUCACUCAAAUUCAAGCUUAAAAUUGAUCAUAAUAAAAUGUUUUUAAUAUUGUUAAAAGGAGAUUAUAAUGGUUUUAUUUGAUAUCAUUACUAAAAUUCAAGCUUUCAAACAUGCUCUACAAAGAAGUUCUAAAAGACUACAAGAAAGAGUUUCCACUAAAGAAAAACAAUGAAACCAUUUCUACUAAAGACAAACAAUGAAACCACAGAUGCUUUGUGAAAUAUGUACCCGCACAAUCCAACAAACUUUAGAAAUUCACAAACACUACCUAGAAUUUUUGCUGACCAGCAAAAAAUUUAUGCAAUUUAAUUCUUAUUGUUAUUAUUAUUUUCAAUGUGAACAAAUAUGAUUGAAUUAUGAAGUAUUUGGCCAGAAGAGGAUCUUGCCUAAUUAUAGUCAUUAAACAACCAUUUAUACCAUAGCCUCUAGACUUUAAAAAGUUUAUAAAACUCAAGGGCUUCCACCCAAUUUCUAGAUAUCUCCAUAACAUUCUUCUGACUAUUAGAAAGCAAUUACCACUUUAAUUUUUCAUUUCAUGAGUGUUCAAUUCAGAAAAAGACCAGGAUCGAACUUGCGAUCAUGCAGUCGAAAAUCCACCUGUGCAUGAAACUAUUGCCUCACGAUUGCAAACUCAAGUUGGAGUCCAGUAACAACUCUAGGUUUGCUGAUGUGCUCCAUUUGAAAUAAAGGAACUAAAGAAUACUUUAUAAAGAUUAAUUACCUUCAUAUUUUAGGUUGGGGUUAAGGCAAAAUGUGAUAGAUUGAGAGGAAGAAAAUAUAUCUUGUUCAGGAAGCCAAUAUUUUGGAGUUCACCUUUCCAUUCGAGUCCACUCUGCUAUAGCAAAAUCAGAGUCACAACUAUGCCUCUUUAAGCUAUCCUUUAAUUGGAUGAAUUGCAGAUUUGGUUGCUGAGAAAGUGGAUAAGAAAGAAAAAUGCAUACUGUAGCUUGAGAUUAAGAGUUUGUUUUCUAAAAUGAGAGAAAGGGAAAGAGAAAAAAUGCAUAUUGUAGCUUGAGAUUAAGGGUUUGUUUUCUAAAAUGAGAGAAAGGGGAAGAGAAAUGUUCGACAACUUUGAGAUGACAAAUUUUUAGAUUUGGAAAAUUUGAGAUGAGUCUCAGGUUUUUUUUUUUUUUUUUUUGUCUUUGUCUUUGUUUUUUUUUUUUUUUUUUGUUUUUUUCCCAAAAACAACCUGUUAAUGUGGUUGUUGACAUAGAAGUGGGUGAGGGCAAAAUGGGCAUAGAAAAAAGAGUCAACACAAAGUGCACAAAACCCAUAUUAUUUUCCACAUUAAUGACUGAUUCUCAUAUUUCUUGUUCUUGGGAUUUGAAAACCAUAUUAUUUGCAAAUGGACCUCCCAAAGCACAGGUUUCCCUUAGUUUUAUGUCUCCAUCUACAUUUUACAUAUAAAUAGAUUAUUUUAUAAAAUUUGUUUUGUAGAUAUAUUAGUUAAUAAUUAUAUAAUUAAUGAUAUAGAAAACAUAUAAAAAUCAUAUUUAAAAAAGAUAAUUACAUAUUCCUCAACAAUCCAUCCCAAGAAUUCGAGGUUGAGUUGAAAACAUGUAGAGUCUUUGAUGUUAUUAUAAUCAUAUCCAACACAUAUGAUUAUUGUUUAUGAGAUAUUAUUAGAAAGUUUGUCUUAAAAUAAUUGAUUUAUUACCCACCUUUAGCAAAUGCCCAUUUUUGCGUCUUUCAAAAUUUUCAUUUUUUUUUUGUUUAAAAGAAGUAUUGUAAAGAAUGAUGAAAUAAGAAAUUUGUUGAGAAAGUGUGAGUAAAUAAUUUUACAUAAAAAGAGAUUUAAUACUUGAUAAAUAAAAUAAUAAAAUCAUGAUUUCUAGUUGUAUAGGGCCGGGUGGAUGGAGUGGCUAAGAUGUAAUUCUUGAAAUAGAGGAGACAACAUCAAUGUAUAAAAGUUUAACAGAGAAGGAAAGUGUGUUUGAAUGACUUUAUUUUCUUCAUUUAAAGUUUUGACGAUGAGUGUUUAUACAAGAUAAAUUUUCAAAUGAUAGGACUCCUAUUUACAUGGAGUUUGUGAUAUACUAUGAUUAUACAAAUUUAAAAUUCAAACAGAUUCAUGAGUUGAUAGGAGUCUGCUCAAUACGCCCCUUCAAAAUGGUGGGAGAUAGCACACCAAUCUUGACUCGAAGGGCCUAAACUCGUGCAGAAGAUGAGGGCUUUGUUAGAGCAUCGACAAGUUGAUCCGUGGUUGACAUAUGGGACACCUUGAGCUCACCUGAUUAAACCUUGUUUCAAACAAAAUGAAAAUCAAUCGCCGAUGUGUUUCAUGGAGAGUGAAACAUGGGAUUUGCACAAAGAUAUGUUGCACCCACGUUAUCACAAGAGAUAGGAGGUGGUGAUAAAUUUGAAACACUAAGUUUUGAGAGAAGAGAAUUAACCCAAAGAACCUUUGAGGCUGUAGAGGCCACGACGUGAUAUUUCGCUUCAGUGGAAGAGCGUGCUAUGAACUUUUGUUUCCUCGAUGACCAAUACACAAGAUUGUGACCAAGAAAAACAAUGGGAGCAUUGGUGGAGGAUCUGACAUAAGGAUUCCUUGCCCAUUCAACAUUCGAAUAUGCAUGUAGAUUGAUGGGCGAUUUCUUAUGCAAGAACAGACCAUGCACCAUUGUGCCGACUAAGUAUCUAAGCAAUCUUUUAACACAAGACCAAUGUGUUGAUGUUGGAUGGUGCAUAAAUUGAGAUAAUUUAUUCAUCAAGAAGGUGAUGUCAGGGCUAGUAAGAGAGAAGUAUUGAAGGCUUCCAACAAUUGACAUAUAUUUAGUGGGACCAGGAAAAGAGGUGUCAUCACACAGAUUUGGAACAUUGUUGAGGAACAUCAAUGAUUGAACUGGUUUGGUAGCCACCAUUUGUGUUUUCUUAAGAAGCUCUCGAAUGUACUUGAGAUAAAAAUAAUCCUUUGGAAGUAUGUAUCAUUUCAACACCAAGAAUAAAAGAUGAAGUCCUGAGAUCCUUAAUGGAGAAUUUGACUGCUAAUUGAGAGAUCACGCGAGCACGAAAAACAUUAUUGUUACUUGUUAAAAUAAGAUCAUCAAUAUAAAUAAGUAGGUAAACAAUGAGACCACUCUUUUUAAAAAUGAAGAGGGAUGUCUCGGUUUAGGAGUUGACGAAGGCUAUUGAGAGGAGAAAUUGGCAAAGUUCAUGAUACCAUGAUCGUGGAGCUUGUUUAAAGCCAUAAAAAGCCUUACAAAGUUGGCAAAUGUGAUGAUGUGUGUAUUCGUGAACCCAGGAGGUUGAAUCAUGUAAACAUCUUCAUGAAGUGUCCUAUGCUAGAAUGCAUUAUUAAUGUCCAAUUCAUGAGUUGAUAGGAGUCUGCUCAAUACAAUGUGGGAGUGUGAUUUCAAAAUUAGGGUAAUUUCGAAAUGGAUUUUGUAUUCACAAGUUGAAUUUCAAAAUUAUUUUGAAAUGGUCUUUUAACUUUAAGCAGUUGUGUUCAAAAGGUCAUAACUUCUUCGUUUCAAUUUUGAUUUACACAUUGUUUAAAACAUUGGACUCUUUACUUCCCGAGCUUCAAAACGAUAUAUAGUAUGCUCAAAAAUGACAUCAGGAUUGGUUCAAAUUUCAUCUUGAUAUUAGAGUACAUGUUGUGAUUAGAUUUUGAGUUCCAAAUUUCCAUGUAAACUUGAUUGCAUUUGCUUCAAACCUCCUUCAUUAUGGUUGCUUGCCCUCUAUCUCACUUUGCAACAUUUGUUACUAGUAUUUUAUGUCCAUGACUUACUCAUUUCAACCUUUCUUGGAUUCUUCAUGGUUCACAAAUUAUGGAUUCUUCAUGGUUCACAAAUUGAGUCUUUCAAUUAUGCAUGUUUAACUCCUAUUUCCUUGGUUGAUAAUGACUUUUACACUUAUCAUUUUCUUUUAUUCUUUAAACCUGAAUUUAGACUUACAAAAAAAAGUUAGAUCCAUAACUAGGGUCUUAGCAUCAAUUUGAGUUAAGUUGGAUGAUUUGAAAAUUUUAUAUUACAUAAAUCAUAUCAUACAUGUGCCAUUGGAGUGCACAUUUUGGCUCUAAUCAUGUUCCAACCCAUUGUUUUACUCUUGCAUGAAGUAUGUGGCCAUUGAUUUUAAUUUUAUUUGCGAUUAGGUUCAAAAUGGUGCUUUUGUGUUGCUCAUGUGUCAUCAGAAGAUCAACUAAUGGAUUCUCUAACAAAACUACUACAUCAUAGUCAUUUUUUUUUUUCUUAAGACCAAGAUUGAGAUCUCCAAUCGGAGCCAACUCCAUCUUGGGGGCAUGUUAGUGAAAGAUAAAAUUUAUCUUUAAUUUAAAUAUUAAUAUUUAUCAGUUAUUAGUUUUAAUUAGAGUAAAAGAUAGAGUUUAAAUUGGAGUAGGAGAUAAACUUGUGUUUGAACUAGAAUAGAAGAUAAAGUAUAAAGAUUUAUGUUUGAAUUAGAAUAAAAUAUAAAGUUUGAAUUAGAGUAGAAGAUAAACUUGUUCUUUAUUUGUAUAUAAAUAUUCAUCAAUUCUUGAGAAGAAGAUUAUUUCAUAGUUUUUCUAUCUUCUUUUUUCUUCAUACAUAUCUGCAAGAAAUUGAAGAUUUCAAGUAAAAUAUUUUCUGUUUUAAAUAGUGAAAAAAGCUAGAAAUUCACUUUGUUAUCUCUUGGGGUAAAUUGACAAGGUUUAACGUUAAGAAGGUGAAUUAUUUUUUCAGAAAAACUGAAGUAGCUAGGAUAUCUGGCCAGUUGUGAUCGAUAAAAAAGUUGUAAAAUCUCUCAUAUACUAAACAGGUUUUGGAUGUUGGUAUGGUAAAUCCAUCUGCAGUCAUUCGUCAUCUCAUCUAGUGAGAUGUUUGGGAGGUGGUGACCGCCGGAUUGGGUUUCAUUUGGUUAAAUCUGUCAGUGGGUUGGCUACUACCCGAGCCUCUUGCUUUGGGGGAGGUGGGUUCUAGAUAUAAUGUUCAAACCAUUUUAGUUAUCAUAUGCAUGACAUGUAAGCAUAAUCUCUUUAUCACUUCUUCAAUGGGAGUUCAUGGUUAGGAAUUGACUUCUUUUCUUCUGGGAUGCUUGGCAUGUAAUGGACAAAGUUACUUUUAUAUCGAUCGAAUUUCUAGUAUUAUAGUGAAGACUUACCCUUUUGACAUUUUAUAUCGAAUUAUAGAAGAUGAAAGGGACAUACAUGCAAUCGACUGACGCUUUAGUGAAUAUGCUGAAAAUAUGCUGAUGCUGUGGAGAUCGUAUGAGGACAGAGGAAAAAGAUAGAAAUGGAUAUAUAAUUAGACCUAGGUUUUUAUUAAAUGAGAUGGGGAACAUAGAGUGAGGGAAAAUCAAAAUUUUUGGCUGCAGUUCACAUUGGUGAUAUUUUGGAUUGACAAAGACUAACGACUUUUCUAUUUUUCUUUUCGGCCUGACUGGAUAGUUGGACAUGGACAAUACAGAAUCCACAGAAGGAUUGUUGGGACCGCUGAAAAUUAGCUAGAAGAAGCUGAGGAAGUAGUCUACGUAGUCAAAUACCAAACACAAAGAAAGAAAGAAAUGGAUAUCAUGGAUGCCUAGAGUUAUACUCCUAAUACCGUCACAGGUAUUUUUCUUUCCUCCUUUUUUUUUCUACGAUAAUUAGAGCAUUUCUCCUCCUCCUCCUCCUCCUCCCCCCACCCCACCACCAAAAAAUAAAAAAAUAAAUUAUUGCAAGUAACACUUCAAAUAUUAAUUUAUACAUUCUAAAGUAUAUAUUCAUGAAAUAACUUGAGUAUCAUACAUUAGUUCUCAAAAAAAAAAAAAAAAAAAAAAAAAAAUUACUGGAAGAGAAAAGUUUAAGAAAACAUAAAAAUAUUCAACUACUAUUUUAAAGAGAAAAUUUAAUUUUUACACUAUAAAUUUGAAGAGAACUUUUACAUGCAUCUUAUAUAAACUACCAUUUUUUGCUAAAAGGCUUAAAUUUGUCAAAAAUACCCCUUAGGUGCUUAACGUUCUGGUCAUAAUAUAAUUGGCAUCUUUUCUCAAACAUAAGGCCUGUGUGUGGGAACAAGAUUUAAUGUUAAUGAGCUUCGCCACCGACAUUUAGUUCCAGAAAUCAUUAUUUUAAUAGAGUGGGCUCAAUUUACAACUUUAAUUAAACUCUAACCAACUGCAUUGUGAAAUGAAUAUGUUUCUUUCGUGGUGAAUCCAAUGAGUUGGGAGUCAAACUUUGCUUCAUUGUGUAUAGAUGAAAUGUUAAGACUCCAUGUAACCUCAAACAUUUCCGCAAUNNNNNNNNNNNNNNNNNNNNNNNNNNNNNNNNNNNNNNNNNNNNNNNNNNNNNNNNNNNNNNNNNNNNNNNNNNNNNNNNNNNNNNNNNNNNNNNNNNNNUUCUUUCGUGGUGAAUCCAAUGAGUUGGAGUCAAACUUGCUUCAUUGUGUAUAGAUGAAAUGUUAAGACUCCAUGUAACUCAAACAUUUCCGCAAUGAGCGGGAGUUCUAAAUUUAAUAAUUGAAAUUGUCAGUGGAACCAGUGGACAAGAGUUGGUUUGUGGUUGACAAACUUAUCCGUUUGAUCUUUACUUGAACAGUUCCAGUGUGUGGAUGGGUACUGAUGAAGUGUGCGCAUUUAUUUUGAGAAGCCUGCUUGUUCGCAUAGAUUUUAACGACAUGAACAUUGUGGUAAGGUUAGAGAGUAAUGCGAAUGUAGGAGCUUAUAUUAGAAAUGACACAAACACGUAAAUAGAAGUAAUCUAUAUAUGAUAUUACUCAUGGACUACAAGCAAAGAAGUACAAUACAUGGAGUAAGUGAUGAAAUGAGCAUUCCUCACUACUACUGCUUGACUGAUGGAACAUGAUGCACGAGAUAGCAUAAGUAGUAGUAGGAAGCAGCUCUUAUUUGUGGCGUCGGUAUACAUCAUACUAGGUAGAUGGUUCAAUUGGCAUGGAUGGGUGGUGGAGCCUUGAAGUGCUUGUGAUGGGGAGCCCACGGCUUCUUCUCAGGAGUUGGUGGCUUCUUGUAUGGAGUUGAUGGAGGUGUUUCUACUGGAGGGUGGCCAGGGUAGUGACCCUGGGGUGGUGAAGGUUCUUUUGUCGGUGGUGGCCUCACUAUUAUUGGCGGUAGAGUUGGUGGCUUGGGCGUUGGCGGUGGUCUCACUACUCUUGGGGGUAGAGUUGGUGUCUUGUGUUUUGGUGGUGGAGGUGGCUUAACAGGAGUUGGUGGCUUGUAUUCUGGGGGUGGUUUCUCCACCGGAGGUGGCUUAUAAACUGGAGUUGGUGGCUUGUAUUCUGGGGGUGGCUUCUCCACUGGUGGUGGCCUGUAAACAGGGGUUGGUGGCUUAUAUUCUGGGGGAGGCUUCUCCACUGGAGGCGACUUAUAAACAGGGGUUGGUGGCUUGUAUUCCGGGGGUGGCUUCUCUACGGGAGGUGGCCUGUAAACAGGGGUUGGUGGCUUCUCCACCGGAGGUGGCUUAUAAACGGGGGUUGGUGGCUUGUAUUCUGGGGGUGGUUUCCCCAGUGGUGGAGACUUGUAAACAGGAAGAGGUGGUUUGUGCUCAUAUGGGGGUGGCUUGUGGUCAUUAGCAAGUGAGGGAGUGGUGAGGACCACCAAUCCAAGGAACAACACGAGUGAGCAAGCAGAAGACAUGUUUGGGCUCUGGUGAUGCACAAGUAGAAGAAAUGGGAACCAUUUAUAAUGCUUCGAGACCUUGGUUAGCACCAAAAUAUGUCAAAAUCUUGAUUACUUCAUUUCAUACAUAGAUUUAAAAUUAUUUCAAUCAACCAUGAUCCUUAAUUUUCUGGGUGGUCCAUAAAUGUAAUGGGGUCAAUUUGGGACCUAACAAGCUGAGAAGUUUGACAAUGCUGCAAGGCUUCAUCCGAAAGUCCGGGGAAGAAUAUUAGGAGUUACACUCCGUUUCCUUUUUUGGGUGCAUUUUUCUCCUUUAACAUUCUAUUCCCUUUUACAUUAGCAUUUGAUCUUAGCUCAUUUCAAGUACAAGUUUCUUGAACCCUAUACCAUUGUCAAAGUUGAGUAACCAUCUCUACUUUGCUCAAGAAACAUAAAAGACAAUGACAAUAAAGAAAAAGGAGAGAGACCAUACGUGACUUGGUUUAUAGGUGGCUUUGUGUUGACAUUUGAGUAUGGAAGCCGACAUGCAUCUUAGCUUCGAUUUUAAUUAAAUUUGUACAUUAGUGUCUGUGUCAUUCAUUUUGGUAUAAAAGGUCUCUUGAUUUCGUAAGUUUGGUAAGAACCGUUGAAAAUAGCAGUAGCAGCACAUGGUCCACUUUCUUUCACAAAAUAAUUUUAAAAGUUUAGAAGCAUAGGAGGUAACAUUAGUGGCCUUGUGGCUCAGCCACGAGUACUAUGUGGUGCUCGAGAAAUUGAGUUUAAUUUCCUUCCGAUAGUUCAUGAUAAGGUCCGUCACUGUCCUGAGACAGAUUGCGUUUUUUCUUUUUUCCUUUUUUAGUGUUUUAUUGACUAGCUAGGUGUGACUUUUCCUACUUUAAGGCACGAGGCAGAAAAGAAACUGGGAUUUAGUGCUUAAGAAGGCAAAUUUAAUUCGAUUUGGAUCUAAAAUUUGCCAGCAACAUGAGAUUUUCCAGCCUAUCGUUGCUCCACAUAUAGACAAGGCACUUGUAGAAGUGGCUUGUUUGUAGCCAUUCCCGAUAUUUGGACUCACUUGAUUCACCGGACACUUUGAUAAAAUUUAAUAUUUAUUAUUUAAUAAUUUAAAUUGAUUUAAAAUUAAAUUAUACCGAAGUUGUGAUUUAAAAAUUAUUAUUUAAUUCUUACUUUUAAAUAUGAAGAUUAUUUGAUAAAAAUAAUUUAAAAUUUAUUAUAAAUUAUCAAAUUAACAUAUUUAUCCUUAUAAAUUAUAAUUAAAACAGAAAAGGUCAAAUGAUUUGAGUAUCCAUAGAUGUGGUAAAAUAAUAAAAAAGAUUAUAAAAACAAUUAUGAUAAAUAAAGAUAAAAAGUAAAAUGAAUAUGUGAAUUUAAAGAAUAAAUUAAUUAUUUUUAUUUAUUACUUAAAAUUAUUUUUGACUUUAAAUUAUAUUAUUAAAUUAUUUUACCAAACAUACUUAAUUUAGUUAAUAAUUUAAAUUUAAUUUAAGUUAUUAAAUUGAUUCACCAAAUACCCACUUAAUCAAAGACUGAAGUAUACAUUAUUUGGCCAAAUGCAGCUAUUGAAAUUUAACUUUUUCCAAACUUAUUCAUUUUGUGGAAAUAUUUUUAGAAAUGAUUUUAAAAAUGCACUAUUCUGUGUGUUGAUUUUAUAUUUUGGCAUUAAUCCAACAUAGAAAACGGUUCUUAUUUUCGCUGUUAAAUAGGUACCAGAUCCUUAAUUAGUGCCGUGAAUCCGGCAGCUUCCAAUGAGUAAUUUGGACUUGGGUAUUGACAAUGUGUGGCCAUGCUUCUACUAUUUUAUUAUUCUUGAAACAUAUAUGAUAUAUUGGACUUUAUACAGGGAAAAAAAAAAAAAAAAGUCUUCACCAAAAAUGAUUCCUCCUAAAAAAUAGACUCCACAAACUAGGUUUAACAGGAAAAUGAUUCUAAUCUAGUAGUUUCCAGCCACAUGAGCAUUUACGUAACAAUAGUAUAGUUGAUAACGACUUUUAUUUUAUUUAUUUUUAAAUAGUUAAAGGGAUAAUUUUUGAGCUUAAAUUUUAUUUUUUUAUUUAGAAACAUUUUACUUUAUUUUUUAAUCAUAAUUCUAUUAUAUUAAUGUUUUAUUUUCUAUUUUUUAAUAUAUAAGGAGAUACUAAAUUUAUGUGAUUAUUUUUUAAAAAUUUAGUAUAUGAAAUUAAAUAAUUGGAUAUAUAUACAUAUAUCAUAUAAUGUUUUUUAAGUGUGAUUUUUGAACUUUUUAGUCAUUUUAUAAGUUUAAGCUUUUGAUUUUUUUUUUUAAACUUUGGUAUUUUUUAUUUUAUAUAAAACUAUUUUGAUUUAAUUUUAUUAAAAAAUAUUGGUAUUAUAAAUUAUUGUAUUAAUUAUUUUUUUAUAUUAUAAUGUAACUGGUAUAUACUAAAAAAUGUAUGCAAGUUCAAUUUAAGUUUCAAAUUAAAAAAUUUCAUUUAAAUAUUUAAUAACUUGUUCAUAAUAAAAAAUUAAACAACAUAAUACAAAUGAAAAGAAACAUAAAAGAAAAAGGAAAAAAUGGUCCUCUCUGUGUGUCACAUUACUAGGUCAUCCUCUUUUUCUAUGACCCUUACAAUAGAAUGGCAUAUUUGUCAAAUCUACUUAUGAAAGUUGGAAUGUUUCUACAUGUGUAGGGUCCAUUGGAACUAAUGGAGGAAAGGCUUAACGUCUAUGUAAAUCACAACGUUGCCUAGGUGGGCAUAGAUCUAGUUGUGUAACAUGAGAUGGUGUGAGAGUACAAUAUAUGCAUUGUAGUCUCUAUGGGAAGAGAGAUAGGUAAUGGUAGGGUGGUAGACGGUAGGGUGAUCUCUAAUAUAAUGACAUUUGAUGUGGUGGCUUCUAAGAGAGGAGAUAUAAGAGAUGGUAGAAUGACAUUUGGUGUAAUGGUCUCUAGUGCAAUGACAUGUGAUAUGGUGACCUAUAAAGAAGAGAUAUAGGUGAUGGUGAAGUGGUAUGUGGUGUAGUGACCUUUGAGAUAGAAAAUAGAGGUAAUGGUAGGUUGGCAGGUGGAGUGGUCUUUGGUGUAGUGACAUCAAUUAUAAAUGUCUCCAAGGGAGGAAAUAAAGGUGAUGGUAGGUAGUAAAUGUUGAGGUGGUCUUUGAUAUGUUAUGCUCUAAGAGAGAAGGUAUAGGUAAUGAUAAUAGGGAAUUUGACAUAGUGGUGUUGGAAAUAAAAAGUGAAAGUGACCGUAGAGGUGAAAGGGCAAGUGUAAAAGCCUCAAGUACGAAUGGAGUAAUUAAUGUGGAUGGUGCUAACAUAGUCUUAGGUGGAUACACAAAUAGUCAUAGUCAUCAACUAGCUUGCCCACCAUCUGUCUUUCUGCUAGUGAUAGGUUACAUCUUAAUAGUAAUGGCCAACAUAAGUGGUGUGGAUCCGAUUUUUUUACGUGUGUCCCCACUCAAUCGACAAGACUUAUUUUUUAUUAGUGAAAAAUUAAUUUUGGAAAAGUUGGAGUCACCACUUAUUUUAUUUUAUUUUAAAAAGGAAAGUAAAACAAGAAAGAGAACUCUAAAGAAGUGACUUCAUAGUUUUGGAAAAGUUAGUCUUAAAAAAUCCAAGUCUUGGUCCGGAGAUCAGGUUACUUAUUGGGAAGAUACCUCUAAGAGGUAAUACCCCUCUAAACCCUAAAGAAGUCUCUAAUGACUAAGUUGAGGAGAAUGUGGUAAUUAAUUAAUUGAUUGAGGGUACCUAGGUAGACUAAGGUGAUUUCAGAAUUAACAUACCAAGCUAGAAAGUCCAAUCAUGAUCAUAAAAGAGAGUCAAAGUAUGUACCUGAACUGCUUCUCAAACGCUAUCAUAAAACAUCAAAGUUAGUAUAGAAAUAUAACACAUAAUAUUUGUUUUAUCCAAGCAAAUAAAGCAUACAUCUAAGCACCCAAGAAUCACAUCAAGUAUGGAUAUAGUCAUCAAUAGCAUACGUGUCCAUAGAACUAUCGAAAGUAAAUGUGGAGGAGCGUAUCUGGACAACAUAGAUAACUUAUAAUGUGCUUCCACAAGACAUGGGGGUUAGAUAAAAGUUAUAAUAAUAAUUAGUAAAUGAAAGAAUUCUAGCAUGUUUGGUAUCUAAAUAACAUAGCAAAAAUGAACAAGAGUACACGAAAACAUCAAUUAUCACACGAGUCAUAUUGGCUAGUAUUUAAUCAAUAAACCAACAAUAAAUGACUAUAAACAUAUAAAAUGACAUAUUCAAAGAGACCCAAACAUAAAGAGCCUAGAACACAAGCUUACACUAAAUUUAGAAAACUAAAACAUGGAAUUUUAAAAGCAUAAAUUAGCAAACAAAUUGAUGGAAACUAAAUUUAGAUAACUUAAGAAUAUUUUUCUUAUCCUUCAAUUUAAAUCAGUAAGCCAACAAUAAAAAAUUAUAGAAACAUGGAAUAUCAAGAUCAAUGGGAUACCUAAACUAUAAUUUUUAAAAGAAAAUAAACUAAGCAUAAUAUCUACAAAGCAACUAAACUAACAUUUUUUUAAAAAUAAAUUAAACAUGACAUUAAUGGAGUAACCAAACUAAAUUAAAGUAAACUAAAAACAUUUAUGAAUUUUCAAACAUGGAAUCAGCUUUCUUAGUAAAUUAAAAUUAUUAAAAUAAAAUCUAAGCUUAAAAAUGAAUUAAAUACUAACUAAAGCAAAUCUAAAACCAAAUAUUUAACACAUAGGAUCAAUUAUAUUAACAAACUAAAAUUUUAUAAGAACACUUAAACCUAAAGUUGAAUUAAAAACUAACCAAUUUUUAAAACUAGAUCUUUAACCCAUAGGAUCAAUUAUAUUAACAAAUAAAUAAUAAAUAAUAAAUAAAUAAAACUCAAACCUAAAGAUGAACUAGAAAUGUACCAAAGUAAAUUCAAAACAAGAUCUUUAACACAUUAGAUCAAUUAUAUUGACUAACUAAAAAAAAAAAAAAAAAACACUCAAACCUGAAACGAUGUAUUAGAAACUAACCAAAGCAAAUUUAAAAUAGAGUCUUUAACACAUAGGAUCAAUUAUAAUCACUAACUUAAAUUACAAUUUUUGAAACAUGAACUAAUUAGUGUUGGAUUAAUUAAACUAAUUAACUAAAAAAAACUAUAAACUAGAAUACGGUGAAUCAAGAAUUCAAAUCAACAAACAUAAAAUAUGGGUACAAUGAAAUGAAAAUCUAUUAAACUAAUAAGACGGAAAUAUGACAAACUCAUGAACCCACAUUUUGAUCAACUAGGAAAUAGAAAUUAAUAGACCUGUAGCAUGGAUACAAUGAAAUGAGAUCAGUUAAAUUUAUUUGCCGAAAUUCUAAAAAACACAUACACUCAAAUAAGAUCUAAAUCUAAGACCAAGCAAAACUCAAACUUUCUCAAUCUAAUGCAAUGAAUCAAAACUAAAAUUAAAUAGAAAUCAAACCAUUUUUUUUUUAUCUAAUAUAAUAAAUCAAAGCUAAAACUAAACAAAAUCGAAUUUUCUUAAUUUAAUAUGAUGAGUCAAAGCUAAAAUUGAACAAAGUUCAAACCUUUAUAUAAUGGAUCAAAGUUAAAUCUAAAUGAAAUCCAUACUUCCACAAUUUGAUAUAACAAAUCAAAAAUAAAACUAGAUAAAAAAAAAGUCAAAGCCUUUCAACUUGACAUAGUGAAUCCAAACUGAAACGAAACAAAAUUUUAACUUUUCCAAUGAAACCCAAUAUAGAAAAAAUUAGCUUACCUUCUUUAGAAUAUAUGUAUGGGCCAUAAAGAAGUCACCUUGGUGCAUGUGUUCCUCACUUUGACGCCAAUGGACGACUUUCUAUGGUAGCAAAUGGAGAUCCUUUUUGGUGGUAACUUGCGUGUGGAAACCUAUGGUACAACCAAUGUCAUCUUUUAUUGUGCGUGUGGACCAAUUUCUUCUCGAGAACUCAUGUGUGUUGUGCUCAAAAUAUGUUGCCUGUGAGAAUCUAUUGGUAUACCCCACAUAUGGUUUCCUUGAGAGAAUCUGUGGUUGUGUGUGGGCGUUUUCUUCAUGACAGCAUGUGGAUGUUCCCAUCUAUGGUAGAUUGGUUGUGAUGCUUUAGUGCAUGGUCUCCAUAGGAAUAGUGUGUUAUGGAAAUUUGGUUUUUUUAUUGGUGCAUGUUGUCUAGACUUUCCCAUAUGCGUGGACUGUGUGUUCAUGCUUUUCUUUUCGGAUGGUCGCCUGUGUUAAUGUGUGGCGGUGUCUACAAUGAAAGAUACAACCCUUUCUCUCCUUCUGCGUGAUAGAAAAGUCAAUCCCCCAUGGUGCGACUAUGUUCCCUCGUCCUUUUUGAAAAAUUUUGGUGUUUUCCCCCCAAAAAAUCCCCUCCAAAAAUCUAAUUAUAAAUGUCUGCUUUGGCCUAAUGUGUGUGCUACUUUUUUUUUCCUUCUUUUUAUGGUUGUGCGUGCUUUUCUUGAUACGUGGCUUAUUUCUUAAGGAUAUGAUUCGCUCCCAAUUGGUGUCUCAGCUGAUUCAUGUCCUUUCAAUGGUCCCUGACAGUGGUGCCAUUUGAUUCGUGUCCAGCUGGUGUCCCUUGAUUGUGGUCCUCAGAAGGGAGUAAUCAAUAAAAUUUAUAACCUAUUACACCAUGUAUUAGGAUAGCCUUAGCUAGCAUAGCAUAGUGGCUCUAGGGUCGUUUAUUGGGAUGAGUUUUCACUUCACAAUUGAUAUUAAUUCAAGAGCUGAAUUGGUGCCUUUUCAUUUCAAGGUUAGCUUUAAAAGAAAACAUAAUCUUUGGUGGAAAAAGGUUUGGUUUUAAACUAACCAAAAAUAGUAACUGAUUUUACUUACAAAGAAAAGUGUUCUUUGGAGUUUAGAUCACUAGGCUCAGGUUCCUCAUACAAAAAGGAGAGUUCCGAUCAUUUGUUUCUUUUCCUCGCAUUAGAGAAUUAACAUAUAGUUAAUUCUCUAACCGGUGCGGUACAUAUGCUUCCCAUUAAUGGGUUCAAACACUAAAUACCUCUCACUGAUGCACCUUGCAAUGGCUCGUGCCUCUCACCUAGCAUUUAUCAUUCAAGGUGAUCUUUAACCUUGGAUUACCCAUCAAAAGCUCGCAAGAGAUAACUAAAGGAUGUCUCCUUAGAGUCCAAAAGCUUACCAAGUGUUGGUUAUUCUAGAAAAUCCUACCUUCAAACCACCUCCCAAAGGCUCGCAAGAGAUAAACAAGUGCAUCUCAAUGGAUGAAGAUCACUUGCCUUACCAAGUUUUGGCCCAGAUGAUUUAAUGACAUUUUAAGUUAACUAAAAAGAUAAAAACCAUUAACGGGUCACACUUUCUCUUCAUUAAAAACUAAAACAACAAAACUUCCAAUUUAUGCAUGAGGAAACUUACCUGGCUUUCUUCACUUCAAGAGAUGAAGAGCCUAGCCACUCAUCAUUUGAGGAAAAAUCCUCAGAGUUUGAUUUGCUAGAAAUAAAAAUAAUGAGAAAACAAAAAUAUAUAUAUGAAAAACAGAGCAAGUUCUCUGUAAUAUAUUUUUCUUCCUUAUACAAAAGGUUGUCUCUAAGAACAAGUUCCCGAGAUCUAUCUGAUUGUAAAUAAAAUUACAACUAUAUAUAAGAGGUUAUUCACCCCUUUGUUCUUUCUUAAAGACUAAGGAAUCCUAUGAUAGGUGGGUUACAAGGAGAGUUUGGGGAUUUAGACAUCAAAUAUCUAAAGCAAAAUAUCUCAAGAUGUUAGUCGGAAAUAUCAGGAAGCUUCAGGAGAACACCGCGACACUGUAUACUGAGAGAAAAACUCUCCGGGUAAGCUCUAUCAAAGGAUCCAGACAUGUCUGACUGGGAAAGUUGAAACGUCCUUCUCUCCCAUCCGGAUGUGAGAUAUCCGGAGAAAGUGAAAUGUCGGUCGGACAGAAUUCUUUCCCCGGGUGGAAUGAGUUGUGUUGCGCGUCGCAAGGGGGACCGUCUGCGUGUACAAGUUGUAGGGACCCCUCUCCCGGAUGACACCGAGCGCGUAAGGCUAUCCGGAUCAACUCCAUUCGGAUUCCCCAAGAGGACAUGUGGCGUGCUCCCCUAUCAGGACUCCCUUAGGGAGAAGCACACGACACUCGUGAACAUCAUACCCGGACGAUAGCAUGUCCUAUCCGGAUGUGUUGUCCGGAUCAUUGACUAAAGUGAGCAAGCCUUGCUACGUCAUUCGGACAGCUUGCCACAUACCAUGUUCCGUCGCCAUCUGAUGGUGUGUCCGAACGCCUUGUCCGGACAUCUUUUGCUCCUUGCAUUCCGGAUUUGCUUAUGACAAAGGACUUCAAAGCUUCGGUUCUUCAUGUUUCUGAGCUUUCCAUUGCUUUGCCAUGGAUUCCAAAGAACUCUCCUUAAUCACGGAUUGCUUUGGUGAUCAAAAAGUUAUCAAAACACAAAAACUUAACAUAGUUUGAUUAGAAUUGAUUGCAAGGGUUCUUAAUAUGUUAAUUGGGUUAAAAGGUGAUAACUACUACUCAAAAGUGUUUAUAAGAAUUAAUUACAAGCUAUGAAAUAACACUUUUUGAGUAGUAAUCAGGAUACAUCCUAGUUUUUCAUGGAAUUGAUAGUGGGUUGUUGUGCAUGAAUGCCACCAUUUCAACUAUGCUGUUGUUAUUUUUAAAAAAAAUAUGGAUUAUGCGCGAGUGGCAAUUCUCCACUAUGGAAAGUGGAUUGCUCCUUCAACCCAUGCAUGGCUACGUAUUCCUAUGUCUUUCUACUUGUGUUUGAUCCUCCAAAAAAAAUUUCGGUUUAGUGCUAGUAGAUUUUAAGUGGUGGAUCCCCAUUUUUUGAAAAUGAAGUGGCAGCCUCCCAUUUCAAGACAAAAUGGUAGCCUGCCUUUAAUCUUUGGAGAAAAAUCUGUGCAUGACCUUUUUUUUUCCCAAAAAAUCCGUGCAUGGUGUCCUUUAAUAUUUGGAGAAAAAUCUAUGUUGGAUCUUUUCUUUUCUAGAAACAUUUGUGUGGUCUUUUUUGUUAGCCCAAGGGUUCUUCUAAUCAAGUUUUGAUGAUAACAAACCAUGGUUAAGUGACUAAUUGGUUUAAUGAUUAAGAAUCUCAAACAUAAAAUCGAAAAUUCAUCAAAGGACCAAAUGGAUACAAGAUCGAGACGCUUGGAAGACUUGUAAUCAUAGGAAACUAAUGUAAGAUGAAUGCAUGAGUGCACUUAGGAUUUUCACACGUUUCAUGCAACUUAGAAAACCCAGUUUAUUCUUUAAAACUUCAUCCCAGUUUAUUCUUUUUAUGGUUGUGUGUGCUUUCCUUGAUACGUGGCUUAUUUAUUAAGGAUACAUCCCAGUUUUUCAUGGAAUUGACAGUGGGUUGUUGUGUGUGAAUGCCACCAUUUCAACUGUGCUGUUGUUAUUUAAAAAAAAAAAAAAUGGAUUGUGCGCGAGUGGCAAUUCUCCACUAUGGAAAGUGGAUUGCUCCUUCAACCCAUGCAUGGCUACGUAUUCCUAUGUCUUUCUGCUUGUGUGUGAUCCUCCAAAAAAAAUUUUGGUUUAGUGCUAGUAGAUUUUAAGUGGUGGAUCCCCUUUUUUUGAAAACUAAGUGGCAGCCUCCCAUUUCAAAACGAAGUGGUAGCCUGCCUUUAGUCUUUGGAGAAAAAUCUGUGCAUGACUUUUUUUUUCCCAAAAAAUCCAUGCAUGGUGUCCUUUAAUAUUUGGAGAAAAAUCUAUGUGGGAUCUUUUAUUUUCUAGAAAAAUUUGUGUGGUCUUUUUUGUUAGCCCAAGGGUUCUCCUAAUCAGGUUUUGAUGAUAACAAAUCAUGGUUAAGUGACUAAUUGGUUUAAUGAUUAAGAAUCUCAAACAUAAACUCGAAAAUUCAUCAAAUGACCAAAUGGAUACAAGAUCGAGACGCUUGGAAGACUUGUGAUCAUAGGAAACUAAUGUAAGAUGAAUGCAUGAGUGCACUUAGGAUUUUCACACGUUUCAUGCAAUUUAGAAAACCCAGUUUAUUCUUUAAAACUUCAAUUUCAUUAAAACCCGAGUUUUUAACUAAUGUACCUUAGGCAAAAUGUUUUAUAAUUGGCUUAAUAAUUCACCUAAAUACAUUUUCUAAGUGUUAGAAAAGAAAGGAAUUAAAAAAAGGUUUUCGGGGCAAAAAAGGCUCAACCGGUCGAGGCUAUGGUCAACCGGCUCAACCGGUUGAGGAACCAAUCGAUCGGUUGUGCUUGUCCGAUCGAAGACCAAUCGAGGGAUGCCAAAAAAUUUCUCUCUCUCCUAGUGGCCUUCUCUUCCCGGUCGAGGUUCGGUCUAGGCAACGGUAACAUGUCAAGCAUUAAAUGCUCCGACGACUAGUGAAUCGGUCGACCCCUAGCCCGAUCGGACGAGGUUGCCUUUUGCUGUUUUUGACUCCCGAGCUUAGAAACCUAUAAAUUGAGAGCUCCACUUCAUUUAUUGAUAAAAGAGAACACUUGCAUUCAAUAGUCUACCUACCUUUUCUUGAUCAAAAAGCUCUCAUUUCCUUCAUAGUGCAUUAAAUCAUCACUUGCAUAUCCUUUAGUGCACUAUUGUGUGUCAUCCUAGCUUUGUUUUGUAUUUGAGCUAUCCUUAAGCUAGGUUGAGGGAUUAUUUCUUAUAAAAAUCUGAGUGUUAAAGCCUUCAAGAGAUUUGAAUCUUGAAGAGAUUGUGUAAGAGCCCAUUGGAGCCGGAGUCCAAGUGUAAGAAGAUUGGAAGCUUGGUUGAAGCUUCAAGUUAGUGGAACCCUCACUCGGUUAGGAGGUUGAGGAGAGUGGACGUAGGUAAGGAAGUGUCGAACCAUUAUAAACCCGAGUUUGAAUUCUCUAACUCUAUCUCUUUAUUUUGCUUAUAUUGUGUUUGAAUUUGUUGUGAUUGAAAAGAUUUUAAAAACCUAAUUCACCCUCCCCCCUUUUGGGUUUUUUUUUCUUAAUUAAGCAUAACCUUUGUUUUCUAAUUUUCUUUUUAGGAAAAUCCAUGCGUGGUAUGUCCAAACUCUCCAAGUGGCAGUCUGCCUUCUUCUAAAAAAUUUGUUUCUAUUUCUUUAUUCGACUACCUUCCAUGUCUUCCUAAUGAGUGCUUGUGCUCAAUGGUCAAUCCCUGGUGGUUGCCUCCUUUUCCCAUAUAUACGUGUUGCAAAAUCAACAUCCCACUAUAUGUGGGUUGCCUCUAUGGCAAGUUCACAUUUCCCACAUGAAACCUAUGAGUUUCCACCAAAAAUUGCCAUGAAAAAGUCUUUAUAUGCAUCUCAUGCAAUAAAAAGUCAAGCCAAUACUCAUCUUAUCUCGAAAAAUAAGUAACCAAAAUCAAGAUCAUGCCUAAGUGAACUAUGCCAAAAGAAGUGUCCAAGUGACCUAUUAUGAAAAAAGUGCCUAAGUGACCUAAGGUGAAUGUGUGUAAGCUGGAAGGUGUCUAGGAUGUUUAGGACAAUGCCUAAGCCUAAAAUAGGGUUGCCAAGGGUCACAAUGGGGUUAGAUAAAUCUCUCAAUCAGAGUCUCCAAGGUGGCUCAUAAAAGAUAAGCUACACGAGUAAUGAUGGGCCACCAGGGAAUUAUUGUAAAGCACCAAACGAACACAUAAUAGGACAUGUGUUAGAAUGAAAAAAUGGAGGGUUUACAAGUGGUCUCAUGGAUGAGCUUGAUAAUUUAAAUGACUCACAUAAUGAACGUAUGUGAUGUUUCUCUCCAAUAACAAGCAAAACAUCACUAGCAAUAUGAUGAAUGUCUCCUAAAUCACUUGAAGUAGUCCUAGCAAAUCAAUUAGAAAAAUCACACAUAUUGCUCUAAUGUAAUAUUAUAUACAUCUGUCAAUGAAUGGGAGAACUAAUGACACAACCAUCAUGUUGAUAUCUCGAACCCUCUAAUCUCAUAUGUAGGUGGGAUCACACUUAGAAACUCAUAACACAGUAAUGACCAAUCUAAGUCAAAAUGUGUUGGUGAUCGGAGGCCCAUGAAUAUGAAGUUCUAGGAUGAUAAUGACAUCUUAUAAAGUAAUGAUCAUCUCCUUAAUAGAUAGGUGAAAUGUGUGUGUCUUAGGACACCAUCUCUCAACAAGACUUGUGAUCAAUCCCCAGUCUAGUGUAACAUGCCUAUUAUGACAUCCAUCGUAAAAUCUAGACUAGAUAAUAUAAGGACAAAUGUGAGGGUUCAUCUCCCUUUCCCACAUAAAUUUAAAAAAUUAUUAUUGACAAGUUAAGACCAAACUAAGUUGCAAAAUAUAAAUAAGUCCAUUAGAUAACAAAUUUAUGUUUUCUCAUUUUCUCAUUUUUAAAGAGAUAUUAUGUGCUUCCAUGUACAUACAUGCUAAAGUCAAUUAUACGAGACUUAUAUCCAUCUUGUAGAACCAAAUCGAACCUAUCUAAUAGAUCCAGAUUAGAAGUAUGUCCUCUAUACUCCAUAUUUAUAACACAUUUAUAAAGAUAAAUGCUAAAAAAAUGUUAAAGAUAUAAAUUUAAUGAACCAUACUUUAUGAUUUUAAUUCUCAAUUAUUGUUCAUAUUUAUAAGAGAAAAGUUAAAAAAAUUGAUAGAGUUUUCCCUCUAUCAUGGACAUUAUCCCAAAUAAAAAUAAAUUGAUUAUGCAAAUUACAUUAAUAUUUGUAACCAAAUGAUCAAUAACUAUCUUGUAUCAAUUUAGUAAAUAAAUUUAAGUAUAUCUUUUCAUUUAUGACUAACAAAUAACUCAUACUUGUCCAAUAAAAGCCACACCUAAUUUCUAAAAUUUUGUCUUCACCUCAAGUGAGUGUUACAUUGAGAAAGAAAAAAUAUGAAAGAAAAAAUGAACACCUUUUUCUUUUAAUAAAAAAAGGCCAUAACGAAACAUUAAAUCUCACUGUUACACCUAUCUUCAAUGGAAACAUGAGGAUGUGAAUGGUGGCGGUGAUAUUCUUUGCUUGAAGCUCAUAAACAAAUAUUCCUUACUAAGCCUAUGCCAUUUAGUAUUUCAAUAGUGGACCCCCCCCCCCCCCCCCCCCCCCUCCUUGCAUUUCAGAUUUAGCAAACUUAGAACCAAAUAACAAAGUGCAUUUGAACCCAUAAAGAAGUAAUGAGACUCUCCUAUAUUGGCAAUAGAAGAAAUUUUUGGAGGUAUAGGAGAUUCACGGAUGAAGAAGUUGGGCCCCAAUUGAGAUAAGACCCAAGAAAAGAUGGGGUAGAGAGGGAUGGUUGGAAAUUGUAAAGUAAGAUUUUCAAAAUGUAGUUGAUGACUAAGAUUUUGACAAUUUAAAAAAGGUUUAAAAAUGUAGUUAGCAAUCGGGGUUUUGUAACAUUUAAAAAAUAAAAUAAAAUCUCAGGCCACAUGGUAGCCCAUGUGAUUCAGAAGCUUGAGAAUUAUUUUAUAAGAAGACUUAAUUUGUGAUUUUUUUAUAACUAUAUUAUUUUUUUUCUUAACACACGAAAAAAAUUAUGAAAUAAGACAAUUUUCCUAAGAAAGCAUGUAAGUGACUCUUGGUUAUUUUAUUUAACUUCUUCUAGUUUGGAGAGGAUUAAUACCUUUGCUUUUACUCACUUGCUUGGAUAUGUACACGUUGUUCAUGUCACUUUUCAUUUAAUUUUCUGAUUAAGGGAAUUGGAACCGUACGUAACUGUCUUUAUUCCCUCUGAAACUUGGACUUGGAGUUGGACUUUCAAUCUCAUCAGUCGUGUUUCCAUAAAAAAGAAGAUGGAUUAACCAAUUUUCCUAUGCCUACUAAUCAUACACAAAACUCCACUUCCAAAUAAAAAGGAAUGGGAUAUCACUUGUUAAUAGUGGCUAAAGACUAUUAAUAACCAUGCAAAGAAAUGUCACAUUUUUUGUUCUACGCAAAUUUUAUUCAUCAACUACUAGAACCAUUUCAUACAAUAGUAGCUUUUCGAUCCUUUGAUAAAUGGACACUUGAUGUGAUAACACCAACUACACCUAUAUAUUCAAGCAAUCAUGCGUAUAUAAUAGUGGAUAUGGAUUACUUCUCUAAAUGGGCAAAAGUUUUGUCAUUCAAGGAAAGUGAACGAGGAAACACAAGUUUACUUUCAUCGGAACUAAUAUUAUAUAUUGAUAUGACUUCCCAUUAUUACUUACGAUGGAAUAUGCUUCCAUAAAAUGGCCUAGAUGAACAAACUAUCCAAGAAGUUUGGGAUCAAAUAAUAUAUAUAUAGUUCAUGUGUGAUUCUUUGGUUGACAACCUUGUUAAGGGGUGAGUGAAGCACUUUGGGCAUACCACAUACUACAUGCUAGACUUCCACCCAAGCUACCCUAUAUUCCUUAUGAACAAAGUAGAAGUUGUCAUCUCUCUUGAAUACCAAAUCCUUUCACCUAAUAAUGCUAUCUAAAAAGGUCUUAAAAAGGAUAAAAAUGCGCAUAUUUGAAUUUUUGAAUUAGGAGUGCUACUUAAAAAGAAGCUAGAUAUACAAUAAUAGAAUGUUAUCAAGCAUAUCUCUUCAAAGUUUUUGACCAAAAAAUAUAUGAUUUCUCAUUUUAGGUAGGAGACUUAGUACUCACUAUUCAAAAACCAAUUAUCAUUACUCAUAAAAACUAAUAGAAAGUUUGGGCCAAAGUAGGAUGGACCUUAUAUUAUGCAACAAUUAUGCCUAUAAAAUUGUUGCAAAAGAGGUUUUAGAAUCAAAUCAAUGAAUGAAAAAUUAUUAAAGCAUUACUAUGCUUGAAGGCUAGUCAUUUUCCCUUAAAGUGCAAUAUUAAGUUGCAUAGUACUAUGUGGAUCCGCAUUUUUCACAUGCGUUCCCACUCAUUGUCGAGACUCACUUUUUAGAAGUGAAAAAUUAGUUUUAUUAAAGUCGAAGUUGCCACUGGGGAUUUGAACCCUAACAAAAGGUUCAAUUUAAGGAUAAAAAUAUCGAUAAUCACAUAUAUAUAUAUUGGUACUUUGAUUUUAUGAAUAUAUUGAAGAAAUAUGGACAAAUAUUUUGACACAAAAUAUGUACAAAAUAAAAAUUAUAUAAAAAGUAAAAAUAAAUAUUUUAAAAUUAUUUUUUUAAAUAUAUAUAUAUAUAAUUUGACAUAUUUGAUAAUAAUAUAUAAGGGUCUCCAAAAAGCCCGUGGCCCGCUUUAGGCCCGGUCCGACCCGACAGGCUAAAGCCCGGCCCAAGCCCGCCGGGCCCAAGCUCGGCCCGAGCCCGUUUAUGGGUGGGCCGGGCCGCGAGCCCGUAGGCCUGCUCCUUUAAAAAAAAACUACAAAAAUAAAAAGUAUUAAAAAAAAUAUUCAUUUCAAAAUUUUAUUCAUUGAAUGUAUAAUUACAUUUGAAAAUGUGGGAAAAGUUUACAUCACUACAAAAUAAAUACAUCCCAACUAGGUUGGCACCUAUUUAUUUGUCAAUCAUCUGUAUUUUUCAACCACAAAAAAUAAAAAUAAAAAUAUAAUAUACAUUUAGUCAUUAUUUUCUGGCGGUGAUGGCGAACUAUCAUGCAUCCAUGAAGAUCUUGAUAAUUUUAAAGAUUCCAUAUCGGUAAGCAUCUUUGUUUCUCGAAUGGAAUCAUACAUCCUUUUAUCUGCUAUUUCCCAAUCUUUCACACAUAUCCCUGCUUUAAUAACAUCUGACGCUAAGUUGCAUCGUUUUUUACUAACUACUCUUCCACCUGCACUAAAAGCAGCUUCUGAUGCAACUGUACUCACAGGAACUGUUAGUACAUCACGAGCAAUUAUAGAAAGCACAGGAUAUUUGUGUUGAUGUGAUUUCCACCAUAUUAAAAUAUUAAAAUCUUCUUGAUCUUCAAAUGAAAUUAUAUCAGUAUUAAGAUAUUUAUCUAAAUCAGAUGUAUUAUUUGGAGAAUUAUUUGUUGUCUUUUUUCGACUUUUCAACAUUUCUAGAGCUCCUUUAUAAAAAGAUGAGGAGUUUGUAGAUGUAGGUGGUAAUUUAAUAGUAUUAAUAUCAUUACCAUAUUUUUCUUUAUAAUAGUUAUAUAAAUUAUAUAAUAAUGAAUUUAUUUCAUUUUUAAUUUCUUCAAUUUUUAUUUGGUCAUUAAAAUAAAUAAUUGUUAACCAUUCAUCCAAAGCUUCAAAUUUCAAUCUAGGGUCCACAAUUAAAGCAAUAUAAAAAAUUAAAGGUAUUUCUCCCCAAUAUUUUCUAAAUUUUUAUAUCAUUACAAAUAUUGUAUCAUUAAAUAUUUCAAAACUUAAAUAUUUUUGAAGUACAAUAAAAAUAUUAGUUAUUUGCGUAAUAACUCGAUUUGAAGUUGGAUAAUAUACACCACAAAAAAUGUUUGUUGAAGUAUCAAAAAUUUCAAAAAGAUCUCUUAAAACAUCCGCAAUAUGCCAAUCAUAAUCAUUUAAUGCAUAAAUAUCUGCUUCAUAAUCAUUGUUAAUUAAUUGUAUUUCAUAUAAUUCGACUACUUUUCUAUAUUUUGUAAUAUUUUCUAAAAGUUUAUAUGUGGAAUUCCAUCUAAUAGCCAUAUCCAAAUUUAUAUUUUUUCUUUUCAUAUUUAACAUUUUGCAACAAUCAAAAAAUAAUUCAUGUUUUGCUUGAAAACUAUUAAUACUAUAUGCAAUGCCUCUAAUUUUUUUCCAAUGUACUAUCAACAUUUUUUAAUCCAUCCUUUACAAUUAAAUUUAAAAUAUGUGCACAACAACGCACAUGAAAUAUUUUAGCAUGAUCUUCUUUUACUUGCCAAUAUCGUUUUAGUCUAUGUAUUGCUGCAUCAUUAUUAGCAGCAUUAUCUAAUGUUAUUGUCAAUAUUUUAUCACGAAUGCCUAAAUCUAUAAUUUCAUCAUUUAUUAAAGAUGCUAUAUUUUUACCACUAUGUGGAGUAUUUAUUAAUUUAAAUAAAAUUAUUCUUUUAUUUAAUUUCCAUUCAUUAUCAAUGUAGUGAACAAUUAUAUAUAAAAAACCAGUAUGAGUUAAAGAUGUCCAAAUGUCAGAUGUUAAACGAAUAUUUCCUUCAAAAUUUGCAAAAUUUUUUUUUAAAAUUUCUUUUUGUGUAUAAAUUUUUUUCAUAAUAUCUCUUUUAACUGUAUUUCCAGAUCAACCUUUAAAUUGAGGAUUAAUACCUCGUUGAAUUGUUCUUGCAAAAUCAUGAGUUUCCAUCAUGUUGAAAGGUUGUUCUGCUCUUAUUAUAUAAUCAAUCAUUUCUUCACAACAGUUAGAUUCAUCAUAAGAAAAUGUUUUUAAAUUUCCACUUUCAUUUUUACUUAAUUGCAUAUAAUUUCUAAUAUCUACAUUAUUUUUAGUUUUACAAUUUUCAUGAUGUCUUUUUAAAUGACUUGUAUCUGCAUUUGAGCCACCAGUAAGAAAUUUAUUACAAAUUUUACAUUUUGCUUUUAUUUUUUUUUUAUUAUUUUCUAAAAUUAUUUCUAUUCUAUCAAAAAAAUUCCAUAUAUUUAAAGUAAAUUUUUUGUUUGAUGAUAUUUCAUCACAUGGACUAGACGAAGAAGCACUUGUCAUAUUAUAAUUAUUGAUAAAAUAUUAUGCCAAAAAUAAUAAAGUAAUAAAUAUAAAAAAAAAUGUAACAAAAAAAAUAAAGUAGUAGGGGUGAAGUAUGUUACUCAAUUAGAGAACCUAUGCAGAAAUUCCUAGCAAAUUUGAACUCUUGGAGCCACCAAUGCUUGUUUUGCACCAUCAACAAUAUUGUAUAAUUUGAGGGAAAAAUAAAAGAAUUUAAAAUAUUGUAGAAUGUGAGAGAAAUAGAGAGAAUUUGAUGAAAAAAUGAAAAGGAAGAAAAUGUAUUUAUAGGAAGGUUAAAAAUAAUAAUAAUAAUAAUAAUAAUAAUAAUAAUAAUAAUAAUAAUAAUAAUAAUAAUAAUAAUUGGCCAUGUGACCGUUGGAGGCUUAGCUCCAACGGUCACAUGGGCUGGAGCUAGGCUCCAACAGUCACAUGACCGUUGGAGCCUUUAAUUUUUUUUUUUAAAAUAAUAUACUUUAUUUUUAUAUAUAUAUAACUAACUCAAUUAAUAAACAUAAAAAGAAUAUAGUUCAGUUGGUUAGAACCUUGAAGUUUAAACAUGAGGGGAGGGGUUUGAAUCCCUCCCUCUCCCUUAGGGGCUUUUUUAAAAGCCAUUUUGGCUUAUUUCAAAAAGCCUGUCGGCCCGACCCGCCCUGCAGCCCGCGGGCCUAGCAUUUUAGCAUGGCCUGGUCUGUUGACUAGUCAAAUGGCUCAUAGGCUCGGCCCGAACUGGGCCGCGGGCCUCUUAUUUACGGACCGGCCCGACCCGGCCCGCCCGUUGGAGACCCUUGAUAAUAUCUUCUAUAUUAAGUUACAUUAUAGUUUAUUUUACAAUAUUAUUAUGAUAAUAUGUCUAAUUUUAAAAUAUAUUUAAUAUUAAAAUUAUGAUCUAUUUUAAUUUAAAUGUAUUCAAUGAUAUCAAAUAAAUAAUAAUAUAUGUAUAAUUCUUUUAUUAUUUAUAUUUAUUAUUUUUAAUAAAUAUAUAGAUUAUAUAAAAAAGACCGGAUAUAUCUUUUCAAAUUUUGUAUCGCUCUCCAAGGAUAUUAGAUGUAUGGGAAUUUGUAUUGCUAUCUACGGAUACGUUGAUAUAUGGGUGAUUUAUCAGGAUAAUUAGAAAUUCUAAUUAUGUAAGCAGGUACGGAGUUCUGUGUCGGUGCGAUCUUGUCGACAACAGCUCCAAAUUGUGCAUCUUGCUCAUAGAGAGUAGCGGAAUGCACCAAUCGUAGGCUCAGAGUACCACUGAGUCGUCUGGCAGAGACCCAACUGAAGGUGCCUGUGUUGUUCCUGAUCUGAUCAGGCUUCAAACUACAAGGUGGAAUACUGGUUCCCCUAUAUCAGAAGCUGGAGAUACCCACCCCAUAUGCUCGUCUGGAUGUGCUCCUACCCUUUGAAGCCUUCUUCCGAGUCAAGUCCGAAUUGAUAAGGCUAGUGAGUUCCCAACCAACUGUACUCAGCAUGCUGCCAGGUGGAGACCCUCCAUAUUUGAUGGCUUCCUAAUAUUAAAAUGCUGACCACUGGUCUUCAUGUUCCACAGGCUUAAUUGUGUCCUUUGCUGAAAGAAUGGAUAGUGAUCCAUUUUAACACAUGAUUCACGCCGUCUUUGCCAUUCUUCAUGGUCUAGCCCUUUUAUAUAUAUGCUUCCUGAACUGUUGCUAUUAAUAAAAUGUGGUAUCUAUCCCGUACACCUUCCUGAUGGCCAGCGAAUGCAGAAGCUACAGAAACGGUUCCAUCUUUUGCUUCCGCCACUUUGGCAUCCUCCAUGAUGAGAUCGAAGGUGAAUAAUCAUAUUCUGGGGAUUUAUGUCCUGGAUAUUCUCAGUAAUGCCCAAUUUCCUGGUGCCGGCCUCAUUUCCAUGGGAACUGAUGGAUAACUUAAGGCUUCUACCAUCUGCGUGGUUCGCUUCUAACACAGGAAACUUCACGGCUAAAAGCAAGAUACCAAGAACAUCAAGGCUGUGACAAAAAUUAGUAUUUUUAACUUGUAGGAAUUUGAAAGGCAACCAACCAUCUAGCUCUGUUCUUAAAGCUCCCAUAGGAGGAUCAGAGGCUGGAUUGCUCAAGAUGAACUCAUCCAUUGUUGCACUUAAAAAGAAUUGGCAUGAAUUGUGGCCGCUCUAAUAGGUUCCCUAAACCAUCAUCCAAGUGGGCUUGCGGAAGGUAGCGAGUUUAAAACACCUAGGGCGAUGAACAGUGGACUGUGAUGCUCACAAAAGAGAAAAGGAAGAAUUCAAUAAUUCCUAAGAAUCCAUUUGCCUGUCAUCCAAAUUUUUAUAUUCUCUUCAGUCUGACGCGUUAUGCCAUAUAUUAAAAAUAGCGGCUUCUUCCAAGCCGAGACAGACUGUGCAAAGUUCGCAAGGCCAAUCAUCACCAUAAUCUGAAGUUGGCCUCCUCAAUCGCAGCUUGUAUCCGAAUGCUCACUUCACGGGAUGGAUUGUAAUGAAAACUAAUCUCAGUCCCAGCUAUGGCAGCAUCCUCACUUGACAGCAUUUUCUGCAUAUUCUAGAACAAAGCAAUAAACCCUCAAAGGCUCCUUCGGAUCAGAGUUAGAAGACUGUCCCUCAGGAACGUGAACACUAUGGUGGUUCUGAUAAGCAGUGAUAUUGCAUUAGAGCCUUUUGGAACAAGAGGAUCUUUUCAGGUGGAAACUGUAAACUGCUUCAUGUUGGGCUGCAACCUUUUCUUCAAGCAAUACUUUCUUUCUGUAUCACGACUUAUGUUGCUUCCGGAGCCAUCCCGUGUGGACUGCCCUUCAGUGAAAGAAUAUGUGUGUUGACAUGUUGGAUUGUAAUCUUUGUUCCACUCUAAUGGCUUUUGGUCCUCCUCUUUCUCUUUAUGACAGAGAACCAUUUAGUGAUCCAUCUCUAUAUUGUAGCAUUGCUGGUGCUUUGCAAUACUACACUCUCACCAAGCAUAACAUCUAUUUUUCCGUGACCAAAGUAUGUCGGUUUAUGCAUGCGCAAACUCUUAUUCAUUGGCAAGUUGUCAAGCGUAUCUCAUGAUUUCCCAAAGCCACAAGUUCUUAUGGUCUUUCUGUUCAAGCUUACAAUGAUCUAUCUUUUCUUGGUUAUACUGAUGUCGAUUGGGCUAGUUGCCCUGAUAACAAGCACAAUACUAGUGGGUACAACACUUUUCCUGGUCCUAAUCUCAUUUCAUGGGCAUUUUCAAAGCAGAAGGUUGUGUCUCACUCCAAUAACGAAUCUGAAUAUAGGGGACUCACUAAUUAAUGUUGUUGCCAAGGUCACUUGGAUUGAAUCUGUCUUACGUGAGUUGCGUGUUUCUCUACCCCAACCACCAAUUUUGUUGUGUGACAACAUUAGUGCUACACACUUGGACAAACCAUGUUGAAAUACACUAUCAUUUUAUCCAUGAAAGGCUUAUGCAUCACACACUCAAAAUUCAAUACACCUCUUCUAUAGACCAACUAGUCAAUGCUAUGACCAAAGCUCUUCCUUCAUCUCACUUGUACAAUCUUCAGUGCAAGCUGAUUGUUCUUCCCAAACCACUCAACUUGAGGGGAGAUGUUAAGCCAAUUUAAUAAAUUGAUUUCUUUUGGUUAAUUUGUUAGAAUCAUUUUUAUUAGAGGUUUGUUUGUACAAUUACAUCCAUUUAUCAGGAGAGUACACGUGUACAACUCCUCUUUUAAUCUCACCAUUGUAUAUAUAUGAUACACGACCUUACUCAGAAUUGCAUAACAUUUCCUCUGCUCAUUCCUUUUCUUCUUUGAAUUUUCCCUUACCUCACUGAUUUUGAUUUAUACCUGGUGUUUUCACCUUUGGUCUCUACCUUUCUAGCCAGUUUUCUAAUUAAUCCGUAUAUGGUAUACCUGUCAACUAAUGAGGAGAAAGAGAAAAGGGGAUUGCUGUUCCACCAGCUACAUAUAAUAAUUAAUUACAAUCAUGGUAAUGGAUCCUGAAAUCCAUCCUUUGUGGAUUUUGUACGGAAUAUUGUUGUUAUGUAUGUGGGCUCACUUAGAUGUAUAUUGCUAGCCUGUCUGGGAAAUGUGAUUGCAGGUCCAGAUUAUGAUGUUGAUAUUAGUGGGAUAAGCAAGAGAUGCAGUUAACACGUAUGUGAUGGACUUGAGUAACUUUUCCAUUUCAGUCCAUUUUUUAAGAUUAUGCUUAGUCUUAUUACAAGGAAAGACCAUAAGAAUCAUGAGUCAUUGGCAAGGUAAUAUCAUUCCCUCUUUACAGGCUUCUUCACCUUUUGGUUUUUUUAAUAUCCAUCAAGAUCUUUUAAUUGGAGGACAAUUACAAGUAUAUAUAUAUGUAUUAAAAGGGGAAAAUAUUAAAACAGGAAAUUUUAGGGAAAAUAUAAUAAUUAUUUCUUCCUUCUUUCCCAUAUAGAACUACACAAAAUAAAACUUUAAUAAUUUUUUCUUAUCUUUUUUAUUAUUAUUUUUUCUUAGAAACAUCCGUGGUCUCACAAGCUUGUAAUCCUAGAUUGUUAGGCUCCUUUAACAGUGCCCCAACAUCGUGGUCCAAUGACAAGCUUCCACGCCUUAAAAUCAGAAAAUGCCAUUAAACUUUAUCAGACAUUACAGUUCAAGACAAAGCUUUCAUUUGCUUAAUGUGAUAAUGAAAUUGUUAAUUUCAUUUCGUGGGCAUCUAAAUUUGGACGAGCAAGACCUCUGAAUUCCCUGUUUUUAUCACCAGCAGAGGAGAUAAAAUCUUAAUGGUGAGAAUCUCCACGUGAAAUUUAUGUGUACUGUCAACAUAUUUUUGUUUAUAUAGUCCAGUAGCUGCAGGAAGUCUAGAUUAUAUAGGUAGCAGUAGCACUAUUUAUAGCACUCGAUAUUCGCUGUAUGAAUACAUUAAACCUUGUUUUCAAUACGCAUCACAAGCAAGUACUAGAUACUACAAGGAGUGACAGUCGCAUCAACAUUUCUUGAUAAUAGCAGUGACUGAUUUAUACACAGAACAGUACUGUACACGUACCAGUCACCAGAGAUAGGAUCUUAUUCCUACAUACGACUCUUAUUGAUCGAAGUCACUCAGUUGGGGUAGCCUGGAGUUGGAGGUUUGUGUGGUGGCUUCUUCUUUGGAGGAGGCUUUAUCUUUGGAGGCAUCAUCUUUGGAGGCAUCUUGUGUGAGUCUUCUUCAGCAUUCUCUACAGGAGGAUGGCCAGGCUUAUGACCCUUAGGUGGUUUGCCAACUGGGAUUGGUGGCUUGUGUCCUGAGAGUGGCUCCUCUUCUUCGGGAGGUUUGCCAACUGACGUUGGUGGCCCGUGUCCUGGGGGUGGCUUGUGUUUUGGGGGUGGUUUCACUCCACCGGGAGGUUUACCAAUUGGUGUUGGUGGUUUGUGCUCAAUCGGUGGCCUCUCAACUGGGGGGCGCUUGGGGUAAUCAGCGAGUGAAGAAGUGGUGAGAACCACCACUCCAAGCAACAACACUAGCAAGUAUGUGGAAGACAUCUUUGAGUUUGGCUCAGAUGGUGUAGAACUAGAAUCCUGGGUGGCCUUUUAUAUUAGUUGGGCCCUAUGCCCGAACGACAAGUGUCAUGGUGACACAUAAAGUGAUGGGGUCGAUUUGGGCCUACCGGAUUUGAAAACUUGGACAAUUCGAGAAGCGUCUCCUGACUCCGGGUUGUAAAGUGAAAGAUUAGGUAUCGACCAUUGAAGUAUGAUCACAACUUUUGGCCUUUGGCUCUCUCUACUGCCGUAUAGCUUUUUUCCUUUGGAUAUUUUUCUUAGCUAGACACAAUUAUUGAGCAGUCUAAUCUCGAAAUGGGAUUAGUAUAGCUUUAAGCAAAUUUAUUAUAGUUAGUGGAGGACUUUUAAGAGUGCAGACGACAUUUAACACAUGCAUGCAGUAGUAUAGGGGACAUAACACUAUUCUUUUUCCAAAGAUUCACAUGAUUUUUAUAUUAUAGUAUUGGCACAUUGUAUGUAGCUGGUUUUGUGGUUAAAAUUCCAUAUGUAGACACUGGCGUUUCUCCAUUUCUCACAAUUGAUGUUUACCUCCACGAUUACUAGAUUAGAUAUACCAAACAAUAACACAUUGUAUAAUCUAUCCGCCCUUCAAAAUCUACUGUAUGAUGAAAUGUUUCAUGUGUGUGUGAAGUGUUAGAAAUGCACUAUAGGCAACAUCAUCUUCUUUUGUCUAGGCUUGGGCCUCAAAUUAUACUCCCAUGCCAUGAUAAAUUUUCAUGUGCAUUCUCUAAAGAAGAGUGUCUUGAAUGUGCCAAAUCAUUUUGAUUGAUUUUAUGAUGUUAAUUGCUCCGCAUAUGGAUGGGUAUGUGCUUUAUUUGCUUAUUCAAUCCACAAUUACCUUGAACUGAAGUCCUAUUGGAGCUCUAUUAUUUUAGCAACGUCCUGUCAAAUAGGCUGCUAACUUGGGGUGGUAUGGACCCAAUGAUCCAUCUUAAUCUUGGGUUGAUUUUGUCUGACUCUAUCUAUCUCAGAGAGAACCAGGAUCACCAGUGCUGGUCUGCUUAAAGAAGACUCAGUACUGGAUUAAUAUUGGUUUGGGUCAAUAGCUUAUAAUGCAUUGAAUGCAGAAUAAACAAGAUCAAUGAAACCCAAAACACACUGCCCACACAACUUCACUCUGGUGUCUGUUAUUCAUCAAUUCUAUUCCCACAUGAACUGGUUCAAGUUUAAGAAAAUGACAACGGAUCCACUGUAUUAACUUGGUUUUGCUUGGUUUUGAGCUAGUUGCCAAACCAGCCAUGAGUUUUACCUCUAAUGUCAAUGAACAAACCCCAAAUGAACAACUGCAACAGCUUAAAGAGAAGGAAUGGAGAUGAAAAUCCCUGUUUCUUCUCAUUCUGGGGACAAAUUAGAACAUAACUACAAAGGUUCUAUUAAUUGACUUACUCUACCAUGAAUUAUGGUUCUUUGGUUUUCCAAAUUUAAAUUGUACAUGAGAUUAUUUUUUUCCUUUAUAUAUAAACAUAUUAAGGUUUUCUUAUUUCGUGGGCAAAUGCGCUAAGGAUGAAAGUCAUUUCAUUUGGCUGCAACAGCAUCUUAUAAUCAACAUGCAUAAGCAGCAGUUUUAAUUGAUCGAUUGAACACCGACUCACAAGAAUAGAUAGAAUGGUACAAGACAGCUCUUAUUAAUUUAUACUCGUUACUCAUUUUAUGUAGCCCCAUUAAGAUGGCUGGCUGGACCACCGAGGUCUGGGGGUGGUGUUGCUUGUGUGAUGCAGCGGGCCGGGCAGACACUUCUCUAGUUGCUUCUAUUUGGAGUUAGAGGAUCAGUCUCUGCCAACCUUGAGGACUCUCUACCUCAGAGGGUCCAGGUGGUGGACUCUGGUGUCGGUAGCUUUGAACUCUCAGUAGACUAGUGUGUCUUAAUCAGUCACUGCCAGAGGCUGGCGUAGGCAGUGACGAUAAGGUGAGACAAAUUACCGAAUAGUCAAUAUCGACUGCACUUGACCAUUAUAGAUUUGUUCUGACAAAAGUGAGAAAAGGGAGAAAAUCGGAUGUUGACCUUUAUAGAAAAAGAUAAGAUUUACUGCAACACAGAGCACUGAUUUGUUACUUGGAAACCAAGUUAUGCUAUUAGCUAGCCUCCAUUAGCAGCAGGGUACCUUGCUGCCUGAUCCUAAUCUGAGUUCCCAAGGUUUCAAUCUUCGUUUGUUAACGCUUCAGGAUUUGGAUAUUUCAGCUUCGUUUCUCCAUUUAGCCAACGCUGCCUGGUUUGGAUUUCAAUCCUCAUCUGGAACAUUCUUUUUUCGGUCUGAUUCAGGAAGUGUUUGGUGAUAGUUGAUUAAAAUUAAACAGUACUAUCAUACAAAUAAAGCUGAUCUAAUUUUGGUGGGCAAUAUACCAACUCAUUUAUUCUUGAAAACACCAUGGGGAAUUGGAGGUCCAUCCGAAGUACUAUUUGAUGGGACUCACAAAAAGAACAGGUGCACAUUUAUGAGAUCCGUGGAAGAGAUAACUAUGACAGCUAUGCAUGUACAACAGAUUUAUGUCGAGUUCACCUCGUAGAUAUUUUGUUUUCAGUGUCGGUGGACCCCAAAAUGGAAAUCGGAAAUUAAGGUUAUAUUUAUUUUUUUAUUUAAUUUUAAAUAGAAUUUUAAUUUUUAAUAAUAUUAAGUAUUAAAUUAUUUUUUUAAGGGUAUUUUAUUUUUAUUAAGUAUUAAAAAGUAAAAAAAAUUAAUAUGUUGCUUUUUUAUUUUAAAAAAAUUAUAUAUUUUAAUUUUUUCUAUUUACUAAAAAGUUUAUAAUAAAUUAUAAAAAAAUAAAAAAAUAAAAAACUUAAAUUCUGAAAAUAAAUUAUUUUUAAUAAAAAAAUCCAAAAAAGCAAACACCACCUAAAUUUGAGAUGACUCAAAAUUUUAUAUUUUUUUUCACCUAAAUUAUAUUCAUAAAUUUAAAAUUAAAAAAUUAGGAAGUUGAAUUUUAUUUUGGAUAAUUGGAAACUACAAGAAAUCAAUAAAAAUAUUUGGAAAAAAAAGAAAAAGAAAAACUAUCUAUAUAUUCACCCCCUUCUAAGAAACAUAACUUUAGUUUUUAACUAUUUUUUAAAAUAAUUUUUGAAAAAUGUUAUAUAAUAUUUUAUAAAACAAAAAAUCUGUUUGACAAUUUGAUAUGUCUUUAACUUAUUUUUAAUAUUUAUAUAUAUAUAUUUUAAAAAUAAUUUUAUAUUUAGAACUUUAUCUUUAAUUAUUAUAUAUAUUUAUAUAAUUAUUUUUUUUAAAACAACUCUUAAAAAAUAAGUGAAAGUAAUUGAAAACAACUCAAAGAUAUUUGAUGAAAACACUCUAAUUUGUAUUUUUGAGAAUAAAAAAAUAAAUAAAUAAAUUUCUAGUUAUCAAAUGUAUUUUUUAAUUCUUUUAUUCUAAAAAAUAGAAAAUCGUUUUUGAAAAUAAUUAUUAAACAACAUUCUUAAAAAUUCACUCGUUACAAUCUAGAUUUAAUGCAAGAAUGAUUGAAGGAGUCCUCCAAUAGAACCCAAAGUUAUAAACAUGAACAAGAAGCCCUAGAAACACCAAAGAUCUCAUAUGGUAUAUAUAUGAGCUUGAUUGAGAACUGUUUUAAAUUCAGUUUUUUUUUUUUUUUUUUUUUUUUGUUUUCAAAGUCAAAACAAGUUUACUUUUAAUUUUUACUUCUUUUUUUUAAUUUUAUAAAUAACAGUUUUUUAAUAAUUUAUUUUGAAAACAUGAUUAUUUUUAAAACUUAUAAUGAAAAUAGGAAUUUUUUUUUUAAUAUCAUGGUUAUUUUCCCUUCUUUUAAGGAGGGCUAUUUUAAAAAUAAAUUUACAAAUAUGAAAAAUGAUUCAAACUAAAGCAGUACAAAUAAAAAACAUUUUUAAGAAAUAUUUAAAAAUAGAGAAAAUUAUUUGAGAACAUUUGAAGUCCUUAAAUAGACUUUUGUUUUAGAAAAGGCAAGAUAAUUAUUUUUGAAAAUUGUUUUCAUAAUGAUAUGCAAAAACCUACGUAAAAACCAUAAUUAUAAUCGGCCACAUAUCAAAUCUACUAAAUAUGAAAAGUAAGUACAUAAUUAUAUUUGACUUAGAUGCAAGGAGGAAAAUGUCGCGAUAUUAUCGCCGAAAUAUCGUGUGUCGAAGGGUAUCGACACGAUUUUUCUUGCAGAAAUAUCGGCCAGUCGAUUUUUCGGGAUAAAUCUCGAGAAAUCGGCAAUUUAUCGCGAUAUAUCGGCGAUUUUUCCUCGAUAUAUCUUCUGGUCAACGCGGGUCAACGGAGUCAACACGCUACAGUGAAAGUCAAAUGUGCUACAAUGUCCCCGCUACAAUCACCUCCCCAAACAAAUUGCCAAAUUGCUUCCGAGGGGAUUUGAACCAGCCUUCUUGCCAUUUGGGCUAACUCGCCCUUAUGAUAUAUAUUGCAUUAAACAUAUAUAUACUUAAAGUCCUUAUAUAAAGAAAAUGUUAAAAAAAUAUUUUAAAGAGCAAAUUAAUUAUAAUUAUUUUAUAAUUAAAAGCAAAAUUUUCUUUUAAUUAAUUACCAAAAAUAUAAAAAUUAUAUAAUUUUCUUCAUAAUGUUUUUAAUAUCAUUAAUAAUUAAUUAAAUAUUAAAAAAUUAUAUAUAUAUAUAUAUAUAUAUAUAUAUAUAUUAUAAUUUAUUUUAUAUUGUUUAAUACAAUUGAAUUAAAUGGAUCAUAUUUUAAUAUUAAUAUAUAUUUUAAAAUUAGACAUAUUGUAAUCAAAUAUCAUAAUAUUAUAUGUAAUUUAAUAAUAAAUGUACACUUAUAAAAUUCAUAUUUUUAUCGAUGCAUACAAUAUUAUUAUCAAAUAUGAUAAAUCAUGUUAUACAUAUAUCAAAAUUUUCAAUAAAAUAACUUUAAAAUGUCUAUUAUACUUCUAAUUAUAUUAUUAUGAGGUUUUCUUUACAUUUUCAUGAGUUUUAAACAAUUUUAAGCACCAAUAUUUUUUUCCAAAAUAUCCACCGAUAUAUCUCCGAUAUAUCCAAUAUAUCUCCGAUAUCUCCGAUAUAUCCGUAAAAUCGAAGUACCGAUAUAUCCGUGAUUACCGAUAUUUUCAUCAUUGCUUAGAUGCAACCUUCUUCCAAAUGACAUACUUUAGUCAAUACUUAUAUUUUUUCGUUUCACUUCUUUGAUACAACACCUCAUGGAUUUAUUGUUUAAUUUAUUUGUAAUUAUAAAACUAUUUUUCAUUUUUAAUAAGACUUGAAUUAAUUUAAUAAAUAUUAUAUAAUUUGAAUUUAUAAUUCUUUUUAUAAAAUCAAAGUAUAUUAAAAAAAAAACAAUUUAUCCGAAGAAAGUUUUUUAUUUUUUAUUUUUUAAAACCGAUUUUAAAAAUAACUAGCUAGACACCCUUAUUUUGAUAAAAUACGAAAUAAAAGUGUAAAAACAACAUGGCCAAAUAGGGGCUUAAAUUUUAUUUUUAAAACAUUUUUUUACACUAAAGUGCAUUUUAAAAACACCAUCAAAACCAACUACAAGUUAUGCUUCUUCCCGUAAUAGAAAUAUUUUAGGCCAAAAUAGAACCUCCCCAAAUAAAGACCCUAUACUAAACUCCUUUUCAUUUUAUUAAUACAAAAGUGGGGAAAAAAGGUCUAUGCUCACCUAAAAAACAUGAAUAUUGUGAAUUCACCAUUUCUAUAAGGAAGUUGAAAACUUCAAAAUUUUAUCAACAAAUUCUCUAAAAUCCUCAAAAUAUAUAGGGCCUGUUUCACAAAGUUUUUUAAAAUUUGUUUUUAUAAAUUGCUUUUAAAAUAUAGAAUAAAUAACAGUUUUUUAGAUUUUUUGAAAAAUAAGAGUGUUUGGUAAGAUGUUUUUUUUUUUUUUUUUUUUUUUAAGAAUUAAAUAAAAAAUAAAAAAAUUGUUUAGAUAAAAGAAUUUGUAUUGUUUUUAAAAACAAUGUCUUACUUUUAUGUUAUAAAAAUUUUAUUAAUUUAAUUUAUAAUAAUAUGAAAUGAAAUUCAAGUUAAGUCUUAUUAAAAAAUACAAAUUAAAUCUAUAAUUAUGCAUGAGUUAAAGAUAAAUAUAUAUUUUUUAAAACUAUAAAAUAAAUUUUCUAUUAUAGUGAAACAAAAAUUACUAUAAAAUAAAAAUAAUUUUAAUAUUCAUUUUUAAUACAAGUCAAAUAAGUACUUUAAUUAAUUUUUUUUAUCAUGAUUUCUUAUGUUUUUUUUUUUUUCUAGAAAUUAUUUUAAGUAAUAUAACUAAUUUUUUUUUUAAUGUUUUAUAAAAAUAAGGAUAUUUGGCAAGUUGUUUUUAUAAAAGGAUUUUAAAAAUAAAUGGAUUUUUUUUUUUUUUAAAAAAAGAACAAAAUGAUUUGUUUGAAUAAAUUGUUUUGAUUUUGUAAAAACAUUUUAAAUUCAAUUUAUAUAAUAUUAAUUAAUUAAAUUAAAUUGAAGUUUUAUUGAAAAUAAAAAUAAUUUUGUAAUUAAAAUUAGAUUAAAAAAUAUAUAGGUUUUAAUAAAUCGUAAAUAGUAAUAUUAUAAUAAAAUUAUAAAUUAUAUUUUUAACAUAAAAUAUACUAUUUAUUACAUAUUAAAAAAAAUAUUUUAUUAUAUUAAUAAUUUUAUGGUAUUAAUGAGUUUAUUAUUUAAGUUUUAAAUUAUUUUUAAAAAUUAAUAAAUUUGUUAACAAAUGCAAUGUACUAAAUGUGGUUUAAUUUGGAGUUAAUUUGUUUAGGGAAAAAAAUAAAAAAUAAAAAUCUUAUGUAAAAGAGAAAUAAUAGAGUGUGUGUGUUUUUUUUUAUUAUUUUUAAAAAUCAGUAAAAAGAACUUUUACUUAUUGCCUAAAAAUUAUUCUCUAUUUUAUUUUAUUUUUUAAAUCUAGAAAUAGAUAACAAUAAUAAAAAAAAUUAAAAAAGAAAAAUGUUUUUUAAAACUCAGACUUAUAAUUGCUUUUGUUUCUCAUUCGCACCCCUGGAUUCCUGGAUUCUAAACACAAAAUUAAGUUGAAUCGUCCAUCUAUCUUGUAAGCCAAGAAUUCACAUAGAAGAAAUAAUCGGAAUUUGAUUUGAUAUCAGAUUUAGAGUGGCUCACUACUCAUGCAUUGUCCCACAAUAGUAAUGCUUUGGGCCGAGAUAAACCCAUUUGUGGGCCCAAAUAAAACCCCUGGUUUGAAAACAUCGAUUUUACAGUGGCCCAAAAGAUUAUCUAUGAGGGGAAGAUAACUUGGAAGUCAAGCAAACACAUUUAUCGCUAACUUUUCUCUAAUUAUAAAAUUAUAACUUGGUCUUCUACACGUCUCACUUAAGAGGCGGAGCCACUUGGCACUACCUUUCCAUAUUGUAAAAGGAGAAGAAGCAGAAGGAGAAGAUUCUUAUGCCAUUCCACACACCAUGGCUAGUACUGCUAUGCUGCUUGGCCCGCCGGCUCUCCGCCAUCCUAAUUCUCCCGCCGGCACUGUCUUUGAAGAUGGGGUCAUUCUAACGGAUUCCCUGAUCGUCCGCACCAGUAAUCUGGAGCUUUCUGAAAAACCGCCACUGGAAUCCCUGGCGUAGUGCUCUGUCAGUGGGGAUAUUGCUAUGGAUUGUUUGGAUUCCCAAGCCCACAAUCUUCAUCUUCCCGGGAAACCGCCGAUGGGCUUAACGGAAAACAAGUCUCCGACCUUUUUGUCUUCCGGGAACCCGUGCUUGGACUUCUUCUUCCAUGUGGUUCCCGAUACGUCGUCUGAUGAUCUGAUCCGACGGUUUGAGUUGGCUUGGGAAUUCAAUCCGCUGACGACGUUAAAACUGAUAUGCAACUUGAGAGAGGUGAGAGGCACCGGAAAAUCUGACAAAGAGGGUUUCUACACGGCGGUUCUCUGGCUCCACGACCACCAUCCCAAAACCCUAGCCUGCAAUGCUAGGGUGUUGGCCAGCUUCGGUUAUUUCAAGGAUUUUCUCGAGAUUCUCUACCGGCUUCUGGAGGGCCCUAAAAUUCGAAGAAUCGAAAAGAAAGACUGGCUGGAUCGAAAAGGAAGGAAGAAAAAUUCCCGGAAAAGGAACUCAAUAUUCAAGCGAGAAAAUAGGCCUGGAGUUGAAUUUCCUGUAGAAGAGAAGGAUGUGGAGUAUAUGGUGGAAGAAUUUGUGGAUAAAGAAAAGGCUAGGGUACUGAGAAAGGAGAGAGAACUUGCUCUUGCCAAAAGAGCCCUGCACAAGUAUUCUACUGAUUCUAAUUAUCAGUUCUUACAUGAUCAGAUUUCAGAUUUAUUUGCUGAACUUCUGAAAUCUGAUAUUCAGUAUUUAAACUCCGGUGAGCUUUACAAGAUUAGUCUCGCAUCCAAAUGGUGUCCCACAAUUGAUUCUUCUUAUGAUAAAUCCACCUUGAUAUGUGAAAAUAUUGCUCGAAAGGUUUAUUCUCGCGAGGAAUAUAUAUCCAGAAUACCAAGGAAUUGAGGAGGCUCACUAUGUUAAUAGAGUCAGGGAUAGGUUGAGAAAACAAGUACUUGUUCCAUUACGUAAGGCCCUGGAGUUGCCAGAGGUUUUCAUGUGUUCGAACCAGUGGGGAUCACUUCCCUACAACCGUGUGGCUUCAGUGGCCAUGAAAUCAUACAAGAGCCUCUUCUCAAAACAUGAUACAGAGCGGUUUGGUGUGUAUCUUGAGAAAGUGCAAACUGGGAAGGCUAAGAUUGCAGCUGGUGCAUUACUUCCCCAUGAGAUUAUAGCUUCAUUGAAUGAGGAGGAUGGCGAGAAAGUUGCAGAGCUUCAGUGGGCGAGAAUGGUGGAAGAUUUAUCAAAGAAUGGGAGGCUCACAAAUUGCAGUGCGGUAUGUGACGUAUCAGGAAGUAUGAGUGGAACUCCAAUGAAGGUGUGUGUGGCUCUGGGGCUGUUAGUUUCAGAGCUCAGUGAAGAUCCAUGGAAAGGUAAUGUAAUUACUUUCAGUGCAAGUCCUGAGCUUCACAAGAUCCAAGGAGACAGCCUUGUAUCCAAGACUGAAUUUGUGAGGAUGAUGGAAUGGGGUGCGAACACUGAUUUUCAGAAAGUUUUUGACAGAAUCUUACAAGUAGCAGUGGAGGGAAAUCUGAGUGAAGAUCAAAUGAUAAAGAGGGUUUUCGUUUUCACUGAUAUGGAGUUUGAUGAAGCUUGUGGGAGGUAUAACUAUUGUGAAUAUGACUAUGAUAUGGAGGAAAUUGAUGAGAGUCAGAAGGCAUCUCAGAAGUGGGAGACAGAUUAUGAAGUGAUACAGCGGAAAUUCCAGGACAAAGGAUAUGGAAAAGUUCCGGAGAUAGUGUUUUGGAACCUUAGAAACUCAUCAGAGACUCCAGUGAUGGCCACAGAGAACGGGGUGGCCUUAGUAAGCGGGUUUUCGAAGAAUCUGUUAGACCUUGUUUUUGGAAGGAGGUGGAAUUCUGACCCCUCAGGAUGUGAUGGAAUUAGCCAUCUCUGGUGAAGAUUACAAGAAACUUGUUCUAUUUGAUUAAGAUAUCAAGAGAUUUAUCAAUAAUAAUAUGUUUUUUUUUUUCUAUGUGAAAUACAUGUAAUAUUAACUAUGGAGUUAUCAAAGUUCUGGAAAUUUAAUUAUUUCUUCUUUUCAAGUUUUGUUUGUCUUUGUUAGGAAUUCCCCUUGGGCGGACCCAGCUGGGGACUUGGAUUGAGGAAGUAAGGAGGCGAAAUUGUGUUCUUCUAUGGACAGAGAAAAAAGAUAAAAAUAAAAAAUAAAAAAGGAGGUUAUUUGCAUUUGGAUGUCAUGUGGUUUCAGGGUACAACUACAAGUUCGAAAUUGUACAUAAUGUGAAAAUUCCUGUGUGGAGAACAGCAUAAAUAUGUAUCUCAGUGUGUUUUGUUUGAGCUAAUUGGCAAAUUCGCUUUAAACAUGGUCACAUGGAUGCAUAUUUAUUUGUGAAAUGAUAGUAGUCGAUUACUUGGUCAGUAAGGUUUGUAUCUCUAACUCCAACAUCUUAUUGUAGUCUUUUAAAAUGUCAAAAGUUUAAUGCUAGCUUGAGAAAUUUUGGAAUGGAGACAUUCUAAACAAAGUUAAUAAUCCAUGAGACUUGGUAAAACCGAUCAGAUGAUGCUUACGUACAUGAAUGCCUUCUUUAAGCCGUAUCCUAUUUUCAUUGAAUGAGACGUGCCAUCUAGUUUUGUUCUUGUCUUGAUUGGAUCAUGAUCCCGGGAAUUGAUUACUGUUCUGAAUUUGCGAAUGUUCAAGGUAUUAGAGAAAGUUAAUAUUAUCGUUAAUUUACAUAUUAGUAUUUAUCUAGUUAUUAUAUAUUAGUUUGAAUUAUAAUAUAAUAUAGAAUUUGAAUCAAGUUUACUAUUAGUUUGAAUUACAAUAGGAAAUAAAGUUUGAAUUAUAGUAUAACUCAAAUAUAUUUGUAUAUAAAUAUCCAUCUUUAUCAAUGAGAAUAGUAAACCAUAUUUUUCUCUAUCUUCUUCUUUCUCUAUAUAUAUGGUAUCAAAGCCUCCAAAUCCUAAACCUAGUCUCAACUUAGAGCAAAUUUAGGGUGCAGGGUUUAGGCCCCGCCUCCCCCAACCCUUACCACAAAUGGUAGUGACCUUGUUAUGCCUAUGUAUUGUCAAUGCCUCAUUUUCUAUGGUCUUCAAUACAAUAUCUAGUUUCAAUGUCUCUUUCCUUACUAUCUCCAAUGCAAUAUAUUGAUUUCAAUAUCUCUUUACAACCAAGAGCUCCAAAUUUUCCUGGUUCAAAUCUACCAUAAUUUUUAUUCUCCUUUGCUUUUUACCAAUAUUAGUUCCCCUAAUUUAAUAUAUAUCUCUUUAUUACCUUCAACUCUACCUCUCUCUUUCUUUAAAAGCUUCCUCAAAGAUUUGAUUGCUUUCUUGCAUGUUUUGGGAAAACAAACAUGCUCAUAUUCUAUUACCUCUACUUGAGAUCUGCCUUAUACUCUACCUUCUUCUUUACCUCCUAUAUCAUCUACUACAUUAGCUUCAAAAACAUUAUUUAGUUUGAUGCUAAAUAAGGCUCCUAAUCCUACCCUUCCUUCAACUAACUUUCUUUUACAAGUCCCUCAAAGUUUUUUUUUUUUUUUUUUUGGAAAUUUGGCUUAGAAAGAUUUCAUUACUCUUACCUAAUCUUUCAACCAUCAAGUCGAAUCCACUUAUCUCUUGAAUCCAAGGAGACUACCCUCCACAAAAACAAGGAGAUUGACCCCCACAAUAACAAAGAGAUUGUCCUCCAUAGAAACAAAGAGAGCUUCCUUCAUGGAAGCCGAAUACAUCGCAAUCUAUUUUCUUUCUCUCAAGAUCAAAUCUCCAAUCGGAGCUCCAUCUUGUGGGGAUAUAUUAGAAAAAGUUAAUAUUAUCCUUAAUUUACAUAUUAGUAUUUAUCUAUAUUAUAUAUUGAAUUAGAAUAGAAUAUAGAAUUUGAAUUAAGUUUACUAUUAGUUUAAAUUACAAUAGGAAAUAGAGUUUGAAUUAUAGUAGAACUCAAAUAUAUUUAUAUAUAAAUAUCCAUCAUUAUCAAUGAGAAUAGUAUUCCAUAUUUUUCUCUUUCCCUGAGGCUUCAGAAUGUGAUCUUGAACAUUUGAUCUUUUGGAUUCUUCUUGUUUCGGUGGUUUAAUAUAAUGGAAUGUUUAAUUAUAGCCUACUUUAUCACCAUGGAUGUGCUCCUGCAGAUUUCUUGAGGGUGAUGGUUAUUUUGUCAUGUUUCUUGAAUGGUUUGCAUCAGCUGCCUGAGCUGUUGUUGCUGGUCACUUUUGCAACCAGGGAAAGAAUCAUGGCUUUGGAGAAGCCAGCUUCUGUUUUUGUUGCCCAGCUGUUAGUUCACUAAGAUUGGGGGUCCUAACAUGUAUGUAUAAUCAUAAGCAAGGAAAUUUUAUGUCUUACGCUAGAUAGGUACCAUGAUAUGAUGUUUGAUUGAUUUAUUAACUCUACCUGUUUCAAAAGGCAUCAACAUUAAUUUUACCCUUUUAACACAUUGGAUUGUUUGACCUUACGAGAUUUUCUAUUUCUGUACUAUUUGAACUGCAAUCGUUAUGGUCCUUAGGUCUCUAAACCUUCGUUUAAAAUAAAAGUAAGGAGCACACAUAGUAAAAGUUAAUUUUGGGUAACUUUUAAAACAAAGAGAAAAGUAAAAGUUGUUUUUGAGAAAAACAUAUAGAAAUUGAAAGAUUUUUUAUUUUGAGAAAAAAAAGUCAUAGAAAAGAAAUAAUAUCCCCAUAUAAGUAGAUAUGAUCUAUCCGAAGUGUAGCUACUCUCCUGGAUUUAUUCUAACAUUUUAAAAUUUUUCUCAAUGGGCAAAGGAAUAUCAAAUCAAGCUUGAGUAGGAUUAAUUUCUUAAUUUUUAAAAUAACUUAUAAUUAAAAUUUUUUGGUGUUUUCUUUUUUGGACAAUUUUUUAUGAAGACUCUGAAUCAUGCAAGAGAUAUGGUUAUUUUAAAAAAAAAAAUAAUUUAAAACUCAAAUACAUAAUCAAUGUCACAAAUUUAUAAACAAAAGGUUUUUAAAAAAUACUAUUAUUUCCCCUCUACACAUAAUUUUACUUUUCCGAUUUAUUUAUUUUUGUUGGAAAACAGUCUUCAAAUCAAGUAAAAUUAAUAUGUUAAAUUUGUUAAACAAAUAAAUUUUAAAAUACAAUUUGGAACUCAAAAAUCAAUUCAAGUAAUGCUAAAAUUCAAAAAAUCAAAUUUGGAAUAAAAUGACUUUGUAAAUUUUUUUACUAAACAAAUGAAUUUUAAAUCAAGUGAGAUUUAAUACAUUGGAUUUUUAUGAGAAUAGUAAUUUUAAAAAUUAAUUUGGAACUCAAAAAUAGACACAAUAAAUACCAAAAAUCAAUGAACCAAAAUUGGUUUGGAAUAACUCCAUAAUUUUUUAUUUAUUUAUAUAUUUAUUUUUUUGUGCACACGAAUUUCUUACUAAGCAUAUUGCUUCCAAAUUGAGAAAAAUUUACUAUUUAGAUUUUUUUAAUGAGUUUAAUGGUAUUUAAAAAUAAUUCAAAAAUUCGAAAAUUGACUAAUUUAAUAUUAUAAAUUCAUAAACCAAGACUAAUUCAAAAUGCAUUGGGGGCUAAGGGGGUUGAAAUUAAUGCUCCAUUUGGUUGUGGCCACCAAUUGGCAAUGGCCACCAAUCAACCAAUCAAGGUGGCUAAGGGGGUUGAAAAUAGGGACAAUGGGGUGGGUUUGGGACAGGACACUCAUAUCCCAUUCCCAUCCCAAUUACACAGUUAUUUCCCAUCCUUAUUCCAAACUUGUGUUGGGGCAAGUUGAUUUGUUCCCAUCUUUGUUAACGAAAUGACUAAUAACCUCAUCCUCUCCUUGUCUUAGAUGUACAUUUUCUCAAAUUUGGUCAGGUAUGAUUGAUUCAAGCCCUAACCUUAAUUGGUAAUGAGUGGAUACCACACCUAAUUGCAUUCUUCUUUCGUUGCAAAAUAAUGAGAUUAUAAUAAUCUAGCAAAUAAGAAAAAAUAGUAUGGAAGUUCAAAUUAACACCAUAACUAUCAAUAAUUUUAAGCUUAUAGAUGACUUAAAUGAUUGAAAACUAAUGCAAAAUACUAAAAAAAAAAAAAAUCAUCUAAAGAAUUCACAAGAGAAUAGAACGAACAAAACCAAAUAGGAACAUGGGUCAACAUUAGUUACAGAUUUUGAUCCCUUUCAAGGCCAAUCUUUGAACCAAGACUUCAUCAAAUCUACUACUUCAAAGGCUUUUGUGUUCUUCUUGAGUUGUACUCUGGAACAAAGACUUCGAGGUGAUGCUUUAGAUGAUUGCAUUACACAUAUUUAGGGUAGGGAGAUUGGAGAAGCUUGAAGAUGCCAACGAUGGGUACAAUUGAGUGGUCAAUAAGAACAAUGUGGCCUAUGACUAGUUUGAUGUCAUGGUAUAGGAGUUUUGGGCAUUGAGGUGAAAGCAAGAGCAACAUGGAAUUGAUUUCAAAGUCUUUCAAUUAGUGUAAAGGAGGAAGAAGAAGUGGUAUUGAUCCUAGAAAUAGUGUUUUAGGUGUUGCAUUAGAGGAAAAGAAAAAGAAAAAGAAGGAACCAUUGGAAUUAGUACGAGUGUGAAGAGAGAAGUGUAUACAUAAGGGGAAGUAAAAGCAAAGUUCUAAAAAUUUAUUUUUUUAUUGGUGGUGUAUGGUUGCAUGAUUAUCCCUAUAAAUAAUAGGAGUUUUUUGGUGUUCUACUAGUAGUUGAAGGAUAAUUUCAUAAGAUAAUAUUUAGAGCGGGGUGGGGUGAGUUGUGACAAAAUCCAUACCCGUCCCAAACAUUGGUUCAGGUUUUUAAAAUAUUUUCAAACUUAUCAUAUACCCAAUUUUAUAUUUCAUACUUGUCCUAAUAGAGACAGGUUAGUCAGGGUUACUUGAGUAGCCUACAAAACUAUCAUCCCUAGUUGAAAUGCUCUUUUUGGCAGUGGCAGCUAGAAGCUCGAUCGAUUGACCUACAAGACUAGUUGUCAUCAUUUUAAAAAGAGUUUUGGCUUUGGUUGUGAGUGCAAUUGAAUCUAAACUAACAUUUCCUUAAUGCAUCUACUUCAAUCCUAAACUUCUUACUUAAGCCUCAAUUGUUGUUAAGAUUUUGGAAAACCCAUUUCCUUAAAUUGUAAAUUUAAGAAAAAAAAAAUUAAAAGUGAGACAUUUCUUGAUUGAAUGUUGUUAAAGGUCCCUUGGAAUUAAGACUUGGUUGAAGCCUUGGAAGAUUAGCAGAACUCUCAACUUAUGUUUGAACCUUGAGGAGAGUGGACGUAGGCCAAAAUUUUGUCAAACCAUUAUACAAAUUGAGUUUGAAUUCUCAUUUCUUGAUUUCUUAUUUAUUUGCUUUUUCUUAUUAUUACUUGAAUUGUCAUUUGCAUUCAUUAAUGUUAAAAUUGGUUAUAAUUAGCCAACACUAAUUCUCUUUCCCCUUCCCUUAAUUUCUUGGGUGUAAACCUAGGUUGGAUUAACUAGAUUUUAUCAAAUCUAUUAAGAUGGUAAAAGAAUAAUUAUUCUUAACAUACAUAAGAUCAUCUUCAAUCAAAUGACUCAUUGGCUGAUAUGUUGAAUUUGCUUAUUACUUGCAACUCAAAAUUGUGUUCUAGUUGAUAUGUCAAGUCCUGAGUGUAUGGACAUUAAAUUUGUAGUACGUGAUGAGUAUUUAGAUGGUCCAAUUCCAAGAAAGUGAUUGAAAACUAGUUCAAGAAAGGUGCAAAAGGGAAUUGUUUUGGUAUUUUCGUUUUUAUUCUUGAAGGUGGCAGAGCUAAAAUUUGAGAAAUCAAGCAAAACAUACUGAAAUUACAUUGAAAGAAAGAAAAUGGGAGUUAAUGUCUUGCAGUACAUGAUAAGGACUUCAUGCAUGUAGUGUGACCCAUGUCUUGGACUGAUGCCACACUCACGGUUACACUUAUACCCUUAGUUCUCUCUUUACUACCUUAGCUAACCUAGAUCAGGUUAUGAGAUAGGCACCUCACCACACCAUUACUUGCCCAUUAAUUAGUGACAUUUUCAAGCAAUGAGGUAACAUGGUGACACCAAGAGGGUAUAUUCCUCACCCCCAACAAGCCUAGACCUGGUCUAAAAAAAAUGGAGAAAAAUGACGUGUUGUUAUGCAGAAAUAUAGCAACCAUGCCUUCCUCAUUACUUAGAUUCAGAAUGUGAAGGUGAAAUUGAGAAACAGAAACUCUUGAAACCAAAAUGAAAAUUGAUACUUUUACGAAGAAUUACAACAACAUUAGAGGAAGACUACAUUCUUCCUCUUUAUUCCUACAUUUCUACACUACUUCUACUCCACUCCAUAUUUCUACAUACAUCUUUAAUCAGUCUUCCCUCCUUUAUAUAGAGCCAUCUUCACACAAAUUCCGCAAGGUAGAAAAGAGGAAUGAAACUUGGAGCAAGGUUCGACUACUGGCUGUAGCUUGUCAAGGCUGAAAGUGAACUUUUUUUCUUGGCUUUUCUGGGCAUAGGUAGUAACUUGUAGGUUCCUUUUUGGAAUGAAAAUGGUACGGCUAGAACAUGUGGCACUCUCUUGUUGGAUGAUGUGUCAAGCAUGUGGCAGCCAUCUAGUGGAGAUUAUGUCAAUUUUGGGAUGGAGAGUUGGCAUCCAAUUGCAAAGAAAUAUGACAUCUACCAACAUGCAAUGUCAACCUAUGUAGAUCAUAUGAAGAUAGAGAGGAAAAAUAUAGAAAUGGAUAUAUAACUAGAACUAGCUUUUUAUUAAAUGAGACGGAGAGCCAACAAUGAAGGAAAAUCAAAAUUUUUGGCUCAUAUCAAAGAAUUCACAUUGUGUUACCCUAGGUUUUCUUAAAACUUACUUUUAUGAUAAUAAAAAAUCAUUAUUGUUUAAUCCUUUGUUUUAAACGCAUGUUUAGCAGGUUGUAAAAUGUAAAUAUCUUUCGAAAUUCAAAUAUGAAGAUAUGACAUCAUUUCAAGCAAUAUAGUCUCUAGGAAUUAAUGUAAAGCUAAAUUAAGGUGCAAUUAAGUUAGUUCAAUGCAUUAUUUUAAGAAACUUGACCUAUCAAAACCUUGUCUUACUUCAAAGCCUCUUUUUCUUUUCUUCCAACUAACAUUUUAAUAAGUGAUCGCAAAAGUACAAAAUUAGAUGAAAUCCAUUUCAAUGGUUAAAAUGAUCAAAUUCAAACUUUUUCUAAGUAUCUUUUAAAAGCAUCAAUAUUGAAAGACAAUUUUAUAUUUAGUCAAAGCUUGGACAGAGCCAAAAAGCACACAAAAAUUUAUAUUUUCUAGCUCUCUACCUUGGAUGGUCUCUUGAUCCUACUUGGAGAUGUGCAUAAAUAAAAGGAUUUGAAAAUGACAAUUGACUAAGUAUGUAGUCAAUCAAUUACUCAUUGAUUGACUAGUUGAUCAAUUAACUUUGCAACAUCAUAUGCAAUCCUAAUAGCUAGUCAUCUAAUCAACUAGGUAGUAAAUCAAUAGGCCAAAAAUAUGUUUAUAAUGACUAUUUUGUACAAAAACCACUUAUAUAGUUAAAUAUAAUGCAUUUCAUUUAUAAAUCUUCUAAUUCUUGAAUAACAAUCCUAUCAUCCUUUGAAAGUUUUUAUUACACCUUUUCUACAUUUGUUCUAAAACUUAUACAUCACCCUUAAUUGUACCAUGAGAACCUAGCAUUUUUUUUUUUUUUUUUGUAUUUCAUCAAAGUUAGCUCUUGUACUCAUUGUUGUAUUAUUUUUAUUGUAACUUAGAGAGCGAGUGUUUUCAAGUGAGUGAAAUUGACUUGUAAAUAUUGUAAAGAUUCAUUGAUAUGUAUCUCAAACUAGGUGUACAAGUUGAAACAUUUGCUAGUAGAUUUUCUCAAGAUUUAGAAUGAGCUUAAGGCUAUCGAAUUAGGUGGGGUUGCGCCAAACCAUAUCACAUCGUUGUUUGCACCUUUUUUUUCACUCUCUUUUACUUAGUUGCUCUAUAUAUAUUGUCUAGCAAUAUCCUAAAGGCUUGAUGGGCUAGGGAGCAUCCCUCUGAAUGAAAAAUUUUCAUUCAAUUCUUAGUUGUAUUACGCAUAUAUAAAAUGCCUCAUUGUUUUAAUGGUAUUCAGUCGUGGCACCACAGAUAUGGACAUCUAAAUUUUAAAAGUUUGAAACUUUUAGCUAAAGAAAAUAUGGUGCUUUGCCUUUUUGGAAAGCAUGUUGAUGAAAUCCAUGAGAAUUGUAUACUUGGAGAGCAACAUCGAGAUAACUUUUUUUUUUUCUUUUUUUAUAAUGCAUUGUUUGUCCAAAUUCCGUACAAAUUAGGCCACCACAUGUUCAUAAUUCUCCCUUCUUGAAUUUGAAAACUCGGACAAUUUGACAAUGCGACACCUAAGUCCGGUUUUUAAAUGCUAAAGUGAAAGGGCAGGUAUGGACCAUUGAAAUGUGAUAACAACUUUUGGCCUUUUCCUUUUCUCUGUAGCCAUGUUGUCUCUUUUUAAUUUCUUUUGCAUGAUUUUCUUACCUAAACAGAAUCAUAGACUUGUUUAAUCUCUAAGUGGGAUUUCAUCCACCUUAAGCUACUGUAUUAUAUCUCGGUGGAGGACAACCGACAUAGAGCACAUGCAAGUGGGUAUAUGGGACAUGAAAUAUCUUCUUAUAAAGCUUGUUUUGCAGUUAAAUUAAUUGGAUAAGUAGACACUGGCGUUUCUAAAUUUCCCACCUAAGAUAAUGACCUUAUCCUUGACUGCUAGAUACACAAACAAUUAUACCUUCAAAAUCUACUGUGAAGUGCUUCAUGUAUGUGUGAAGUAUUAGAAAUUUCUUUCUUGGCAACUUGUUUUUUUCUUUGCGGUCUACUGAUAGGUUUGACUAAAAUUAUAUUCCCUGUCCUGCUAAUUAAUUUUCACGUGCAUGCUCAAAAGAAGAGUAUGACCUUAGUGCACCAAAAUCACUUUCAAUAAUUUGUGAUAAGUUUUUUUGCAUGACAUUAACCUUAUUCAUUUAGAUAAUGUUUAGUUCUCAUAAAUAUUAAGAAAAUGAAAAUAAAUAUUAAGAAAAAUAUUCUUAUAUUUGAUUGUAUUAUGAAAAAUAUCAUAAAAAAUCAAAUAUAAUUAAAAUUAAUUAAUAAUUUAUAUAUUUUAAAAUUAUUUAAUUUUUAUAUUAAAGAUAUAAUAUAAAUGAAAUGAGUUUUAAGUAUUAUAUAAAAAUGAUUUAUUUAUUUAUUUAUAUAUAUAUAUAUAUAUAUAUUUAGUUUUUCUCUUUAUUUUAUUUUCCUUAUGUUUUCCUCACAUUUUCCGGAAUCAAAGAUAGGGAAAUCCACAAUUACCUUCAACUGAGUAGAUUCUAUUGUUUUAGCAAUGUUAGGCUGCUAACUUGUGGUGGUACGAACCAAAUGAUCCAUGUUAAUCUUGGCUUGAUUUAAUUUGGCUCUAUCUCAGAGAACUCAAGGAUCACGUCAACUCUGGUUUCUACUAUUCAGGUCCAUUCCCAGAUGAACUGGUUCAAAUUUGAGAAAAUGGUAACAGACCUUUAGUGAUAUUGGUUUGGAGCCAGUUGCCAAACCUGCCCUGAGCUUUACCACUAAUGUCAAGGGACAAAGCCAUUUGAACAAAAACAAUAGCUUCAAGAGACUGAAUCGUGGAUGAAAUCUGAUCCACAUUUCUUCUCAUUUUGGGAAAAAAUGAGGACUUAACCACAAAGAUUCUACUGCCUCAUAGUGCUUUUCCUGAUCUAAGGUUGGCUCGUUUCCCAAAUUGUGAGGUGCACGUGCCACUCUCACGCUCAGGAGUGUAUCCACGUGGUGGACAUAAGAUGGUGGCUUAAUAUCUGGUGUCGGUGGCUUUACUUUACUAGGAGAGUAGUGUGUCUUCAUCUCAUUCACUGCCAGAGGGUGGCGUAAGCAGUGACGCUAAGGUGGGGCACAGUCAAUAUCAUUUGCAUUUGACCAUUAUAAUUUUCUCCCGGCUUUAAAGUAACCUUAUCGUGAUAAUGGAUUACUAGCACUAGUUCAGAUGACAGUCAUGUUAAAUUCGGACCAUGUUUGUGUCACAUUAUCAGCAACCAUGUGCUUGUGGUUCAUGCUAUCUGCAACUAAACUUGAUAUAUAACCAGGUGAACUUCAAUCUAAAUUCUGGAAGUACUCAUGUGAUAGAUGGUGCCUGUCUGCAGUGAGUGUAUCUAUAAGAGGGAAGGCUUGGCAAAUGUUCAGUUUUCUGGGAAUUCAACAGGGAUCUAAAAUAGAUUGUUUUCUUUGCUGAUUUCAAUGGUUGAAAUUUGAGAAGAUUGUGUCCACAUAACACAACUAUUACUGGUCCUUCUGUUGCAAUUUAUCCUCUAAGGCUCUAACAUGUCUUCCAAUUCCCACUUCCCACUUCCCUGUUACUCCAGGAAAGCUGUUUCUGUCAUUGUGAAGAAGAAAAGAGACUGUACAUAUCGAUGCUUUUAAGUGGACUGGAGAAUUCAUAUCAGGUGGUCUGCAGCCAUACAUGCCACUUUGUGAAGGUUGGAACAGUCAAUCACUAGGCUAUAUUAGUGGGGCCCAGCCACUUCAAUCAAGGACAAGUCUUCAUACUUAAAGUCAAAUUCUGCCUUUAGUCUCAUUAUAAAUUGCUGUUUAAAUAUCAAGCAAACAUUUGUUUAAUGCGAUUAAGACAGCACUAACUCAAUACUUGUUCUAUUUUUGGAUGCAAAUGCUUGAUAGUUUCAUCAUUGGAGGGGAUAAAGGUGCAUUCAUGAUUAUGAAUACUUGUAGUUAUAUUUUCAUUCUCUUUUUUCUCAAUGGGACUUGUUGGCACAAUUUUGCUGUUCAGAAACCUACCUCUCCAUGGAAAAUCAGUUGUGAUUGAUAUUACUGGAUAUAUUCAAGAAAGCUAAAUGUAGAUAGCACAAAAUAUUAUCGACAUAAAUAGCAUUAACAGCGUACGUAUGUCUCAAUGCUCAUCAGCUAUAAGCAAGGGGCAAACACUUACUAUGAGCAACUUACGUCAAAAUUCCGGAAUAGGACAUAGAAGUGACAGGUCAGUAAAUAUAGAACACUGCAUAUGAGUCACAAGAAAGGAAAUUACGGGUACAUAGCAGCUCUUAUUUUACAUCCUACUCAUACUGAUCAAAGUCACUCAGUUGGGAUGGGUGGGAGUGGGAGGUUUGUGGGGUGGCUUGUGCGGAGGAGUUGGCAGCUUCUUUCCAGGACCUGGUUGCUUCUCUGCUGGAGUUGAAGGAGGCUUAAUCUUCCGAGGUGGCUUGUAUGAGUCUUCAGCAUUCUCAGCAGGAGGGUGACCAGGGUUGUGACCACAAUGUGGUGGCUUCUCUCCCUUAGGUGGUUUGCCAACUGGGGUUGGUGGCUUGUGUUCCGGAAGUGGCUUCUCUUUGUGUUCAGGAGGUGGCUUCUCCACUGGAGGCUUGUGUUCAGGAGGUGGCUUCUCCACCGGAGGCUUGUGUUCAGGAGGUGGCUUCUCCACCGGAGGCUUGUGUUCAGGAGGUGGCUUCUCCACCGGAGGCUUAUGCUCUGGUGGUGGCUUCUCCACCGGAGGCUUAUGCUCUGGUGGUGGCUUCUCCACCGGAGGCUUAUGCAAUGGUGGUGGCUUCUCCACCGGAGGCUUGUGUUCAGGAGGUGGCUUCUCUACCGGAGGCUUAUGCUCUGGUGGUGGCUUCUCCACCGGAGGCUUAUGCUCUGGUGGUGGCUUCUCCACCGGAGGCUUGUGUUCAGGAGGUGGCUUCUCCACCGGAGGCUUGUGUUCAGGAGGUGGCUUCUCCACCGGAGGCUUGUGCUCUGGUGGUGGCUUCUCCACCGGAGGCUUAUGCUCUGGUGGUGGCUUCUCCACCGGAGGCUUGUGUUCAGGAGGUGGCUUCUCCACCGGAGGCUUAUGCUCUGGUGGUGGCUUCUCCACCGGAGGCUUGUGUUCAGGAGGUGGCUUCUCCACCGGAGGCUUAUGCUCUGGUGGUGGCUUCUCCACAGGAGGCUUGUGUUCAGGAGGUGGCUUCUCCACCGGAGGCUUAUGCUCUGGUGGUGGCUUCUCGAAUGGGGGAUGCGUAGGGUAAUCAGCUAGUGAGGGGGCGGUGAGAACCACCAGGCCAAGCAACACUACUAGCAAGUAUGUAGGAGACAUCUUUGGGUUUGGGCUCAGAUGGUGCAAAACUAGGAGAAUUGGCUAGCCUUUUAUAGCGGAUCGUACCCAAUAAUGAAAUGACACGUGUCAUUAUGACCCAUGUGUCAUGUGGUCGAUUUGGGUCCUACAGUGUUGAAAACUUCGACAUCCACUUUUUUGGCCUUUUGCUUUCUCUACAGUCGCCUUGCUUUUUCCCUCUUUUCUUUUGUUUUCCUCCUGCCCCAUUCUAUCAACUAAUCACAAUUAUGUAGUUGUUUAAUUCUUAAAUGAGAUAUUAUCCGUCAAUCAUAUUAUCUUUUAUCAAGAGAGAACGGAGUGAAAAGUGGCAAUCCAAAGAAAGAAGAUCCAUAAUGCAGCUGUAAUUUUAUCGUUUACUUUUAUCUCUAGGACCACUGCAUUUUUGUUGAGAGGUGCAAUAAUACACGUCUUUAUCUGCCAUUCAAUGUUUACAGUAAAGAGAGGGCACAAAACUCUUCACUGCUCUGCAUGUGCCCCAAAAAUGCAAUUGGACAAAUUAUGAUUUGCAUGCUAAAAAGAGGCAAAUGAGGUUAAUUAGCACCAAAAUUAUUUUGUUUUCUGGACACCCCGGGGCCCUUUGGUUGGUUUGGGGGUCAGAAAAUGAACAUCAUAGGGGGUUUUUCCCUAAUGUGCAUUUGCAUUUGUAUCUGAUGGCUUUAACUCGCCUUGUUACUACAAAGAAAUUGUCACAGAUAGGAACUUAUUCCAGGCUGAGUAUCUCCGCAUGGACCCUAUAAAAGAAGACAAGUCAUAAUGAACAUCUAACCUUUGUUCAAUUUGAUUCAAUGCCCCUAUUGUGUCCAUCUCACAAAUCUGAAUUAUUAUAUCCAUUGAAUACAUAAAUUAAUGAAGAAAAUAUGAAACCCAAGAUACAUCUCUGCACAACCUCAACCCUGGUUGCUAUGUUUCACUUCUAUUCACAUGAGGAUAUUGAUUACGGAAUAAGGAAACCUAGCAAGGGUUUACUCGGCUCUGGUUUGAUGCUAAUUGCCAAACUUGCAACAAGCCCUGAGUUUGACACCUAAUCGAUGGGCGAAUUAAAAGUCUCCUCCAAACAUAUAUUCCACAGCUUGAAGCUCACAGAAGAUGCUAUACAGGCAGGGAAAAACCUUCAGAGUUAGCUACCAAAGAUAAUUAUCAAGGAGAUAUCACCAAGAGAAUUCCAUGGAGUCUGAAUCAAAGACAAAUUGCUCGCUCGUGGGGGUUCUUACUUAAUUUCUUUUGGGUAUAACUCACUGAGGGCACUGGCUUUGUUAUUUGCAUUUCGCAUUUAGAGUUCUGUUCUGGAAGGUUUGUUCUGGAAACAUAUAAAAGGAGCAUCAUUUUGUUCUAGGGUAACCCAUAGUUGUGAGUGGGUCCAUUUGCAUGCUACUUAGUUGAAAAGUUGGACAAUUUGCUCCGACGCCUACCUCCUGGAUUCCAUGCUCGGAUAAAGCAAGAAUAAUAAAAUAUUUAUAAUUUACAAAUGGGGGAAAGAAAAAAAUGUCAACAACAAACUAGGAAAAAAGAGUAGUAAAAUUUAUGCCACAUGCUAUUGAUAGAAGGGGCAUGUAUUAGAUCCAUCACCAUUUGGUAAGAUUUUAGUAUUAUAUUUUUCAAGGUUCAUUAUUUGAGGGUGUGUUCUUCAUCUCUGUUGCAUUGCUUCUUACUAGGCCCACUGAGGUGGGUUCUUCACCUUUUGUAUAUUCUCUGCACUAGAUCAAUGAGAAAGGGGGAAUUUUGGUGAAUUUGCAGCCGUUGGAUGAUUGAUUCUAGGCUCAGUCCACCAAUGAUGCUCUCUUCACUCUUUCUCAUCUAGUGUCAUUCACAACUAUGUUUUGAUUCAUAUUUGUACUAUCAAAGAUAUCUCAUUAUUCUAGCUCAUUAGGUAGAGUUCCUAAUCUUCCUCCUUUUUGGUCUAUGGACAGUAUUGGCUUCAUAUUAAGAUCAUGUUUCAAUAAUUGCACAUUAAUGAAUGGAUCAUGACCCACAUAAACAGAGUCAGGGUUGAGUCAGUGAACCCUAAAAUUUCACAAUUCUAAAUUUGGGUUCUUUAACAAUGCAGGGUCAAGGACGCGUGGUGAUGAAGGAAAGCUGGUAAGCUCAGUGUUACUUCAAUUCCUGCCAUGUAGGAUGGUGAGGAGAUAUUCACUAUGCAAUUAAUAAUAGACAAUAUUCACUAUGCAAUAAUAAAGCAUAAAUUAAGUUGAAUGAAAAGCAUUUUCUUUGCAAGGAGUUGAUUUUGGUUUCAUAGUUUGUUCAACUGCUAUUUUGGAUAGGAAAGUGUGAGGAGAAGAAAAUAAAAAAUAAAAAUAAAACAAAAAAUAAAAAAUAGAUUUUAUAAAUUCAUUUAAUUUAUUUUUUUUUUAUAAAAAUUAACUAAUUUAAAAUAUAUGUAAAUUUCUAAUUAAUUUAAUUACAUUUUUUUUUUCAGUUUUUCAUAAUAAACCAAAUAUUAGAAAAUUAUUUUUAUUAAGACACCCAAGAUGAGGUAAUAUGCAAUGAAAACAUGAAUUAUAUUAAAAUUCAAAACAAAUUAAGAGAAAUCGGAAAAUAUACAUAGAUAUCUAAACAAAGAAAUUUAAAGAGAAGGAACCACAAACUUUAUUUACAUAAUUUGAAAAUAAAAAACAUAAAACAUACUUAUAGUAAGGAGAAAUUGAAUAUCUUACAAUGGAAGAAGGGAGAAAAGCUUUGAAGAAAGCUUUUGCUUGGAAGCUUACAUGGUGAGAGGUAGAGAAAGGAGAGAGAGAGAAGAAAAUGAAAAAUGAGAAGUGGAGAAAAUUGGAAGUUUUGUGUGCUUACAACUGAGGAUAGAGCCUCCUUAAAUAGCAAAAAAUGGAAUAUUAAAUAGUACCAAUCAGGAGACAAAAUAUUGUUUGCUUUUGAAACCCGUGCAUGAAUAGUAAUCCCGUGAGUGAAUAGUGAAUAAUAAAAGUGAAUAGUAAAAGUCACUUUCUACUAUAGCACUUUAGACUUUUUCAUCGAGAAUCUUACUUUCGGCUGAGUGAUGAUAGCUGAUAGGUUGCUUUGGAUUGUGGAGUCAUAUGUUUGAUGUUUUCGGUGCUGAAACCGCUUAGUUGGAGAAUAAUCUCGUCAGUAGAGCAUCAUGAGAAGCUUGAAUGGAGAGAGCUUAAUGAUGCCAUAUGAUUGGAAGGAAUCCUAUUUUAAUUUCCUUAUUGGAGGGAGAAUACCCUCACAAUCAUCUUCAUUAUCUUGAAGGUAGUUUGAUAUAGAGUCAUCUGACUCAGCAUAAGAGUCCUCUUGGGAGAAGCUUGAACUGCUUUUGUCAAGGAUUUUCUGAAAUUCUUGAGGGGUUUUUGCUAUUGCUAACAUGGUUUGGAGUUGCUGUUUCUUAAGAAGAAACUGUGCAAUAUCAUAAGAUGAUGAAGCUUGUGUAGGAUGCUUUAGGAAAUAUUGCUUUAUUGCUUGUAGUGAGGUAUCAUUUUUCAAGGCAUCCCACCACUUAGACUUGAAAGUCCUUCCAAGGGUUGGAAAGGCUGCUGAUUCAUCUGCUAUAAUGAUAUAAUCCCACUGGACUAUCCAGGCAAGGCCAAAUUCACUAAAAAAGAAUAAUAAUUGGGGAAAACUGAAAGUUCUCUAGGGAUAACAAAAGAACUUUGGAAUAGCUCAAAGCCAUCCAAAAUGGGUUUUGGGAGAAUUUUAAUAGUUGGACCAAAAUAUGUCCACCAAUUGUGGAACCAAAAUGGAAAAGAGGGGAGUUGAUGCUUAGAUGGGAAAUAGAACAUCCCUGAAUGAUGGAAGUCCUUGUUCUGGAUCAGAAAAGCAUUGAACCAUACUCUUUGGUAGUCUCAAUAAUUGAAAAUUUUAGGUUUUGAAGGCUUAGAAAAUUCUCUUGAAAAAUUAGGAUUCCCACCCCACUGCUUAACUGUAAGGAUUUUAUAAAUAUGGUAAGUGGAGAAUGCCAAAUCCAAAUUGCUGAAUUUAUCAGCAUUGUGCUUGAUUUUAACAGAGCCGGUUUCCAUAAGGAUUGCUUCAUAAAAUUCUCUUGUUUUUAAAAGAUCACCAAAGGGAUAAUGAAAAUUUUCAUGAAAAGCUUUUGCUGCAAUAUCUCUAGGGUUUUUAGAGAAAAACUCUUUUUCAAUAACCAAAAGAGGUUGAUUUAAAUCUUUUUGCCAAUAUCUUGCUUUUGCUGAAAGAGGUGUGGGGUUGGCUACCACCACAAUUUGCUUAUUUGAAAAAGAAGAGCUUGAUGCUAAUUCAUUUUGAGAGGGAUUAGCUUUAGUAACCUGCUUAAAGGUCUGAGACACAGUAAUAGUUGGAUACUGAGUAGCCUUGACUGGUUUAGAAGGAUUCGAAGGAUCAUAGUACAAGGACAAAAUCUUAUUAGGCAUAUGGUCAGAAGAAUGAAGCCUUGCUUCUUCUUCUAGCUCAACUUGUUGGCUCCAAAGUAUUUUAUGGGGAGAAGGUUCUUUGCUGGUUUUAGAAGACUAGGAUUCUGGAAGUUUAGGAGCUUGGGUAUUCUUUUUAGGGGCCAUGGUUUCGUGAAUCCUGUAAAAUUCACAAGUUAAGAAAUCAGGGCUCGAAGAAUGUUCUCCUUUAAUAUACUCAAUUUGUAAAUUAAAAUUGCUUAAAAUAGCUUGAUAUAUAGCAAAAAUAUGCUUAGAAGUUAUAUUCUUAACAUCCUUUUGUAAAACUAAUUUUGCAAAUUUACAAUCAACUCUUAAUAAAAACUUUUGAUUCAAAAGAUCAUCUUGAAAUUUUGAAAUGCAUAAAACAACGCUUAAAGUCUCUUUUUUAAUGAUGUUAUGAAUGAGUUGGGUAGUAUUCCAGGUUCUUGAAGUAUACCUAACUAACAUCUCAAGGUUACCAACACUUUGCUUAAGAAUCCCACCAUAACCUAUGUCUGAGGUAUCGAUCCCAACAAACUCAAAGGUUUCUGGAUUGAUAGAGCCUAAACAUGGUAGGGUCUUGACUUUGGACUUAACAUCAAUAAUGAAAACAAUGGUGAAAACAGAAAACUGGUUAAAGUUUUCAUCCAUUAUAUUCUGGAAUUCUGAGGUGCAUUCUUAAGAUCAAAGGGCAUUAUGAACCAUUCAUAAUGUCCAAGAGAUACCACAAAGGUGGUCUUAUUUGGAAUAGGACACCUAAUCCAACUUAAUGUAUCAUUAAGAGGCAUGUAGUUGACGACUAGUCUAGGUGUUCCUUUUUCUGAUUCAACUUGUUCCUGAACAUAGAAGGUUGAACAACUCCAAAGGGACUUAGACUUCCUUAUCAACUUUUUAUCAAGAAGAUCCCAAAUCUCCUUAUCACAAUAGCUUAACAAACCCUUGUUCAUCUGGAUAGGUCUUGAUUUAGUGGGAAUAUUCUUGUCACUAAAGUCUAGUUCAUAAGGUAAUUCUACCUCAUGUUGUUUCCUAUGCCAAAAUGCAUUAGGAAUGUUAGAGCAAACUUCUUCAACAAUCAGAUUAAUUUCUUGCUCAUGACUUUCCUUAGCUUGAAUCACCUGAUCCCUUAAGGUGUUUAUAUUUUUCUUAUUAGGUGGUUGGCAAAUUCAAAAAUAAUUUCCUUAUCUAAGAGCUUUGUUCUUAUACUUUGGUCAUCUACCCACAUGGGAUAGAUGGAGCUUAAAAAGGGGAUUCCAAGGAGAGCUUUCUCCUUAAGAUCCUUAACUAGAAUGAAGGUUUGCUUGAUGCAAAUGCCUUGGUUAUUUAUGUGAGCAUCUGACAGCUUAUACUCAAUGUCAAGCCUUUUACCAUUAGCUCCAAAGAGAGAUUCUUUGGUUUUCUUACAAAACUUAAUAGGACCUAGACCUUCUUGUAGGCAAUUCAAAGCUGUUCCUGAAUCAAUCAAAGCAACAAUAUCAAUGACAAAUUUACUCUUAAUUACUAUAGUAAGGGAGACUUUCCACCUCUGGAAAAUAACCCUACUAACAGUAUUUAAGUAUCCAUCCGUCUUUUCAUCAUUAGCAUGUGAAGAUUCUAGAACCUCUUCAAGGUUUUCCUAGUUAUCAACAAGAUUUUCUAUAACAAUCCUAUUUAUUUGUUCUUGGAGAUCUGAAAAACCUAAGCUUGUGUAUUGUCUUAAAUCUUUAAUUUCCUUCUUAUACUGUCUUACUUCUUCUUGAAGAUCCUUAAUGGUUACGUCUUUGGUAGACUACUGGUUAAAUCUUCCUAAGAUUUCAUUUAAGUUAUAAGAAUUUACUGUCUUCUUAAUCUCUUGCUUAUCGACAAAUUUCUUAAAAACUUCAUAAAGAUCUUGUUUAGUUUUUUCAUCUUCAACUUUCCUUAAAACAUCUAGGACAAGUUCUUGAUCUUGGCUUAUGACAUUUAUAGUCUUAGGUUGGCAAUCACAAUUAUCCUUAAUGUAUUCUUCUUGGUCACUAGAAGUUUGGCUUGAGAUUUCCUCACCACUACUAUCUAGUUGGUUAAUACCAUUUUCAUUAUCUGAAUCAAUCCUUGAUUCAGACUCUGUGGAAUUUAACAUUACUUUACAAAGCAUAUCUUUUAAGUCUUCUGUGACAUUUAAGUUAUUAAUUUUCUGCUUAACCCUACAAUCUUUCUUAUAGUGGCCUAUCUUACCACACUUAAAACAAACUGGCUUAGAUUGUGAAGGAGCUUCUAGCUUUUUAUGGGCUUCUUUGUUCAUCAUUCUUUGGAUGUGCCUUUGUUUCUUAGUUUCAUUCAUCCUAUAGUUGCCAUGAGUUCCUCUCUUGUUGUGAUAGGACUUUUCCUUACUAGGCUUUGUACUUACUUGUUUCUUACGUUGCUUAGAGGGGGGCUUAGUUUCUUUUUGGUUGAAUCCAAACUAGCUACAAAAUGAACCAAACUCAUUCUUGUAGAUCCUUUGUUCAUUUUUCAUCUGUUGCUUAAGCUUAAAGUCAUUGCACAGUUUAAUUGCUUCUGAUGUGACAAUGCUUAUAAUUUCUCCAUAAGAAAGCUUAUCAUAAGGGAUUUGUCCAUUAAACUGUUCCCUUAUCUUAAUCCUAAUCCUCUCAGAGAAAAGUCUAGGUAGUCCUAAGAUGAAUUUUUCUUUCCAAAAAGACUGGUUAUAGUUUGAUCUUAGUAUGACUUUGGUUAGGAAAACUUCUCUAUACCAUCUAAAGUCAUGAAGCUUGGGACACUUAAGGUUGGUUAAGAGAUCUACAAUCUUAUCCUUAAUCUUUGCAGGAUCUCCAAUGAAGUGCUUUGAAAUUGAAUAGAUUAGAGUAGCCACUACAUCCUCUAUAUCUUGUCCAUCUUCAUCCUUAACCACUUCAUUUUCCUCAUUAAUCCUAUAGGCUUUUAGGAUACCAUUUCUAUCCUCAAAGGUGAGAUAAUUAUCCCACCAACCCUAAAGUUGACCUGUAAACCCAACAACAAUUGUUUGAGCUACAGCAUGGCCUGACAAUCUAUUGUUUAACUUAUAGGUUGUACUAACCAUGGUCAUUUCUUGAAGCUUAGUGAGUAUGUUGUACUCAAUCAUACCAUCUAUGUUCCAUUCAUAGAUAGUGUCACUAGUGUAGGAAGCUUGAGUAUGCUGGUUUCUUUCCUCAUACUACAUAUCAGGAAAAGUUGGUCUAGGGUAGUAAUUCCUAGUUCUUGGUUGUUGAUAAUCCUCAUAACUGUUUGGUUAGGAGGUUCCUUAAAAAUCUUAAUUAGUUCAUCAGCCUCUGCUUCAGAACUAAUUUCUCCUUUAACCAUAUUGAUUCUCUUGUGAGAUGGUUGAGGUGUCUCAGAGACAACAAGGCUAUCCUUAACCUUUUGGCUUAUCCUAUCAAUGAGGGCUUGAUCAAUAUGGAGAUUCUCUAGGAAUUUCUUAGAGAAUUCAAAAGGCUUAAAUAAAGACUUAUUAUCUUUCUUAACAAACGUAGUCUUAAUGUAGUCUUGUGUUUCAAUGAUAUCCUCAAACUUGUUGAGUUGAUCGCCUGUAGUCUUAAGAAACAUGUUAGUGUAGUUGUUUUGUUCCAUGAUUCUUCUAACGUCAACAACACUAUCAAUUCCUUUAUUCUUUGGCCUAGUCUUAAAAGGUGAAGCUUUGACUAUGGUUCAAUUAAUGUUCUUUUAUAUCUUAGCUUCUAGAGGGUGGAUGGAUUCUAUGAUAGUAUCGUCACUAGUUUUCCAUAUCUUAGUUUUUUUGGAUGUGUCAUUGACACGCUUACUAGGGUAAUCUAGAUAUUCCUCUUGUUUGAAGAGUUCAAACCAGAUCCAAUACUUAAUGUUCUUCUUUUCUUGUCUUAAGUAUGUGUAGAAUUCUUCUUGGUAGAGGGUUCUAAUGUCUUUAAGGACCUUGCUAAAGAACCAAACUCUCCUUUUCUUAUUGACUUCAGAAUAGAAGUCUUUCCUUAAGAGGUCCUUGUUGAUUCAAAGUCUUCGUUAAUUAGGCUUACAGUGUUAAUCAACUGAGAAUAAGUAGGAGACAUAUCAGGAGAUUCGUCCUGAUGUGAUUCUUGAGUAAACUCAUUUUCCUCCAUGUAAAAGGGUUUGGCCACGUUGGUGUGACUUCUAACACCUGUUAGCUUAAUAUUCUUAGGAUUUGCUGAACUAGAUCCUUCCUCUAUCCUAGUGGUUCUUAUUGGGAUAGAUGAACUUGAAGCUCUAGAGGGCUCAUAAUAUGAAAUUCUAAGGCUGCUAGAAUGAUGAAAAGAGUUGGAGAAAAUUAGAUCUCGUUCUCCAUCAGGAUAUUGAACAAUCUGUUCAAUUCUUUCAGAUCUUUGCUCUAUGGCUGGGACAACAUUAGCAAAAUGCCAAUUUUCUGGAAACUCAACCUCAUUCCACUUGAUUUUCAUGGGGACUAUGAAAUUAGACUUGUUUAUCAUAUCUAAGUGGAAGAUAGUGGUUUCACCCUUGGGACUGGUGCACAAUGCUCCAAAUCCAACGCUUAUGGUCAUGCUCUUAUAGGCAAAUCUGGUGAUGAUGGAAACAUGAUUGUUUCCUUGCUUGAACUUAAAGUCAUGGGUCUUAACAUGAAGGACAACUGAAUCUAAGAUGUUGACAUCUCUUAGUCUAACUGUGAAGUUAGGGAAACACUGGAAAUAAACAGGACCAUCAUUUAAUCCUGCUUGGGUAGCUCCAAUAAUAGAAUCUCGGUAAUCAAGAUGUCUAUUAUCUCUUAAACACAUGACAAUAAAGGUGUUUAGACCUAGUCUUGUCAAGGGCUUAGCUGCAACUUGAAUCAUGCCAAAGUGUAUGAAGUUGUAGUCUCGCUUAUGCUUAUCAAUGGACUUACUAUCCAAGAGUCUUAUGACUUGAUCGUCGUGUUCUAAACUUACUGACAUUUCAGGGGUUUUAAUGGUGUAAUCUGUAAAGAACUUAAAGGUUCCUUUCUUAUAAAUUUCUUGAUUAGGUACCUUGGGUAACUUCCAAUCAUCUAAAUCAUCUUGGAUCUUAGGAUAAUUGAUCUCUUCAUUGUUUACUCUUGAGAAUUUGUGGAUUUCCUAGACAUGGUUCUGAAAAUCAAACUCAUUUUAAGGUUUUAAUCUAGAGCCUAAUAGCAGAUUAACAGACCUAGUGAGUAAUCACCCCAACCCUUUUCCAACCUUAACAAACGCCUAUCUCCAGCUAACAAUGGGCUCAACUCGGCAAGGAUCGCACUCAGGCACACUACUAUCUUUCCUAGGAUAGAUCAAAACACCCAAAACAAACCCGACUUCCUUUUCCUAGGAUAUAUAUAGUAUUUUGGGUUUGAGUAGGAGUUCAUGUUUUGUAUGUAAUUGUAGUCUACGUUGGACUAGGUUGUUUGCUCCUAAUUGAAAUAGGAAUGGUUGGUGUCACAUCUCAUUCAUUUUCUCAUCUAUUUCCAUGUUUAGAUAACUCAAGUAAUCAUAGGAAUGAAAUUAAGAAUGAUUUGAGGGAAAUGAAAUCUCACUUGUAAGUGGGAUCUCAAUUCAUCAUUAAUAGAAGGUAUUUUGAUUACAUAGUGCAAGUUAUUUUUAAAAACACUUUUCAAAAAUUGAAAAACCAAAAACUCUCUUGGAUAAGUUGUUUUUAAAAAGAAUUUUUGUAUUUUUAUUUUGUAAAAAAAAAAAAUAGUAAUUCAAUUUAUAUAAUAUAAAUAGACUUUAAUUUUAUUAAAAAUAAAAAUAAUUUUUUAAUUACAAAUAAAUUAAAAAAUAAAUAUUUGUAAUAAAAUAUGAAUAGUAAUAUUAUAAUAAAAUCAUAAAUAAAUUAAAAAUAUUUUUAAAAACAAAUAAGUUUAAUUUUUUUGAGGUACAAAUGAGCCAAAUUUUUCAUUAGGUACACAACCAACAAUUUUUAUUGGAAACAUUCCUCAAAAAAGAAUUCGUUUCCCAUAUAGCAAAGAUAUUUAUUAUUUAGUAUCUAACCAUCCGUAGUAAUCAUAUCAAUUCUACUAAGUUAUUUAAUAAUUCAUUUAUAUAUAGUACUCAAUUAUGAAUUUUUUUAUUUGAUGUAUAAUUAAUUAAUCAAUGUUUUGAAUUUUGAAUUAUUCUUAAAAUUUAAAACAUUAAUUAUGUCUAUUACUUUUUAUAGUCAUUAUAUAUAUAUAUAUAUAUAUAUAUAGAGAGAGAGAGAGAGAGAGAGAGAGAGAGCUUAAAUUUAUCUUUAAAAAUUAUUAAAUUUAUUAAUAAAUUCAAUACAAAGACUCAUUUGAUUUGAAAUUCAUUUCUUUAGUGAAAAUUUUGAAACUAAAUAGUACUUUGUUUUACUUUGUUUUUAAAUCAUACUCACAAAUAAGUUUUUAUCAUUUAGCCAAAAAAUCUCAAAGAUGUUUCUAAUUUUAUUUAUUUAUUUAUUUGUAAAUGAAAAUAAAAAAUUAGUUUAAACUAAAUAUGCGGAUAUUAUUGUUAAUUUAUUUCAUUUUUUAUUUCCAUUGUUAUUUAACAUUGAAACGGAAACAAAUAAUCAUUCCAAUCUUACAUUCUUAUAUGCAUCUAAACACAAGAAUUGAAAUCACCAAAUUCAUAUUCAAGGCAAAAUAGAAAUGGAAAAAAAAUAUUCAUUUUCAUUCCUCAUUCUCAUGUGCUAAACAUGACAUUAGUUCUACUACCUAUUUCACCAUUCUUCUUGAUAAAUUUGGUAUAUGCAAUAUUGAUCUAAGUGUGAGGUGAAUAAGAAUGAUGAUGGGAUGGGCUUGGAAAUAAGGGCAAAGUUUCUAGGUGCUAUCUAGAGGGGCAACGCGACUUUUUCAAAUUUCGAAUAUUUGUUCUCAACAUAAAGCAAAACUUUACUCACACAAUAGAUAAGACUCUGUUUGUUUUCUUCAUCCACGACUAUAUAAUGUAUAGCUCUUACUCAAGGGAUGAGCUACUUACUAUUAAGGAUUGGGUAAGAUAUUGCCUAAUGGCCAAGAAGGCAUGUCAAAAAAUAAAUCUAAUCACCAUAAAAAAUAAUAGGGGAAAAUUAAUAUAUUAUGAAUGAUGACUUUACUAUUUCUCUAUAUACAUAAUUAUAUAUUUUGAAUUUUCUCACUAGGUAAUGAGAUUCUAAAUCAACUGAAACAUAAUUAAUAAUUUAUAUUUUUAAUGAAUCUUUUAAUUUUUAAAAAUAAUUUAAAAUUUUAAAAAACAAUUCAAUUAAUUACAUAUUAAAUCAAAACAUUUCAAAAUAUUGUGUUUGUAGAUGAGUACUAAAUGCUUGCAUAUAAUAAUAAUAAUAAAAAAAUUGACUCAUUUAGAUGUUAAAAAAGUUAAAUGUUUUUCAUUAUUCAUUUUAAGUAAAAUAUUAUUGACAUUAUUAUUAUAAAAUUAUUAUUAUUCAUUUUUAACAAAAAACAAAAUAAGUUAUUCUUUUACCAAGAUGUCAAUAUCUAUAUUUUUCUAACAUAUAUUAAAAUAGUAUACUUUUCUUUUAUUAAAAAUAAUAAUUAUUAUUAUAUUAUUAUUCAAGUUUUAUUAAAAAAAUUUAUCUUUUAAUUCAUUUGUAAUUACAAAAUAAUUUUAUUUUAUUAAGAAUUUAAUUUAAUUACGCUUUUUUUUUUUAUAAAAAAAACAGUUAUGCUUUUACCAAGAUGUUAAUAUUCAUAUUUUUCUAGCUAACAUAAAUAGAAUAGUACACUUUUUCAUAUAAAAAAAUAAUUUAUGAUUUUAUUAUAAUGUUACUAUUCACAUUUUACUAAAAAUAUUUAUUUAUUUUAUUUAUUUUUAAUUAUAAAAUAAUUUUAUUUUCAAGAAUUUAAUUUUAAAAAAAUAGAAAUCAUUUAUUCUUUUACCAAGAUGUUAAUAAACAUAUUUUUCUAACAUAUACUAAAAUAAAAAAGUUUACUUGUUCAUUAAAAAAUAUAAUUUAUGUUUUUAUUAUAAUACUACUAUCUAUGUUCUACUAAAAAUAUUUAUUUAUAAUUAAAAAAUAAUUUCAUUUUUAAUAAGACUUGAACUAAAUUAAAUUUAUAAUUUUUUUUUAAAAUAAAAUAGAAAAUUAUUUUUUAAAAACAACUUAUUGAAAGAAAUUUUUUAUUCUUUACUUUUAAGAACUGUUUUUAAAAGCAACCUAUAAACCCCUUUGGGUCUGUUUGGCUAUGUUUCAUGCAACUUGUUUUUAAAAAUUGUUUUUUAUUCUUUAAUUUAAUUUUUUUUAAGUUAAAGAAUAAAAAACAACUUUCUAGUGUUUUAUAAAAAUGAGAGCUUUUGACAAGUUGUUUUUAAAAACCAUUUUUAAAAAUAAAAAAUAAAAAACUUAUUUAGAUAAAUUGUUAUAUAUAUAUAUAUAUAUAUAUUUGUAAAAACAUUUUAAAUUCAAUUUAUAUAAUAUAAAUUUAAUUUAAUUUAAGUCUUAUUAAAAAAAAAUUGUUUGGAUAAGUUUUUUUUUUUAAAUAGUUUAUUAUUUUUGUUUUGUAAAAACAUUGCAAAUUCAAUUUAUAUAAUAUAAAUUAAUUUAAUUCAAGUCUUAUUAAAACCAAAAUAAUUUUAUAAUUACAAAUAAAUUUAAAAAUAAUUUUUUUAGUAAAACAUGAAUAAUAAAAUUAUAAAUUAUAUUAUUGUGGACCCUGCAUUUAUGCUCAUGCGCUUCCACUUGUUGGCGAACUCAUUUUUUAUUUGAAAAUGAUUUAUUUUUUUAGAAAAUGACUUAGAGUCGCCACUUAUUUUUGUUUUAUUUUUAAAGGGCAAGCAAAAUAAGAAAGAAAACCCUAAGUGUGACUCCUUAUUCGAAAAAGGUAGUCUGUGUAAAACCGGAUCAGGGUUCAGGGAUCAGGUUACUUAUUGGGAAGGUAUGACAAUGACCGUAGCACUCCUCUAAGUCCUUAAAAACGGGCCUCUACUAAAAAAAAUAAAGUAAUCAUGGCAAUCAGUAAGGAAAUCACUGGAUACCCAGAACAAUUAUGCACAUGUGAGAAUUAAAACAUGCAUAAGAAUGGACAAAGUGAGAGUGGGUGCGUACCUUGACAACGAACCACAAUGCGUUAUCAAGAAAUGGGGUUAGUGCACGAUCAAUGAACAUAAAACACGUCACACAUGUCACUAAGCAGAGUGAGAAAUCAUCAGAUAUUACAAUUCAAUCAAAUUUAUUUUUAGAAGAAACAUCUGUUGAUGUAGAGCCCCUACCAAAGCCUAAUUUAUUUUUGCAUGAAUCAAUUUCAUAAAUUCAAUCGCUUGGAAUUACAGAAUUAAAUUCAUGCUUAUUUUAAAACAUCUUUUUAAAAUCAUGGAAGAUGUGAAAAUGGUUUUCCAAAGAGAAAAUGACAACUGAUUUUAUUGAAAAUGGGAUUUUGGGGACCUAAACGUUAAAGAGGGAUUAGGAAUUGAAAAUUAAAUCAUUUGAAAAUUGAAUUUUUCAAAAAUCAGUUUUGAAAGCAUGCAUGCAAGUAUGGACUGUGAAAGUGGGCCUAGGGAGGGUGGCCAUGCAAAAUGAGGUCAUACACGUGGGCCUUGGGUACAAUUGGGACUACUUUGCUGGUGCCAGUGGUGCUUGCAGCUGUCAUCCAUGAUUUCUUCAUUGGGAUCAAUUUCCAUUCUUACUGCCAAACAUUCCAUAACAAUUGACCAAACUAGUAACCCUGACCUUGCAUGAAAAUGAACGUUACCUAGAAACUCACUGCCAGUGAGAUUCAUUGCUCUUUCAAAAGGUCUCAUUUUCUUUCUCAUCCAAUUGCUUUAAGGAGCAUUCUAGCGUCACGAUUGGUGACUGCGCAUCAUCUAGAGCCUUCUUUCUUCUCAGAAUCAGGUUUGCGUGCAGAGGCCUGUGCUUGUUCAAGGUUGACCUAAAUUCAUCUAGGUUUAGAACCGACCAGUUGAGCUUGGGGAGCAACGACAAGAAUAUCAGUCACUUGCGAAGAGAAAACUCGAGAUCUUUCAAGUAAUGCCUGACAUAGAUUCCUCCAACCUGUGGCCAAUAUCUCAUUCCUUGUUGGCCAGACGCCUAUUAGGGCGUAUCUCAAUCAAUAAUAUGAUUUUUCGUUUGUUCACAAUAAAGACCGGAAGCCAUGGUUGUGAUUUAUGCAGUACAGAAGAAGUUGCCAUGGCUGGUAUCCUUACAAAUUCUGGUGUUUCUGCUAUCUGUUCAAGUGCAAAACACAACAGCUUUAUCAAGUUUGUCCCUAACAACUGAUAUUGAGCCCUCUGGAGGAAACCUUGAUAAAUUCAUAAUCACUUUUGACUCAUGCAUGGGCUGCCCAUCAAAUUUUCCUAGCAACGAGACGACUGCUGUCAUCUACUGCAAAGAGAAUUUCUUCUCGCAAAGACAAGAGGAGUUUAAGAAUACACACUAUUCUGCCAUUUCAUUUCCUCUUUCUCCACAACCAACAUAAACCAUAGUGUCUACAUUAGAGUACUUAGAAAGAGCUUAACUGAUGACCGUUUUUCCACAACCAAAUGCCCCAGGUAUGGCACAAAUUUCACCGAAAACAGAAGGGAAAAGGGCAUCAAGAACACGCUGUCCUGUAAGUAGUGGGGUAUCAGGACUACUCUAGGGAAGUUAUUUCUGUCAUUUUGAAAAAGAAAAAUUAAAGAAUGUACACAUGCUUUCAAGUGGACUGGAGCAUUCUACAUAUCAGGUGGUCUGUAGCCACAUGUGCCACUUUGUGGAAGUUGGAACAGUCGAUCACUAGGCUAUUUAGUGUGGCCAAGCCACGUUAAUCAAGGACAAGUCUUCAUACUUAAAAGUCAAAUGGUGCCUUUAGUCUCAUUACACAUGGCUAUUUAAAGAUGAACUAAUCUUUAGUGUAAUGUGAUUAAGACAGUACUAACUGAUCAAUAUUUUUUCUAAUUUUGGAUGCAAAUGCUUGCUGGCUUCAUCAUUGGAUGGGAUAAAGGUGCAUUCAUGACUCUGAAUACUUGCAGUAAUACUUGCAGUAAUACUUCAUUCUCUUUUUUCUCGAUGAGACUUCUUGGCACAAUUUUGCUUCUCAGCAACCUACCUCUCCAUGGAAAAUGAGUUGCGAUUGAUGGUACUGGAUAUUUUCUAGGAAGCUAAAUAUAGAUAUAUAGCACUCAAUGUCAACGAUAUAUAUAGCAUUAACAGUAUAUGUCUCAAUGCUCAUCAGCUACAAGCAAGGGACAAACACUUACAAUGAAUAACUCACGUCAACAUUCCUAAACAGGACAUAGAAGUGACAGAUCUAUAUAUAGAACACUGCAUAUGAGUCACAAGAAAAGAUAAUACGGGUGCAUAGCAGCUCUUAUAUUACAUAUUACUCAUACCGUUCAAAUUCACUCAGUUGGGAUGGGUGGGAGAAGGAGGCCUCUGGGGUGGCUUGUGCGUGUGAGAAGUGGAAGAAAGUUGAAUGGAAUGAAACUGAAAAACAGGGUAGAAUAGAGGUUUCUUGAAUCUUCUGAAAUCUUUAUUUUUCUGAGAUUUAUUCUCUGUUUUUGUGAGUCGUGACUCUACAUAUAUACAUGUAUUUAAAGUUAGUUAUGCCUUAUAACUAAUUAUCUAACAGUACCAAAACUAAUCAUCUAGUUGCAUGUUUCUAAUUAAUGCUAUUUAGUUACAACUAUAUAUGGCUUAACAUCCUCUCUCAAACUCAAAAGUCUAGCUAGAACAGUGAGUUUGCUUCAUAGAUUGAGAAAUUGUUGAAUAGGUAAGGCUUUGGUAAGAGCAUUAGCAAUCUGGUCAUAAGAAGGAAUGUGUUGAACCACCAAAGUCUUAUUGAGCACCUUUUCCUGAACAAAAUGGCAAUCUAGUUCCACAUGCUUAACUCGAGAAUGAAAAUAGGAUUGGCAGCAAGAAAGGUGGCUGAAAGAUUGUCAUAGAACAAAACAAAAUAGGAGAAUAAGAAGAUGAGAUAGAAAACUCCUGAAGAAGAUGUUGAAUCCAUUGAAGUUCAAAAGCAACAUUUGCUAAGGCCCUAUACUCAGCUUCAUUGCUGGAACGAGACACAACUUUCUGCUUACUGGAGUUCCAGGAGACUAGAUUAGAGCUAAAAAAGAUGCAAUGACCACUUGUACUUCGACGAUCAUCAGGGCAACCAACCCAAUCAACAUCAGCAUAAGCAGUAAGUUGAAAAUCAGGAGAAGAAUAAAAGGAAAGACCAAAGGAAGUAGUGCCCUUAAGAUAAUGCAACAAUCGUUUAACAACUUGCCAAUGAAGAUCAGUUGGUUAUUGCAUGAAUUGGCAAAGUUUAUUGAUAGAGAAAGAGAUGUCAGGCCUUGUAAUGGUACAAUAUUGCAGGGCUUCAACAAUGUUGCGAUAUUGAGAAGGGUCAGCCAAGAGGGAACCUUUAGAGGCAGAUAAAGUGUGAGAGGUAGUCAUUGGUGUAUCAAUAGGUUUAAAAUAUGGAAGACCAGCACGAGUUAACAAGUCCUGAAUAUAUUUGGUUUGGGAAAGAUGAAGAGAAGAUCCUUGCCAACAUACUUCUACACCCAAGAAGUAAUUCAGAAUACCAAGGUCCUUGAGAGCAAACUGAAAGUGUAAAGACGAAACCAUUUGGUGGACUAGCACGGUAUUAAGACCACUAACAAUAAUGUCAUCAACAUAGAUGAGAAUAAUGAUCAUGUCAGUCCCUUUCCGAAGAGGAGCUUGCUUCAGACCCUACAAGGCUUUGCGAAGUUUACAGAAAAAACCGGGUUUAGAAUGAUCAACAAAGCCUGGAGGUUGAACCAUGUAAACCUCUUCUUCUAACUCACCAUUGAGAAAGGCAUUAUUAACAUCUAAUUGUUCCACUAACCAACCAUGAGAAAUAGCAAGAGAAAGAACAAUUCAUAUAGUAGUUGGUUUAACAACAAGGCAAAAGGUUUCAAAAUAAUCAAUACCAUAUGUUUGAUUAAAACCCUUUGCAACUAAGUAGGCUUUAAAACGAUCAAUUGAGCCAUUAGCUUUGAGUUUCAGCUUGUAUAUCCAUUUACAACUAAUAAUGCGUGUAUUAACAGGUUUAGGAACCAAUGUCCAUGUGGAAUUGGUGAGAAGAGCAUCAUACUCAGUCUUCAUAGCAGCUUGCCAAUUAGGAUGCAAUAUUGCUUCUUUGAAAGAGGAGGGUUCGACAACAGUAGUUUGGAUAGCAAGGCUAAAUAUUUUUUUGGGUUUAAAAAUACCAUUUUGGCUACGAGUAACAAUAGUUCGGUUUGGAAGUGAAAGAGGAUCAGUGGAGGAGGCUGGAACAAGGGAUUGUGGUAAAGUAGGAAAGGAAGGUGGAUGAGAUGGAACAAAAUCAGUAGGGACAAUAAUGGGAGAAGAAAAAUUAGGUGGAGAAUGAUGAGGAUUCCUUGAAGAUGGUGUAGGAAUAGAGAGAAUACCAGAAUCAAGAAGUGUUAAAGAAGAGUUGGAUGAUGAUACUGGUUGACAGGAUAAAGACUUUGUUAAAAAUGGAAAUCGAGUUUCAUCAAAUACAACAUGACGAGAAGCAUAUAUCCGAGAGGAAGCCAUAUCCAAACAGAGGAAUCCCUUGUGUUUAGCACUAUAACCCAAAAAACAGCAAACAACAAAUAUAUUUGCUAGCUUGUGAGAAGCAUAAGGGCGAAGAUAAGGAAAACACAAGCAUCCAAAACUUCAAAGAGAUGUAUAAUAAGGUAAACGAUUAUAAAGAACUCCAUAAGGAGAAUUUUGUGAAAGAACAGCAGAGGGAAGGCAAUUUAUGAGAAAAAUGGCAGUUUGAAAUGCAAAUGACCAAUAUUUGAGAGGGUAUACCAGCUUGUAUUAACAAAGAAAGACCAACUUCCACAACAUGACGAUUCUUUCUUUCAACUCUUCAAUUUUGCUAAGGAGUAUAAUGACAAGAGACUUGAUGAAGAAGACCAUUUGUAGCCAAAUAAUUCUGAAAAGCUGAAACUGAAACUCAUCAAAUUGAUUUUUAGUAUCAAAUUUUCUUCAGACUGAACACAUUGAUUUUUAGUAUCAAAUUUUCUUUCAACCAUGGCUUGAAAAUGUUGGAACAUAAGUAAAGCUUCAUCUUUAGUUUCCAAAAGGUACAACCAUGAGAAUAUGCUAAAAUCAUCAAUUAGCAAGAGGAAAUAUUGAGCAUUACCAUUGACAGAAACUAUAGGAGUUGCACCCCAAAGAUCAACAUGGAUGAGACCGAAUGGUUUUAUUGCUCUAGAAGUGGAUAUUUCAAAUGGAAAACGAUGGCUUUUAGCCAACUGACAAGACUCACAUACAGAGUUAUUAUUGUCAUGUUUCAAAGGUAUUUUAUAAAGAGAUAAGAUUUUGGAAACUACAUUAAUAGAGGGAUGACCAAGUCUAUUAUGCCAAAGCCUCAAAGAACCAACGGCUAAAGUACUACUAGUAGAGUAAAAUACUAGUGGAUGACCAACAACUCUUGGUGUAGCAAGAAGUUUAUAGAGACCCUUCUCAAUUUUUCCUUGAAGAAGAGCAAGUCUCGUUUCCUGAUCCUUUACCACAAAAUGAGAAGAACGAAAUUCAAUAAAGGUGCCAUUGUUUGAGUAAAAUCGUUGCACGCUAACUAAGUUGGUGGUAAUAGAAGGAACAUGUAAGACAUCAUUGAAAAACAAAGAACCACUUGAAGAGGCAAGAGAAAAUUUACCAAUAUUUGCAAUGGAUAAACCCUUACCAUCUCCAACAAUUACUUUGUCACCACUGGUAAAUGGAUUAUGGAUUGUUAAAUUGUUAAGAUCAGAUGUGAGAUGAUGGGUAGCCUUUGUAUCAAGAAACCAAUAAGUGUCUCCCAUUGUUGCAGAAGUUGUAGUCAUAGCCUCAGGAUUGUUAGAGGUGGAAUGUUUAGAAUCUUUUGGCUGAUAAUCAGAGUUAAACCGAUACCAGCAUUGUAAAGCGGUGUGUCCGAACUUACAACCGAGAGAAAUAAUCUUUACUUAUUCUCUAAAAACUGUUCUUUAUUCCACACAUUAUUUCUAAAAACUGUUUCUAGAUAACAAUGACAAAAUAGUAUUAGGAAUUUUUAAAAAUAAAAAUUGUUUUUAAAUUACAUGAUCUAUAUCAUUCACAUUUGACCAUUAUAGCUUUGUUCAGGAAAACACUUGAAAGUAACCUUAUCGUGAUAAGAGAUAUAAGUUGGCUGUAGUUUCAAACUGAAAACAGAGGAUGGCAAUAGAAAGCAAAGCAUUAGUUAUCUGCAAUCAGUGGUGAUCAUGCCCCAUGUCAAUUUCGGACCCAUAUCUUAAAACCGUAUAAUUUGCAUUUCAACAUUUCUGAUUUCUCAGAUGUUUCAUACUCCACAGAAGAACAUUGUUUGUGAAAGCAUGCAUUUAUGCUGGAUUUUGGAUGAUGUGGGAACUGGGGCAAGGAUCAUAUGGAAGAGUGGUCGAUUUUUUCUGUACUUUAACAUUUGAAAUAGGAGCAGCACGGGCAUUUGUGGGGCUUAAUUGAUUUUGAAGCCUGAAAUUGCGUUUCUGUCAUUUUGUAAAAAAUAUGGCAGAUUCCAUGCUCUCAUAUGUUUGGUCUGUGGCCAUGUAUAGAUGCCACUUAGUGACCAGUUUGUAACUGUCAAUCAUAGUGUUUUGACUCUGGCUCAACAACAUCAGCCAUUGACGGAUUUUCAUACAUGCAAAUCAAAUAGUCUUCUUCCUCCCUUAGGAAUUUCGGUUUAAAUGUUAUUAAGCAUACAUUUGGCUGACAAUUAUUAACCACUUCAUGAUAUGGUUUCUUACCCUUAAUCAAUGGUUUCUAAGUGAAUAUAUGCAGAAGGAAAUCUGAACUGUAGACAGCAGUAUUGAUAAUUAUCAAUAUUCUUUAUAUAAGAGAAUAAACAACGUCAUAGUGAUCGUCGCCUACAAGAAAGGUACAUUUCCCAACAAGAUGUAGUUGUGACUGGUACAUGGACGUAAUUAACUCGUAGAAAAGGAUAAGACCAGUGCACGGCAGCUCUUAUUUUACAUGCUAAUUAUGCUAACCAAAGUCACUCAGUUGGGAUGGGAGGGAGAUGGAGGUUUGUGCGGUGGCUUGUGGGGCGGAGUUGGUGGCUUCUUUUCAGGAGCUUGUGGCUUUUUCGGAGCUGAAGGAGGCUCAAUCUUAUGAGGCGGCUUGUACGAGUCUUCUUUACUCUCGACAGGAGGGUGGCCAGGGUUGUGACCAUAAUGUGGUGGCUUCUCUCCCUUAGGUGGCUUGCCAACUGGGGUUGGUGGCUUGUGUUCAGGAAGUGGUUUCUCUCCCUUGGGAGGUUUACCAAUUGGGGUUGGUGGCUUGUGUUCUGGGAGUGGUUUCUCUCCCUUGGGAGGUUUAGUGGGUGACUUGUGUUCUGGAGGUGGCUUCUCCACCGGAGGCUUGUGCUCCGGUGGUGGCUUCUUGGUUGGAGGGGGCUUGGGGUAAUCAGCAAGAGAUGGGGGGGUGAGAACCACCACUCCAAGGAACAACACUAGCAAGUAUGUGGGAGACAUUUCUGAGUUUGAGCUGAUCAGAUGAUGCAAAACUAGAAGAAUUACGUGACCUUUUAUAGCAAGUAGCUCCCAAUACCCACAUGACACGUGUUACUGUGACCAUAAAUAUUAUAGGGUCCAUUUGUGCCCUACCGGGUUGAAAACUUGGACGCUUGGCCGAGGACACACCGAACUAUGGAGGACUAUUGACGUGUGAUCACAGCUUUUGGAUUUUUCUUCCUGUGCAGCUGUCUAGCGGUUGGCAUUAUUUUUUUAAUCUUAAAUAAAGGCAUAGUUAUAGAGUACAUUUAUAUAUCUUCAGAUAGCCAUUAAUAUAUUUGAUGAAGAAAGACAAGUGCAUACAACAUGUAUACGGCUUGCUUCAAUCGAGUACAUUUAUGAUCAGUUUUCCAGUGCAAGUAAACCAGUUUUUUGUUCCACAACUAUUUUGGAAUCUUGUUUAUCAGUUUCUAUCAUUAUAAUGUCACAUAGGCUGCAAACUUGGGCACCCAAAGAUCUAGUUGGGCAAAUUUGUUUCAGAAUUUCAAUGGUGGAUUCAGUAAUUGUUAAAAGGUGUUUCUUCAUUAAGGAAAGAGUCCUGUAAAAAUAUUGUUAAAAGGUGUCAUAGAAACUAUAAUAAUUAAAUAACUUCUUUUCCCCGUGGGUGGUGUUUCUUCUGGGGAUACCCAAAAUGAGUUCAGAUUAAAAUUGGUUCGAGUCAAAGCUGUCUCUUUUGUCCAGAAAUCAACUAUUUUGCGCAUUGCAUGAAUCGAUAAAGAAAAAAUGAAAGCCAAAUCACACCUCCCCUGCAAAACCUAAACCCCGGUUGCUAACUUUCUAUGUUUCAGUCCUAUUCAUACAGGAAUAUUGGUUCAAGUUUGAGAAAAAUGGCAACUUACCUAGGGAUUACUUGGUUGUGGUUUGCGACGACUAUUUACGCAACCAACCAUGAGUUUGACUUUAACGUCAUGGGUUGAAGCCUCCUACAAUCGUGUAUGAUAGUUCAAAGCUCGUAGUAGAAAUUAUACAGGAAGGAAGAAACCUCCAAAGCUAGCUCCAAAAGAGAAUUAUCACAUCGAUAGCUCCAGAGAUUCCCAAGGGGACUGAAUCAAAGACAAGUUCCUCACUUUUUCUUCUUUUGAGGCCAAAUAUGAACCAAGGAUCACACGACCUCAUUCAACUUCAUAAGUUUGAUUUCAUGCAGUUGAACACUGGGUGAAGGCCAUGACAAGAAUUGAUUAAAAAAUUCUACCACUGUUUUAAGUAAUGGAAGAUUAUUAUCUCUGAUUGGCACCACAACAGCACAUGCUGCUAGAUCUUUCUAGACACUCCAUGCAAUGAAAGUACAAUGGAUCUUGUAACGAUAGAAACUAAGCCAUGCUACAGUACUAGAUGACGAGGUAAAACUAUUAGACAUGGGUGGCAGCCUAUAUGGGAGGGACACAAGUCUAAUUGAUUUGCAUUUCAGCGUUCUAGAUGGGUAUGUUUUGGAAGAUUUGUUCUGGAAAUACCGCACCAAGUAGGAUUCUUUUUUCUCUUGAGUGGGUCCACUUGCAUGCCAAUUAUCGAGUUGAAAAGUAGAGCACCUACCUCGUGCUCGUGGAACCGAAGGUCAGUGAAGUGGGGCUCCUUUUGGCCUCUUGUGUUUCUGUUCCAACCAAGGCGGCGGAGGGAAAAACAGCAAUAUGUCUCCGCUAAAUAUCAACGCAUGAUAGCGAAUGAGGGAGAAAAAAAGUAAUUGGCAUCUCAAUCUCACAAACUUGGUACAGUAGUGACAUUAAUAGUCUUCCACAUGGUUUUUAUUUUAUUUUAUUUUAUAUUUUAUAUUUUCCAUUUUUUUAUUUUUUUGUAUGUCAAGGCUAAUGAAUAAAAUGCGUUAGCUUGUUUUGUGAUUGGAACUGCAAAUGUCCAAAUUGGAGUUUCUCCAUUUCUCAGUUCGGAUGGUUAACUUUAUAAACAAGAUAUAGGAAACAUGUGAACGUCUUGAGGAACAAUUCGAAUUAUUGAUUAGAACUCCUAGGUUGAGUUCCAAGAUUUAAAUCAGACCCCUCUAGCAGCUUCAGGGGUACCUAGCAAUUAGAACAUAUUAAUGAAGAUUUAGGAUUUAGACUCCGGAAUACAAAUUAAUAUGUAUCUUAUGCUCUGACUAGCUUCCCUGCAUAUGCACAAAAUGGAGAUGACCCAAAAAAUAGCAGAAUCGCCUUAGUUUAUGUGGUUAAGGUGAUUCUCCGGUUAAUAUCCACAUUGGCUCAUUAUGCAAAUCAACUGAGCUAUUUUUUUUUUAAUGUCAAAUAGGAACUCCUAAUUAACCUAACCAUUGGCCUGUGUAAAUUGAUUUCACAUGCACAAUGUUGUAGUAGAAGUCCACAUUUUGAAUUUUAUUUUUGGAAAGGUAAGGAAAAUGAAGCA
This 140403-nucleotide long non-coding RNA is filed under the name Vitis vinifera (wine grape). RNAcentral describes it as "long non-coding RNA (VVIN_LNC001392)". The stretch from base 25602 to 25673 matches the Rfam family "tRNA". The record is from RNAcentral. Lineage: Eukaryota; Viridiplantae; Streptophyta; Magnoliopsida; Vitales; Vitaceae.